CUUCAUAUAAAUCUGUCUGAAAUGUUACCCCCCUCCCCCCCAUCUCACUCAUUUGUCUCUCACCCUCGUCUCAGAGACAACCUUUAGAACCCUAAUGCUGCCCCUUUCUUCCAUUGCUUUAGGGUGGCGGCGCCACCUCCGUUCACCACCAAAAUUAUACCAUAUAAGCUCCAUGACCCCCUCAUCCAAAAUCUCCAUUUAGUUUCCUUCAAAUACCUCUGAAGCCUCUCGAAUUUGAUUUGAAAAGACGAACCCUAAAAUCCCAAAACCAAAGUCGUCGGGUUUUUUGAAGAUUCAAGGUUGAAAUCAGCUUUAUUCGUGUGUUCUAACUUGAGAACAUAUGAUUAAGGCCUAUUUCGGCCAAUAUCAAAGGUUCUAGGUUUAAAUUCAAGACGUCUCCAGGCUCUUCUUUAGGUAUUUUUACCUUUUUCUUCCCUUCUUUCAUUUUUCUUUUUCUUUGUUUCAUUUUAGAUAUUAACAUUUAUCUUCUCACUUUAUCCCCUCUGUCUUAUCUGUUUUCAUUUUUGGGAAUCUUUUCUGCUCAUAUGCUUUCAACUAAGGCUAGUAGUGCAAAUUGGUUUUAAUUUCCUUUUGUCUUUGGUUUAUUUUGUUUGUUUUUUUUUGGUUUUUCAAUAAAAAGAAUGUCUGAGUUUCUUUAAGGAGUCCGGUUGGGCUUAUCAAAUUCAGGUCCUUGAUUUGAGUUUGAUGUCUGUAAACAGAGUCCAGGGAAAAAGGAUUCGAACAGUUUGGCAAGCCUAAUUGCUGAAACUAGAACCUUGGGUCAAAUUGACCCAUGUCCGUUUGGGGUAAGGGUAAAAAUAGAGGGUCUGGGGGGGUAGUUUAGGUAGGGUGGGGAAUAUUUUGUAACAGAUUGGGGAAGCUUCUAAGAAGCUGGGUUUGGAGACAUUUUGAUAAUAUGAUAUUUACAUUAGGGGCAGUUGAGCAAAAAUGAAUAUUAAAAAAGGACUAAGGUGCAAAUAUGUUUCUCAUUAGGUUGCCCUAAGUGUCUAGCCUAUAAUGGAACCUUACCUUGUAUUUCAAGGCAGACUUUGAAAGAUAAAAAUCCAGAGAAAAAUUGAGACGGCUGAAAAUUUAGUAAAAAUAUUGUCCCAUUGAUCUCUUCUGUGGUUUUAUGAAGUUUUUUUUUUUCCAUUUCUCUGAAACACUUUUUGGUUUAUCCGGGGUUAAAUAUAGAUUGAGAUUGGGUUUGUAGAAGUUUAGUUUGAAGAUGUGGGGGAUCACUAUUCGGUUGAAAUUUCUUUUUCUGGGCUGUUGUACAUCAUCUUCUGGGUUUGAAAUUGGUUGCUAAUUACUUCCUGUUGCUGGAUUCUGUUGUUACUGUUGAUUCCUCAUCUUUUUCGUUGUUCUUUCCCAUACCCAGGUACAUACUUUGAGCUUCAAUAAUUGUGAAGUGAAUGUGAAGAAUGAAAUGCAAAAUGAAGAAUUUGAAGCAUACUUUUAAGUUUACUUCCUUUUAUGUUUGCUAUUUUUUGAUUUGCCUCAAAUGCAUAUGGUGUUAGCCAUUGGCAACCUCUUCUAAGGAAUUGUAUUAUGCUUGUGUUUAACAGAGACUGUAGUGUUCUGUUGAAUGUUGUAGUUGAAUGACAUGUCAAUUGUUGAGUUUUUUUUAAUUUGGCCUUUGAAUGGUUAAGGGAAUUUGAAGGAUAAAGUUUAUGGUCGGAUCGGUAAUAGGUUGUAGAUCUUGUUUCUUAUGUUAUUAUAUGAUGUUUGUUGUUAUGUUCAUACAAUUAAAUAGUUGAAUGUUUCUUGAUUCUGGAUUGUGUAAAUCAUGCUAAGAGAAGGGGAUUGACCUAGGUUGCUUUGAAGGAUAAAUACAUGUAUUAAUUUUCCUUAGGAAACGUGUGAAUCUGUUUCAAAGUAAUAAAAAUGAUAUUCAAGUCUAGGAAUACCCAGUAAUUAAUUUGGGGUUUAAUGAAAAAGGAUAAAGAUUUUUUUUUUAAUAAUAAAAUGUCAUAGUUUGAUGAAGUUUGCAAUUUGUAUUAGUUUUGUGUUUUCAGUUGAGUCUGAAAACUUGGGUUGUAGGUCGGACCAGAUGAAGAGUCUUCCUUCUCACUACUCAUUACCAUUCUUCACUGGGACUUGGGCUCAUUCAGGCCCAAGCUUGAAGGUUCUUUGCUGUUUUGCCUUUGGAAGUUAAUUGGAACCGAUACUGACCCUUUUUUAAUCGUUAUUGGUAUUAAAUACAUGUCGUUUUCUUCUUCAGGCUUUAGUGUUAAAUUGAGGCCCUUCCUCGGGCCUCGAGUCAAGAAACAGAUUUGCAGGCCUCUAUUGCACUGGGCCUGCCUGCUUCAAACUUCUCCUGCGUGGUUAAAAUAGCACGAGCCAGUUAAUAGCGGAUCUGUUGCUUUCUGUUUAGUUUCUUUUACGCAAAUUUUUCUUGAUUAGCUAAAUAAAUACUAGAAUUAAAAGGGGGCUAGAAUCCCUAGAAUUAAAUUAGUUUCGGGAUGUGCCAUAUUAGUGAAGAUAGUCUAUGGCCCUUAUGGUUUCAAAAAUAAAGAAUUUUAGACAAUUUCGAGGUGUGACAUACUUAGCAAAUAUAGUUAUGGCCCUUAAGAGUUUGAUUUUGAAAUUUUCUUUAAAAUUGGAAUUAAGGCGUGCCGUGCCAAACAAAAUCUAAAAAUACAUGGCCCUCAUUUAAUUAUUUCUUUAAAAAUUCCUAGAAUUCGAUUCGUGCCAUUUAGCAAAUUUUUUGUGGCUCUCGCUAAGUUAAAAACGUGUAGUUGCUUUAGCCGCGUUAUUUUAAUAAUUAACUUCCCUAAAUUCGGGUGUGCAUUUCAUGUGAACCAAAUCCAAAUCUUAAUAACGUUAAAUUAAAUAUAUUUUAGAUUGCCGGUGCAUUGCAUGUGGCGCAGUCCAAAGACAUAUUUUAGGCGACGUUAAAAUCUUCUUUAAAAUGAAUAAAAGCGGUUAUAAAGUUAAAAUGCACAUAGGUUCAAAAGUUUUUUAAAAUUUGAUAAUCAGGACAAUUUUAAUAGUUGAGCGACCAUGCUAGAAGCACGGAACUCGGAGAUGCCUAACACCUUCUCCCGGGUUAACAGAAUUUUUUACCUGAAUUUCUAGUUCGCGACUGUAAAACAGAGUCAAUCUUUUCCUCGAUUCAGGAUUCGAACCGAUGACUUGGGAUACCAUGAAUUAUCCCAAGUAGCGACUCCGAAUUUAAUAAAAAUAAUCACGUUUCAAUUGUCACUUAAAUUGAAAAAAAUUCCAUUAUACCCUUCCAAAGGGUGUAGGAAAAAGGAGGUGUAACGGGUAUCAAAUGUAAUUUGAAUACAAAGUUAAACAUGAACUCGAUUUCACCUCUUUCGAGGAUAGGGGAUAUAAUAACUAGCUACUGGAAUAGCAGGUGAUGUCUGGGGUAUAGCGAGUAUUAAGAUCCUCAUGAUAGUAGUGAAUCAUUUCCGAAUGUGAUCGGAUUUAUACAUAGAACUUUAGAAUAACCUUAAUAGGGUUGAAACAUAUUAUAGCUAUUGAUGCUCGCAAGUCGCACAAACUACUUGUCUGUAUGAAUUAAGUGUGUUAUUUUAAUCGUGAUACUGGUUUGAGUCCCCCCCCCCCCCNNNNNNNNNNNNNNNNNNNNNNNNNNNNNNNNNNNNNNNNNNNNNNNNNNNNNNNNNNNNNNNNNNNNNNNNNNNNNNNNNNNNNNNNNNNNNNNNNNNNNNNNNNNNNNNNNNNNNNNNNNNNNNNNNNNNNNNNNNNNNNNNNNNNNNNNNNNNNNNNNNNNNNNNNNNNNNNNNNNNNNNNNNNNNNNNNNNNNNNNNNNNNNNNNNNNNNNNNNNNNNNNNNNNNNCCCCCCCCAUUAUGAGCGAAGUGGGAGAUGUUAGAUAUUGGAUCCCGGUAUCGGGUCGCUCCAUGAGGGCUAGCCCAACUCAUUUGGGAAAAAUAGAAUUUUAGAAGAGAUAGGGUUUAAAACCCCUCUUUAAAGAGAGGUUACUAUACGUUUAAGUGUAGUGGGACUCUUAAAAGAGGUUGCUACACGUUUAGUAUAGUGGGAGCAGUUUUCCCAUAACUGCUAUCUUCUCUCUCCAUAUAAACAUACACUUUCUUCUUUUUCUAAAAGACGGUAGACAUAAAAAGUAAGAGUGAGAUUAAAAAUCUCUUCCCAGUCAAUACAAGAAGAUAUUUAGUUUGUAAAAUUUUAACUUUGUUUCCAAGAGAUACAAAGUACGACUUGGAGUAAUUCUUUUGGUGAUAAGUUCAAUAAUUCUUCCAUUGCUUUGACAUGUACACUAAUAUUAUUCUCGCCCUGCAAUUAUUUUCAUUACAGUAAUUCUAAUACCAACUUAUUUUAUUUGUUAACACCAAUAUUAUUAUUGUCAUAAAAAGAAUAAAGCAAAUGUUAUCUAUCUUGCUAUUUUAACUCAGAAAAUCACGUAACUUAUUUGCUUGUUUGGCUUCAUAUCUCUAUGCAUGCUUGCUUGGAUAGCUUAUUAUUGUCAUUGUUUCUCUUGGCCAAAGUUAAGGAGAAAUUCAGAAAUAAUCAUAUUUAUAAGUUUUCAUUCAAAAAUAAUCGCAAUUUCAAAAGUCGUCGAAAUUUAGCUUCUUUUUAUAUAAAGAUAAAUCUGAACGAAAAUAUUAUUCAAAAAGUCCAUACACAGGUGCACUAAAACUCCAAUAUAUUAUGCUUGACCGGUCUCUAUUGCAACAAAAUAAUAAUUAUUUUUCAAUGACUUAACAAACACUAAUUACUUUUAAAUGACCGGUCGGAAAACUUGCUAGCACUAUGAAUAAACCAAGGCACCGCAUUAAAAGUACUGUUUUUCAAGGUAGAAGUCAGAGUACCCAACUUAGAAGUUAGAAAUCUAGUCUUUGCAGAUUGUAUAUACUUUGUUUCAGCCUAUGUUGAUAAAAUGUAUCAGAAGUUUCAUUGUGACAUGACACUUAUCACAUGAAGAAUGUUCCGUUGUAGCCAAGACAUUGUAUUGAUAUUAACAUUAAAAGUUUACCAAACAAGUAUAUGACCAAACUCAUUAACACAUUUCGAAUUAUAAAUUCGUGGUGCUUAAUCUAUCCCUUGAAACAUUCAUAUAACAAAUUACACUCUUACAAACUGCUUAUUCAUUAUAAUACCAAUGGCACUUGCUAAUUUGAAUGAAGCUUUUGGUAUUACAAUGAAUACACGAUACAGACUCCAGCACACGAUUAGGAUAACCCAAGUCAUAAUAGCCCCAGCCAGCCAAAAGUAGAAAUAGACAAUUACUGUAAAACGCCUUUCUUCCUCGCUGGUUUUUUUUUCAUUUUUCAUAAUAACAGCAUUAUAAAGCAUUAACAGGGACUGUGAUUUUUACUCUACCUAUCAGUUUGCAACAGGUGUAUUGGCUACAUAACCUGACUAAUAAUACUUAUUAAGGAAAAUAUAGCCAGCUGAUCUUAAUCCUUUAGUAACCGUGACAGGAGGGAAACAAUUGUGGAAAUUUACAUGCCUCAUUCUUUUAGCCUAACAUCCUAAGAGACCAGGCCAUUAUACUUUGAGGCCAAUCAAUUGUAUACACGAAAGAAUCGGGAUCAAAUCCCCAUAAAAAAUGGGGUGCACCAUGAGCUAUAUAUGAGCAACACAGAUUAAGGCAACCAUCAUCAAAUUUGCAUCUGCCGUCAAUUAUUUGCUUCAGCUACCCAAGCAAGAACUUGAAAAUAUCACUAAGUGAUAUGAUACCUUCUACACGUUUGCUUCCCGCUUCCACAACAAGAAGUCGCCUGACCCCUGCAAGCAAUAUGCAACAAGUUACUACUAUAACACAUGAAAAUAUCAGACCAAAGAAGAUUUAAUACUAUGAUUAAACAGAUAAGAGAUUUAAAAGUGUUGUACUGAGUAGUAUCAUAGUAAAAAAGAGGACAAAGGCUUAACCAGGUCUGGACAAUCUUUCCAUCACUUCAUGCAAUGGAUCAGAACGUAAACACAUGUGACAUUUUUGACUGCUCGACCCAUACGAUGAAUAUGGUUCCUCUGCAAGCUGCAACGCCUGCAAAAACAUAUACAGAUGAAAGGGAAAUUAACAGAAAAAACAUCUAGAGUAUAUAUACCAACAUAUGGUUCCUCUGCAAGCUGCAACGCCUACAAAAACAUAUACAGAUGAAAGGGAAAUUAACAGAAAAAACAUCUAGAGUAUAUAUACCAAUGUAGCUCUGCACCUAAAAGUAUGUUUACAUACAAAAGCUGCAAAUUAUAAACUCAGCAUUGUUCCUGUAUCUAACCAAUACAACUAAUUAGAGAUGCUUUUCUUGAGCCAAAACUUGAACGACGACUAUAGAGUUGACAAUGAAUUGAUUUCUGUCCCAGAAAAGAACCAUAUAUAUAUUUUUGAAUGAAUGGGUAAAAAAUUAUAAAUUAACCAUAGAUUUAAAAAAGAAAACACAGGAAUUUCCACCAAGAAAAAUAUUCCAGCUGUUAGGUGUUGUUAACAGCUUAUAGCAAGCAUAGACCACCUAAACUCUGACCAACACCUCCACAUUAACCCCCNNNUUCUUCCUGUCAGCUAAAUUGGCCACAAGUUUAAAGACUCUCGAGCAACUAUUCUGUUACCCAAAUGCAUAACAUAUAUUCUGGCAAGAAAGUUCAUUACUGCUGGCAUCCAACUUCGAUCGAAUUUCAUAAAACUAUCCACAAAAUAUAGUUGUUGAAGGGGAGUCCUGGAGCAAUGGGAAAGUUGUCUCCGUGUGGUCACGGGUUCGAACCACGGAAGCAGCCACUAAUGCUUGCAUUAGGGUAGGUUGUUUACAUCACACCCUUUGGGGGUAUGGUCCUUCCCGGGACACUGCGUAAACGCGGGAUGCCUUAUGCACUAGGCUGUCUUUUUAUCCACAAGAUAUAGUUGUUGUACCCAUCCAAGCAAAUAUGAAAGAUACAUGUGCUGAUUUUCUAGUUUUUUUGCGAAUCAUUUAGUGAGAGAAGAGUAACUCUGCCUAUGUGAAAAGCAAAGCCGAUCUCAGGAGAGCCGUGGAAGGUUAACAGCCAGCAUAAAUACUCAAAUCACGGUGAAUCUUUUAGGAUACAAAGAACCUCAUACAGCCAACCCAACUAGUUGGAGACUGAGGCAUAGUCGCAUUGAGAAUUGUUCGAGGAAACUAAGAUUCCACCUUUCUGAAAAGGGAAUGCUCAGCCGCAGGUGAGAGGAAGGGAAUAAAACCCCAGGCACAGCAGUCAUACCACUUAACUACACCCAUUGAAGCUAGAAAUAUACUUAAAUGUGAACACACAUCAAUACUGCAUGAGCUCAAGGCACUACCUGAUGAAUACUCAUUUCCUCAAGACUUAUGUGCGUAUAAAUCUUGUCCUUGGCCAAAGCUGUAAUAUCACUGCCAACCAUAGAUUCAGCAAAUUAACCCAUUGAAAGUCUACAUACAACUACAAAAUCUACCAGUGUGAAGUAUGGCAAAACAACUAUUCAUUUAUAAACCUAUGAAAGUCUACAUACACUACAAAAUCUACCAGUGUGACGUAUGGCAAAACAACUAUUCAUUUAUAAACCUUCGGGAAUAUAUAUCCAAUAGGGAGUCAUUAUCAUCAACAAUGGGAAUUGCACUAACUUGAGCUGCAAAGGGAACAAAAACAUACAUAAGAGAUGCAGUAAGGUGAAAACUGAGAUCAGUCAGUGUAUUGAAUCACUAGCCAAAACUUAUCACCAUGAGACAAAUAACAUUAAGAUUCCAAAAAUUGAGAAUUCACAUUCUUCCGCAAUAACAGUGUGAAGUAAACUUUUUAGCGGGCAAUUAUAUUAAUUAGCAACUAUACAUGAUCUUAGCCAAAAGACUGAGAAAAGAUUAACCUUGCACUAAUAAAUCCAAUGCUGCAUUUAGAGAGGCAGUAGGCCUCAACAUUGCCAGUGGUUGUCGAUUUGGCUCUCCAAUUCUUGGAACCCAUGUGCCCAAAGGAAUUGCACCAAUUGGCAACUGAAGAAUUGGUAAAGAUUCUGGAGAAUACUUGAAAUACCUGCAAAUAUCUGAAAAUUAACGAAGUUGUGAGUCACGAAACCAAGAGUCAGUGAACACCCAAGAAAAAUUUAAAAACUCACUUUUUAGUAUCUCAGAAAGAGAAGCAAGAUAUAAUAGCUGAGGAUAUGAUCCAUCCUGAGCUGGUGAAUGAAUUAUAGGUAUUGUAGCAACCCCAUUUUGCAAAAUUUCCAACGCUACAUUCUUCAAGUUGUCAUCUGGCCCGGCCUGCAUUGCAUAGUGAAAAUCAAGCCAUGUAAAAGAAGUACAUGACAAGCAAUAGGUCCUAAACACACAACAAAAGUCUGUGAUUCAUGAAUCAGGACAUAAGACUAACAAUGUUUUAUACUUUUGGUAUAAGGAAAGUGUAGCUGAAAACUUAUUUCAGUAUUUGGAGGUCUUGGAUAAGCUGAGCUGAUUAUUGUAACAGCUAUCCCAGAUUCUCUUUGUUGUACUUUUCUGUACCUCCUUGGUACUUCUUUCAAUAAAUUUAACCUACCUUAUAAAAGAACAGAUGACUAACAGAAGUAGAAGAAAAAAAGUACGGGCAUCUUUAACAAGAAAAGUGCCAUGAUAGCCAGAUGCAACUAAGCAAAUUUAAUCAACUGAUCUCACAUUAAUACAGCACAUCAGCAUUGACUAAAUAGGCACAGGGAAUGCUAUUCUCUCCUACAAAAUAGAAAAGUGUGUAAUUCAUAGCAGCAAAAUUGUGAUGAUCUUAGUAGGCUUUCAUCAUUUUCAUUUCCAAUCAUCAAACUCAUGAUUGAUUCCAAGGUAUAGAAUAUAAUAACAAGUCGGUAUAAACUAAAUUAGUCUUAUCAUCUACUCUUAGAGAACCAUAAAAGAGCAGGAUCUUAUUCUCCAGGCUAUCCACUCUCCACCCUAUCUAUUACAUAUAAGCAUGAGUCAAAUGCUUGAAGAUUUCCUUCAACCAAAAUCUGUAAGUUACAGCUAUGGAUGGCAAUACAACAGCAAAGUACUCGAGAACAUAAAUGGGGAUUUUAAGUGUUUAACAAUAACCAAAAAUAUCCAUCACAAUUGCAAGGCGAAAGGAUAAGGUCAAAUCUGGGCUAUGCACAUUGACAUUUUCAAGCAGGCCAUCAACUCACCCAGACAAGUCGUCGGGGAACUGAUUUACCAUGCUCAUUGGCUUGUCUGCUUAAGUAAGAUUUUGCCUCUUUCCAUGCAGAUAUAGUAUGUGUCUCAAGCUCUUCCUCCGUCAGAUUGGAACCAUGAUUCCCAAGCUGCAAUAGGCCACGUUUUUUUACAAUCCAUCAAUUACCAGAGCAAAGAGUAAAACAUCUGAAUGUCUUUUUCAGAAACAUACUAAUUAGGGCAAAUGCACCGUAGAUUCUCACAAUAUGUGUUGCAUGAAGGAUUCACUAUUAACAACAUUAUAAAACUAUAACUAAAGUGGCAAAAUUGCAAGAAAUUCUACAACUUCAAGUAGCAAGUUAGCACUAAAUUUAUCAUGGCAUGUUGUCAUAAAAGAUUUAACCAUAAAAAAGGCAAUCAGCCAGAAGACGAAAUAAAUGACCCCAUAAACCUACCAGCUGAUUUUAACUAACUGAUCAUUGAUUUUGAAAUGAAGCAUGACCAUAAGACCACAGUCGUUAGGGAAACAGAAAAUACAUAAAUUUAGUUAGAUCCCACCUCAUAAACCCACAUUUUGAUGGAAUGCAAAGACAUAUUAUGUCAACAAGGGAAACUUUCAACAUAGAACUCACAAGAAAUAACAGCAUAGGUACAAAGAUACUAAGUCAAGUAUUAAGUAAUUUGGCUAGAUUACCAAAAUGGCAUGACUACAACACUUGCCUGGUUAUCAUAUAAAACUUUUGGUAUCAUCUAUUUCUUUUUUAAAAAUUUCCACCUUUCUUAGCUUGGAGGUGGUCAAGUUCCUACAUGGUGCAGGUGUUUCAGCUUAAAGAGAGGGAAAAAUUAUUUCUGUACAAUUUUGAAACAAUAUAGAUGGGAGACAAAGCCAAAACUUCUCAAACAUACAUAAAUCAAAUAAAAGCAUAGGUAUACCCAAAAUGCAUAAUGGAUCAUGUUAUGAUAGGAAGCAAGCACAAAAUCAAACCAGAGGGCUACCUUCAAAUGUCGCUUUACACAUACUUCACCUUCAGCAUGUCUAUAGAUAAGACAGAUACAAGGGCACUUCCAAAGCAGUAACAGAAGUAUAGAACCACAAAGGGAACAAGCCAGACCACAUUGUAAGCCCAAAAAAGGGGACCAGCAUUAAUGAAUUCAUAACAAUUAGAUGCCAUACAAGAUGUUGGAAGAAAUACAAAUACUGGUAGCAGCAUAUUAGUGCUAAAGGAAUUUGUCAGUUAAAAGACAUAACAAAAACUUUAGUCGAGGUGCGUGUAAGGUGCCUGGACACCAUGCUUGUCCCCAAAAAAAAGACAUGACUAAAACUUGCAAAGAGCUCUGGGUACCUCUCUCAUGAUUAAAAUAAAAUCCAAAGCGCUAAGGACUCCAACAAAUUGUGCCCUGCUGAAAUCCCAUAAAGGAGCCAUAGGAAUACCCUGAAAAUAAUACGCCCCAGAAACAGAUCUUACAAGAUCUUCAGGAAGAAAAUAUCUAGAAGUAUAAACAGCAUAAUGGAGAAGGCAAAGCCUAAUCUUUUUAUUUUUAUUUUUAGUGAAUACGGCAAUGCGCAAUCUUAUUUUCAAAGUAUGCUAAUAAACUCAGUAUAGCUGCAGAGGAAGCAGAAGUAUUAACUAACAAGUCAUUCUAUUCCCAAUUCUAGUAAAUGAACGAGGCUCAUACAAUAAUGCAUGAGAAAUCACAAAUUAUAAAAUAUAAUUCUAUAAGACAAUCAGAAGGUGCUUAGCACUAGAUUAAGCAUAUAUUUGGAAUGUUCUGACAUCCACAAACUUCUGUUCAAUGACCAUCCUGCCUUUUCUCUUUUAAAUGGAAAUGAGGCGUCAAGGCUGGACCCAAUGGAAGAACGGUUCUCAAAUGUGACAAAGUCUGAAAGUACCAUAUGUAUCAUGACACACACAGUACAUCUAGCACGAUAAAAUAUAUACCUGCUCAUGAAGAAUAUGAAAUGCUUGCUUUACGGGUAAGUCAACAUCCAAAGCAAUGACCUGAAAAGUAGCCGAAAUCAGGGAAGGCAACAAAACAUUCAUACCCAUCACAUCACCUAGAGAAAAUAUAGGAUAAACUAACUCAAACCUUGCUUGACCCUGGAAGCAGCUCAUAAGCUGUAUGUGUUGAUAGGACUGCAGAUAUACGGUGACGGGAAAUAUCUAAAUCUGUCUGUGAUAUCCUGGAAGCAUCAUCUGGCAAAGCACCAUCUGACACUCUUACCUAAAACAGAUAAGCAAAAAGAUUUUUAACAAGUCAAAAGGCAGAGUCACCAGCUCCCCCUCUAGAGGAUAUAAGAGAAUAUGUCAACAUAUAUAAGAAAAAAGAUUUUUAACAAGACAAAAGGCAGAGUCACUAGCUCCCCCUCCAGAGGAUAUAAGAGAAUAUGUUAAGAAGGGGGUAAAGAAGUCACAUAGGCUAUAAUGGUUGAACACCAGGUGCUUCAAGAUCACUUGUUUUAGCAUUUAGUGGACCAAAGUGACCGAUGCCUCACAAAUAGAUGCAGAGGUUCUUAUAAAUGUCAUCAAGUCAUCCCGUCUCAGAAAAGAACGGGCUAGAAAAGAAGUGACACCCCCAUACCACAAAUGAGCUGGUUCAGCAAAGAAUAAACAUAAACUAUACAGUUAAUAUGGAGGCUUCAUGUCUGACCUCUUCAAAAAAAACUGGACAUGUAGAAGUUAACUGUUGAUGACGAAUGAUGGCUUAUGCACCAAAAGAAUAUAUACAUACAAAAGCAUAAAUCCUCAGCUCCAGGUACAGAAUAGUGCAUACAGUGUGAUGGAGAAAUCCAUAAAAAUGAUAAUAGAUACGCUAAGAAAGUCUCAAUAUCCUAAUGAUUCAUGAACAACUUGCAACGUUCGGCAAUUUGCACGAGUACAGCUUUCUCUUACCAAGCGCUGAAAAGCCUGACUAUCCACAUCCAUGCUACAACUAGGAGGUAUUCGUGGAGUUAGUACUGCUGGAAGGUAGUCUGAUUCUCUAGCCAAGAGGACAGUAUUAACUGUUCCAUAGCUUCCACUCACAAAAGGUUGGUUCUCAUCAUGUCGCCAAUCACCAUCAACAAUGAACUUGUACUGCAAGUAAAGUAUGUAACCAGAAAUCCUUUAUCAGUUCAUGUAAGGAAGCUGAAAUGCCAAAUCUAAUGAGGAAAAGAAGCAAAAAAAAUUGAAUGCUGCAUCAAGAAAAGGCAAAUGAUAUUAAAUCUCAAAAUCAUGACACAGAUAAAAAUGACUCCCAGAUCUGAGACAUAGGUAAGAUGCAAGAUUACCGAAGGCCGCCCCGUAUUUCUCUCGUCAUGAAAGAAAAAGUGCAUGGGAAAUGCUGGCAAGACCUCACACUUAUAAAAGAUUCUUUCUUGUUUUUUCUUAAUUCUGAAACCAAAGUUUUGGCAAGCCUUUAAACUGAACAGUCACAGCUGAGUAUGAACUCUCUGUCUACUACAGUUGUCUAGAAGAACUAAUUAACCAUCUGCCAGGCAGCUCAGGUGUCUGUUUUUGAAUAUACAGACUAAAAUAAGGAUGAUGCCCGCACCAGCAAAGAUAAUGCUUUUAUGCUGGUCUAGAAAGAAAAUGAGUAAGGACCAUAGGAGUGCUUGGUUAGCAAUAGCAGCUUGCCUUUGGCAAUGUGGAAGGAAAUGAAUCAUCUUUAAAGUAAGGCCGCAGCAGUAAAUGGACUUACAACAAAAGCUAGUAUCUUUUAGCAAUUUGGUGCAACCUAAUGAAUAUGUAUGAAUCUAUAUACCCUGCUCCUUGGCAUUGGUUUAGAUGAAUAUAAUGGCAUACUUACCCCCAAAAAACGGCCUACUAGCAUCCCCCUCCAGCAACCCACUAAGAUGCUUCCUUCCAUUACAUCUCUAUUCUCACUUGAUGGCAGGAGUUUCCACACCAGAAAUGAAUUUCAAUCCUUAAAUAAAGCAAGCAAUGAAAACCAGUAUCCUACGACAGCCCACAUACUUGCUGUAGUAAGUCAAAUAAAACAUCUUUUAUGACUAUCUAAGUAGUUCAUCAGCAAGUUUACAAACUGGACUAGGCGGUUAAUGGUCUCGGCAAGUAGCAGCAAGGCUUAAGAAUCCCAAAAUUGGGAAAGUGUUUUCUAAUUUGCUUUAGACUGAAGUUAGGUCACCUGUCGAUAUCUACAAGAACUAAAUGAUUUGUCACAAUAGAGAGCAUGACAGCCUUCGACAAUCGACAAAUAUGUGAAAACUAGUCCUACUGCUAUCCAACUACUUACUAAUUAAAAGAAUAACAUUCACAAUUGUUUGCUAUCCACAAGAAAAGCAUAUAACUACUGAAACUAAUGGUACUAUCAUUUGCGCAAAUCACUUUAACUUUACAAUAUUAAUCCAUAACACAAAACAAACCUGAUGGUAACCAGGUGGUAUGCUGCAAAUAGCCUGAAAUACAGUUGGACAUCCUUCAACAGGAGUCAUCGGCCAUUGCGACCACCUUCAAAAAUUAUCCGUAAGAAAAACAAGAUAUUAGAGGGGCGCGUGCACACAGAGAGCGACAAAAAAAAAAGACAAGAAACAGUAAUGACAUGUUUGUGCCAGCUUAAAGUUAGUACCCAGUAAAUGUGCCACUCAAGCAAACACUUCUUCCCCCAUAAGGCCACACAAAACGUGUCGGAAUCAGAGCUGUGCCACUGUCCCGUGCAUAAUCCAUACCAGCAGGAUACACUCACUCUCCAAAUUAUAUUAAAACACAACCCCAGAUACUGUACUAUUCCAAAUUCAAAAAUGCUGAAAUUUAAAUAUAGUCUGAUGAAGCAUUCACUCUUCAAAUUAUAUAAAAACGCAACCCCAGAUACAGGACUACUCUAAUUUCUAAAAUGCUGAAAUUUAAAUAUAAAAUCUGAUGAAUGCAGCACAAAUAAAUUAAAAACCACAAUAAUUAUGGUUGACCCGUGACACGAAAAAAGUCUCAAACUAUAAUAAUACUAACCAGCAAAACCCAAAUUAAAUAGAAAUAAAAUAACAGACACCCAGUAGAAGUAAAGAAAAGGAAAAGGCUAAGAACUUUACACACCAAAAGGAAUUUUAAGCAAAUACCCAAAUUAAUAGAUGAAAUGACAAAUAAAAUUUGAAAUUUAAAAUUUCCAAUAUGAUUGAACGAUAAAAUGGUGAAAAAGCUUCGAUCUUUGGGACGAAAGGGAAGUCGAUCAGGGGAAAUGAAAACCCUAGAUAUGUGAAAAUGGAGAAUUGAGUUAAAAUUUUAUUUUUAAAAAAAAAGGAAAUGCAGAGAAAUGAAGAAUUAUAGAGAGAGAGACAGAGAGAGAGACAGGAGAAAACCCUAAUCCUAGAAUUUCUUUUUUGUUUUUGCUUCAAGAGGAUUUUUCCCAAUUCUUUUUUCUUGAAUUAAAAAUGAAGAUGUUCUUUUUCCACUAUUGAGAAAAAGAAAAUAUAAAAUCGACGCGCACGAAGUAGUGUGAGAUGCAACAAAACGGAGCGGAAACGGGGCAAAUACAGACCCGAAAGUGGCAAACUGAAAACUGAACACUACUAAUAUUACUUCUAGUGCUGCUCUUGUGUUUGUUUUUCUUGGGUAAAUUUGGAGGGUAGCCAAAAGUGGUGAAAGAGAAAGAGUCGAAUGAAUAAGAAUUAAUAUCAUGAUGAUGUAAAAUAUAAAGUGAAAGAAUUGAAUUAGUAAAAAUUACGGUCAUAACAGUGUAAAGCGAAAUAAUUGAAUGAAUAAGAUUUACAAUUAAUAGGUUAAAGCGAAAGAAUUGAAUAAGUAAAAUUUAUCGUUAUGAUGAUGCAAAGCGAACAUGAAAUUUUUCGCUUUGAUUGAAAAAUAAAUCAAUAAAAAUUACAAUAUUUUGAAAGAUUAUUUUUUCUCGAUGGAAAUAAGUUAUUCAUAUAAUUAAGAAUGAAAUAAAUAAAUAUAUAAAGAAUAUUGCUUUAAUAGAGAUUACAAGACCAAGCUCACUAUUUAAUAGCUUUCUUGUUUUGUUCAUAGUUACAAGAUUUUUGAGGUUACAAUUAUUCUAUCAUCACUUGUUUUUUCUCUCUUUUUAAAAGUCACUUUAAGGCAACUUUUCACUAUGUACGUACAAAAUCAACAUGAUCCUAUCAUUCAAAAUUUUAAUAUGUGAAAAGCUAAACCUUCAAAUAUCUCCUUAUUAAUAUAGAGAAGAACUCACUUUAUAUCCAUUAAUUUUAAAUUUUUUAUCCUUUUAAUGCCUAGGUUCAAACUAUUUACUACUUUUAUCCAUGUGCCCCAAACUAUUUACUGAGGAAGUGCACAUUUGGCCACUAAUAACACAUGUAUUUAUUUUUAAGUCACCGUUUAAAAUGUCUUUAGUCUUUAGCCACUGCUUUAAUAAACUUUAACUGCCCGGACAAAAUUACCAUUUUGCUCAUGUCCUUAACUUGAGGACUUUAUGACUACAUGUCCUUAACUUUUGAACUUGGAACUCUAAGUUCAGGACUUCAGGACUUCAGGACUACAUGUCAUUAACUUGUGAAUUUGGAACUCUAAGUUCGGAACCUCAAUGCUACAUGCUCUUAACUUUUUUAACUUGGAACUCAAACUUCAAGACCAAGCGUCCUUAAAUUUUGAACUUGUAAGUCAAAGUUAAGGAUAUAUUGUUCUUAACUUUUGAACAUGUAGCUGUAAGGAAUGUCUGUCCUUGACUUUUGAACUUGGAAAUCAAAGUUAAAGACCUAUUGUCCUUAAUUUUUGAACGUGUAACUGUUAGUUAAGGACUGUUUGUCCUUAACUUUUGAACUUGUAACUGUAAGUUAAGAACUGUUUAUCCUUAACUUUUGAACUUGUGCCCUUAACUAUUAAAGUUAACUUUAGGAUUUCAAGACUACAUUUCCUCGCUACCAAGUACUUGUAUUUCAUCUGAAGUGACUGGAGGAGUUUUCUGUUCAAUAUUUUGCGAGGCUAUUUCUAUCUCCGGAUCAAUAUCAGAAGGAACUUCUUCGUCACUAUCACCUUUGACUCAGAAUUCGCAAUCUUCGUAUUAGCAGCUGUUUUCAAAACUAAAAGCAUUGUUGUCAAUCAUAACAGUAGUGAACAAGCAUAAAUUAAAACCAAAAGAAAAUAUUAUAUUGAUACACACAAAACAAUGGUCUUAAAUUACCUGGGCUCUUUGUUUUUCUUUCUUGAGUUGAGCAUUGCUUAGAUAGUAUCACCUCACUAGCUGGAUUGCCAGUCUCCUCUUCUCUAACACUUCUGGGAACUCGGAAAUACACAACAUAUUUCAAGUUAAAGAUACCAGAGAAUACGAAGUCUUUAUGUUUUAAUGCAUCGGUGUAUUUCCGUUUGGGGAGGAAAGGGUAACACAAUCUUUUUAUAUUAAUUUUAAUAGAAUAGUAGCUACUACUGCUAAACAUUAAAAAUUGUGGAUAAAAGUAAAUACCAGCUUAAACAGUGGCUACCCCACGCCAUUUCUAUACUAUUUACCUGUCUUUAUUAUGUUCCUCUUCUUCUUCUUCCUCAUUUUACCUUCCUCCAUUCUUUGCUCAACUUCCCAACCAUGUCAAAACCACAUUUCGAAAAUAGUAGUUCAACUUCUCGCCCACUCUCAACCCAUUCUGUUUCCAUCUCUUUUUUCUAUAGUAUUUACUUUCAAUUUAUAUCUUAUAGUAAAGUUUUAAGAAAGAAAAUAGUUUUUUUUGAAGAUUUAUUGUUUGACUCGAUGUGGUGUUAUAAAAUAUUGCUUGUAUUAUCGUCGAGUAAGCUUCCCAGAUCUAAAUCUUUUUGUGUAUUUGAAUAUCCACUAUUGUUGAUCUUGAAGCUCAAUUUUAUUUUUGAAGAUUUCUUGUUUGAUUCAUGAUUCAAGGUGGGUGAUGUUGAAGUUUAUACUGAAAUUUGAUAGCAUUUGGAGCUGAUUUGAGGUGAUUGAGAUUGAAAUUUUCAGUUGAAAAUCGAAGAACACAGCUACAGUAUUCCGCUACGGUAUACAAUAUAUUGUCGGAGUAUAUAGCUAUACUACAAACACAGUUACCCAACAGUGUAGCGCUACAGUAUACAAUAUACUAUAGGAGUAUAUAGUUAUACUACAAUAGUAUACUAUUAUAGUAUAUAAUAUAUUGUAAUAACACACAAUAUACGGUAACAAUAUGUUGUAAUAGUAUACAAUCUACUAUAAUAAUGUACUUAUUACCGUAAAUUCACUUGCCUUUUUCCUUUUAAUUUGCUUUAAGCUUUUACAUAGCGUGAGAGGCAAAUUAAAAAUGCAAAAAAAAUAUAUAGUAUCCUAUAUAAUGUAACGACACACUCUUACAAUUAGAUUCUUUUAGAAUUUUUUGAAAUUUUUAUUAACAACUGAUAUUAUUUCAGUUUAAUAAUUGAAUUAAACUUUUUUUAGCUCUUUGUGUACAAUUGUAUACCCUAUUGGUAUAACAAUAUACUAUACUUGUAUCAUAUGUUAGUUAAUAUUUUUUGGCUGAUUAGCUACAUUUAAUUGGUACACAAUUUGAUUUUUCUUUAGUAAUAAUAAUAAAAAGAAUAAUAAAAAAUGGUGAAAUAGUAACUAAAAUUAGAUUAUGAAGAGAAAAAGAAUAUAAAAAAGGGAAUUUAAAUAAAAUUAGAAUAGGAAAAAGGAAAAAAUGAGAAGAAAAUGAGAAAAAAAGGAGAAAAGAAAAAAAGAAAAAAGAAAAGAUAGGAAUUAAAAAGAAUUAAAAAAUAAAGAAAAAAUUCCCCACAAAAUUUACCAUGAAAAGAAAGUGUAAUUAGUUUAUGUGUCAAAACCUUAUUAAUAUAUGUCAUUUUACGUGGAUGGCGAGAUAUUUAAAGGUCUAUAAUUUUACAUAUCAAAAUUUUGAAUGAUAGGAUAGAGAAUAAAUUAGAUAAAAUAAAGGUCGUCAUUCCAAAGUAAUAGCAAUUAAAAGCACUAUAUAAAAAAUAAUAAUAUUCAAAACAGGUUACAUGUUUUAUUUCAAAGUGGAAUCAUAUUUUGGCACAUCAAGAACUAAUAUGUGACAUUGAUGAAGCCCGGUUCUUUGGUACCAAUUGAAUUGAUCUAUGGAUUCGCAUUCAAACUACAUGUGAUAUUAUAUUAUCAGAAUACUAAAGAGGUAUAACCCAUGACUUUUAACAUUACUCUAUCUGAUUGUACAAAAUGAUUUACAUCAUUUUGCGAGUUAUUCUUGAGUAUGACUUGCACACAAUUUGAAGCUAACAAAUAUUUCUUUUGAGAGUGAUUGGUGACUUUUCAAUGCGAUAGCAACAAGAAAGAUUAGUUGAAACAUUGACCCAAAUACGAACAUAUUUAAAAAGAGGCUGAAAAUUUUAAAAUUAGUUCGACUGCUACAAACUAAAAAGAAGAAGUAUUGAUGGCUCUGUGCAUAAUCACAUUUAGUUCGUCCUUUAUAAAACUUUAAUGAAAAUUUUUCAGUAUAUUGUAGUUUUAGGGAUUUAAAAUUCGAAUAACCAUUUUAAAACUUAAUCUAUCUGUAAGCAUAUAAGUUUUAUUAAAAUUAAAUCCGUAAAAUAAUUUGGACUAUAUUUUAAAUUCAAGAUAUAUUAGUUCAAAUAAAUUUAUUGGGCUAUUAUAAUUGAACUAAUUAUAUAAGUCCAACAUAUAUGGAUUAAAUAAGUAAGUCUCAAUCCAUUGGGUUAACCCAUUUAAUUGGCUAAAGUGAUGAGUCCACUUCAUUAGACCCAAUAUGUCAUAUUCCUAGAAGCCCAAUUUGGUGCCACGUUUCAAAUGACAUGGCGCGCCAAGUCAAAUGGAAGAGUAAAUAGGAUCAUGCCACGUGUCCAAAUGACAAGGCAUGCCAAAUCAUACUAAAAGACCAAUGAAAUCGCACCACGUGUGCAAGUGACAUAUUUUGACCAAUCAAAUGUGGUCAUGUCACACUCCAAUUUGAUUGGUCGGAAAGAGUUUGUUCUUAUCAUAACUCUUCCGUUCCACAACUAUAAAUAGGGGUCUUCAUAACUCAGAAAAGGGACCAGAAGUUAUAACAAGAAGUCCCUCCUACAACUAUAAAUAGGAGUCUUCUUAACUCAGAAAAGACACCACAAGUUAUAACAAGAAGCAAGAAAGAGAUCGUGGAUCAAACGCUACAAAUUCCUCCACAAGUUUCAAGCUUCAAGUUCAAUUUCAAGAAAUCAAGUUCAAGCUAAAAAACGAAGACCAAAUCAAGUUCAAGUCUAAGCAAUUAAGCUCAAGCUCAAGAACAAUAUCAUUGUUCGUGGCGACAAAUAUAGAUUCAAGAUCAAGCUCAAAGGCCCUUGAAUUUAUUUACUAUUGGAAAGAAGAAUUAGAGGAUUCAUAGAGAUUGUAACACUCAAAUAUUCGAAAUAAAAUACAAUAUUAUUGUGAUAUUUUCGGUCUUGAUUUUAUUCUCUCGAAGCAAAUUUAUUAUCUACAAAUUCUUGCACGCCCAGUGGGACAAUCUCUACCUCUCAUCUCAACUUUUCAAUCAUUAAAGUCCAAGAACGUUGAAAUGACUUCAAAGAAAAUCAACUCCGGUUCAACUUCCACCAAGGCCACUAACUCUAGGUCCUACGCUGAUGUGGAAAGCAUCAUCGAUAUCACCUUUGGAAGCUUCAGACCAGUUACGAGGAGCAAAGCAAGCUUUUUUAGGACAACAAGCAUCCCAAGCACCGUCUGCAUCAACCCUUGUUUUCGGAUCUUCAUCCUUAAAAGGAGCAAGAUCUGCCACAAACGCAUCUGAAUGAGGAAGCGAUGUUGCUGAAAAGAUCAAGAAAACACUGGCUCUGCUUGACCUCUCCGGCUCCGAGCACUCUUGCUGUGAAGGAAGAUGAUGAUGCUUCAAGUGAUGUAUCCUCCCCACUUACACCACAUAGCGUGAGCCAAUCAAGGAUCAAUCUGUGUGAAAAUUCAUGCUACUCUCCGUCAUCCACGACAAUCAUGCAAGUCUUGGUGAGAAGCACUUCAUCCAUGGAGGAUCAGUUGGCAAAUUUGACGGAAGCAGUCGCUGGCUUGACCAAAUGCGCUCAAAAUCAAGAGGUUAGAAUUGACAAGCUAACAAAUAGGGUGUGAAUCUUGAUACUAUAGUAACAAACACUUCAUCCAUGGAGGAGCAGUUGGCAAAGCUGGCGUGACUAAAUACAUGCAAAAUCAAGAGGCAAGAAUUGACAAGCUAACAGACAGGGUGGGAAUCUUUAUGGAGGAAGAAUCUACCCAUGCAGCCGGCAAGCUCCCAGAAGUUCUAGAGAGUGACUCUCUCCCAAGACAAGCAUCAUCCACUAAGGCUAUCCCUGUCUCAUCUGAAUGGAUGAUUCCAAUCAAUCAACUGAAGGAGUUCAUCGAAGGAACUAUUAUGAACAAAUAUAAAGUUGCUGCCAAGUCCUCCCUUACAUAUGCAAAGCCGUACACUACAAGGGUCGAUAUGUUGAAGAUGCAUGCUGGCUAUCAACCUCCGAAGUUUCAACAGUUUAAUGGUAAAGAUAACCCGAAGUAACAUGUUACGCACUUCCUGGAGACAUGCAACAAUGCUGGGACUUAUGGAGAUUACCUCAUCAAGCAUUUUGUCCGCUUAUUGAAAGGAAAUGCUUUUGACUGGUACACAAACCUCGAGGCUGGAUCCAUCGAUAGUUGGGAUCAACUAGAGCAAGAAUUCCUCAAUCGCUUUUAUAGCACAAGACGCACGGUGAGUAUGAUAGAGCUUACAAAUACUCGUCAACAAAAGGGGGAACCAGUUAUCGACUUUAUCAAUCGUUGGAAGAAUGCAAGCCUCAACUGCAAAGACAAGCUUAAUGAAACUUCAGGCAUAGAGAUGUGCAUCCAAGGAAUGUAUUGGGGAUUGCCCUACAUCUUGCAAGGUAUCAAGCCUAGCACAUUUGAAGAACUUGCAACUCAUGCCCAUGACAUGGAANNNNNNNNNNNNNNNNNNNNNNNNNNNNNNNNNNNNNNNNNNNNNNNNNNNNNNNNNNNNNNNNNNNNNNNNAACUUGCAACUCAUGCCCAUGACAUGGAAUUGAGCAUGGCCUCCGCUGGAAAUGAAAGGCUGCCCAUCUAUGAACCUCGCAAAGUGAAUGACAAGAAAGAAGUCAGGAAGUGGGGCAAGUUCGUACCUAAAUCUGAAAGCAAAGAAGCUAUGAAUGUAAAUACGUUACCUAUGAAGUUCACGACGAAUGUGAGUAAGAAGCAGAGUAUGAAAUCCACUUCUUUUCAUGAUAAUCCAAGUGGAAAGUUGACUCUAAAAGAGAUGCAGGAGAAAGAGUACCCAUUCCUGGAUUCUAAUGUGCCAGCCAUUUUCGAAGAACUCCUCGAUUUAAAUCUCAUUGAGCUUCCGGAGAUGAAGCGAACAAAUGAAGCUGGGAAAACAAAUUACCCAAAUUACUGUAAAUAUCACCGUCUUGUAAACCACCCUCUGGAGAAGUGCUUUGUUUUCAAGGAUAAAGUCAUGGACUUGGCUCGCGAAAAAGAAGAUCGUGCUUGAAGAGGAGAAAGCAAGCGCAAACAAGGUCUCUAUCACCUUUGGCUCAUUCAGUCCGGAUGAAUUAUGUGGUUUUAAAGAAAAUAAGGAUGAAGAAUUAAUAGAGAGCGAAAAAGAUGAAGUCAACCAACCUGAUGAUGAUGAAGGCUGGACAUUGGUGACUCGUCGUAGACACCACAAAAGAAGCCCACGAAAAGAACCAGUGGAACAACCAACAAGGAAGAUGAUUAUUAAAAGACCAAUAAAAAAGAAUCCAGUUAGGCAUUUGAAGAAAGCAAAAGUGGAGAUGCACCACCCUCAAAAGCCACGAAAUCAAGUGACCUUUGAGGAGUUUUUACCAAGUUGGUUCCGCACGAAGAUUUCCCAUAAGGUCAUUGAUGUCUCUUGUUGCCAUGCUGACAAAGGAGAAGAAAAGAGUGAUGACCUACCGUUGGCUCCAUCUUCGGAAAAUAGAGUCCACUCCUCAAAAAGUUAAUGCUUGUAAGGAGAAGGUUACUUUCACGAAUGACGAUCUCUUACUAGGUAACACUCCUCAUAACUGCCCAGUGUACCUGGUUGGCUAUAUACUAGAUUAAAGGGUAAAUCGAAUUUUGGUUGAUGGAGGAUCCUCAAUGAACAAUUUGCCAAUCCAUACUGUGAAAGAACUUGGUAUUCCCAUGAACGAACUCUCAGAAAGUCGUGCGAUGAUCCAAGGAUUCAACCAAGGGGGGAAAAGAUCCAUAGGCACAAUCAGGCUGUGAAUCACUAUUUAAGAUAUGCAAUCAAGUGCAUGGCUGCAUGUGAUCUGCGCGAAGAUUUCAUACAAUGUUUUGCUUGGGAGGCCUUGGAUACAUGAGAAUAAAUUAGUUCCAUCUACCUACCAUCAAUGUUUAAAAUACUAUGAAGGUGAAGUAGAGAAGACGAUAAUUGCUGACGAUAAGCCAUUCAGCGAGGCUGAGUCACACUUCGCCGAUGCAAAGGUGUUUAAAAUACUAUGAAGAUAAAGUCGAGAAGAUGAUAGUUGCCGAUGAUGAGCCGUUUAUCGAGGUUGAGUCACCCUUCACCGAUGCAAAGUUCUACUUGAAAAACCGCAUUGUGAAGGAGAUGAAAGCUGAUGGUGGUAUGAAAAGCAAGAAUAAAGAGCCCUCAGCUAAAAGAGAAGAGGCGACUACUGGUGAAGCCAAAGCUGUUAGUAAGGAGGUACAACCCAAUGUAAAUAAAUCUUAUGGAGGGAAUAUUAUGUCUUAUGGCAAAAAAGUAAGUUUGGCACUCUAAUAUGUCCCUAAAAGGAAGAAAAAUGAAGGUGAAUCAUCUAAUCGCCUAGCUAACACGCUAAAAGAGUUAACUCUUUCGGUCAAACAAUUUGAGGCAGUAAAGUCGUCUUCAAUGCCGCUUGCAGAGUUUGUAGCCCAAAAUCGUUUGCAGAAUAUGGCACUCCCUACAAAGUGAUCAGAUGGAGGUUUUGAUCCUAAUGCUUACAAGCUAUUUGCAAAAGCUGGAUAGAAUCCCAAUGAGCCGUCAAAGUUAGGAAAGCUCCCAUCUGAAGCUGCAACGAGGCAACCACGUGAAGGUCUAGGAUACAAGCAACCGUCACUUAUGCGCAUCUUAAUAAGGAGGGCGAGCAGCAACUAUAUCACUAAAGAAGAUGAAUCAGCCGCCUCUAAUAAGCCUUUUUUCUUUGAUCGACUUGGAAAAUCACCCGUGAGGGCCUCCGUGUUUGAAAGAUUGGGUCCACUAAAGAAGGGUAACAAGAUCCGGAGAAAUUUUCAAAGCAUAAGAACACUCGCUUCACCUAAAAUUGAGGAGAUCUCCAAGUAUUUCCAAAGUUUGGUUCCUUCUAGAAUGAGGCGACAAACAAAACUUAUGGUUUCAUGUAAAUAGGCACUGAAGGUAAAGCCAUACACCGUGGUCUACACUAAGGAACGUGAUGAAGACAAAGAAAUUGUAGGUUCUUCGUAUCACAUUACUGUACAAGUUGAGAAUGGCAUUCCAUCUUCAAUGGAACAUAAUGCGAAAUUGGAGCAUGUUUCAGUGUUAUCACACAUCCCUCAAUGAUGGUGACCCUCAAGAUGAUGAAGAUGCGAAAGAUGCUCCGCCUGAACUUGAAGAAGGAGUGAAUAUGACAAUUGAUGCCUUAAAAGAAGUCAACCUUGGCACUGAUGAAGAACCAAGACCAUCCUAUAUAAGUGCUUUACUUGAAGUUGAUGAGAAGGGUGCUUAUAUUGAGUUACUCAAAGAGUUCAGGGAUGUCUUCGCUUGGAGUUACAAAGAGAUGCAUGGCUUGGACCGGAAAGUAGUAGUCCAUCACCUUGCAGUCAAAAAUGGCGCUCGCCCUGUUAAGCAAGCUCAAAGGCCGGACUUGGUUCCCCUAAUUGAAGCUGAAGUUAACAAACUCAUUAAAGCUGGAUUUAUUCGGGAAGUUAAAUACCCAAUAUGGGUUUCAAGUAUUGUCCCUGUAAGGAAGAAGAAUGGCCAGAUUCGAGUAUCCGUUGACUUUAGGGACCUCAAUAAUACGUGUCCCAAGGAUGAAUUCCCGGUUCCUAUUCCAGAGCUGAUGAUCGAUGCUACUACUGGUUACGAGACAAUGACUUUCAUGGACGGUUCGUCGGGCUAUAACCAAAUUCGCAUGGCACCAAAAGAUGAAGAGCUUAUGUCCCAAUGAUGAAUUCCCGCUUCCUAUUCCAGAGCAGAUAAUCGAUGAUACUACUAGGUAUGAGGCAAUGUCUUUCAUGGACGGUUCGUCGGGCUAUAACCAAAUUCGCAUGGUACCAAAAGAUGAAGAGCUUACCGCGUUUCGCACUCCCAGGGGUAUUUAUUGCUACAAGGUAAUGCCUUUUGGCUUGAAGAAUUCUGGUGCUACUUACCAAAGGGCUAUGCAGAAUAUUUUUGACGAUCUUCUCGAGAAGAAUAUCGAAUGCUAUGUUGACGACUUGGUGGUGAAAUCAAAAGAGAAGGGCGACCAUAGAAAAGACCUGAGGAUGGUAUUUGAAUUGCUCCCGAGGUACCAACUUAGGAUGAAUCUAUUGAAAUGUGCCUUUGGAGUUACUCAUGGAAAGUUCCUUGGUUUCAUUAUCCGACAUCGAGGGAUCGAAAUUGAUCAAGCCAAAGUUGAUGCCAUUUUGAAAAUGCCUGAGCCUCGAGAUAUCCAUAAAUUGAAAAGUCUGCAAGGAAAGCUAGCAUACCUUAAAAGAUUCAUAUUAAACCUGGCUGGGAGGUGCCAACCAUUUAGUCAUCUCAUGAAGAAAGCCGUUCCUUUCAAGUGGGACCAAGCUUGUAGCAAUGACUUCGAAAGUCUCAAAACCUACUUUAUAAAGCUCCAAUUCUAGCAGCUCUUACACCUGGGAAGCCAUUGAUACUAUAUAUUGCGACGCAGGAAAGGUCUGUUGGAGCAUUAUUGGCCCAAGAAAUAGUAAGGAGAAAGAAAACUCUCUUUACUACUUGAGCAGGAUGAUGACACCUAACGAGUUGAACUAUUCACCAAUUGAAAAGUUGUGUUUGGCGCUAGUCUUCUCAAUUCAAAAGUUGAAGCACUACUUUGAAGCUUAUGUAGUCCAUCUUGUUUCUAAAGCAAAUCCCAUCAAGUUCGUGAUGUCAAAACCUGUUCUAAGUGAUCGACUAGCGAUAUGGUACCUCCAAUUUCAAUAAUUCAAGAUUUUGUACAUCCCUCAAAAGGCUAUAAAGGGACAAGCAUUGGUAGACUUCUUGGCAGAUUAUCUGAUACCUGAUGACUAGGAGCUAACUGAUGAACUACCUGAUGAGGAUGCAAUGGUCGUUGAAGUUCAACUUCCAUGGAAGAUGCACUUUGAUGGUGAUGCGUAUUGUGGGGGAGUCGGGACUGGCAUUAUAUUUGUCACUCCCCAAAGAGAAGUCUUGCCUUACUCCUUCACCUUGACACAACUAUGUUCCAACAAUGUUGCUAAGUAUCAAGCCUUAAUACUUGUGCUUGAAAUGGCCGUUGAUAUGAAGCAAUUGCAAUUGAAAGUCUUCAGUGACUCCCAGUUAGUGGUCAAUCAGCUUUUGGGUAGUUACGAGGUUAAGAAGCCUACACUACGCCCAUAUUAUGAUUACGCUAAAUAGUUGAUGGGAUGGCUCAAUGAUGUGACUAUUCAGCUUGUGCCAAGGAAAGAAAAUAAGAUGGCUGAUGCUUUAGCUGCUCUAGCUUCAUCAUUAGCACUGCCUGACAAAGCACAAGUUGCCGUCUGCCAAAAAUGAGUAGUACCUCCGCCAAAUGAGGUUGAAGGUGAAUAAAACAAACUCAAGCAUCUUGUUGCGGUUUUUGAAGUUGAGAAAGAAGAAUGGCGACAACCCAUCAUCGACUACUUAUGCUAUGGGAUACUUCCAGAAAAUUCGAGGAGAAGGACUGAAAUCCGUCGUCGUGCACCUCACUUCCUUUGCUACAAAGAUACCCUAUACAGAAGAUCAUUCGAGGGAGUACUCUUGCGACGCUUAGGGGAAGAUGAAGCACUCUAAUGAGAAGAAAGACUGAAAUCCAUCGUCAUGCACCUCACUUCCUUUACUACAAAGAUAAUCUAUACAGAAGAUCAUUCGAGGGAGUACUCUUGCGAUGCUUAGGGGAAGAUGAAGCACUCCAAGCUUUGCAAGAAGUGCAUUCUGGGGUAUGUGGGUCACACCAGUCUGGACCAAAGCUGUAUUUUCAUAUAAAAAGGAUGGGAUAUUAUUGGCCAACGAUGGUAAAAGAUUGCUAGGACUAUGCUCGAAGAUGCAAGGCUUGUUAAUUCCAUGCGAAUUUUAUUCAUCAACCUCCUGAACUGUUGCACCCCACUGUUGCAUCCUAGCCAUUUGACGCUUGGGGAUUGGAUGUUGUUGGACCACUGCCAAAGUCCUCUAGUAGGCACCUAUACAUCUUGGAUGCAACUGAUUAUUUCUCACAAAUGGGCUGAAGUUGUUGCUCUUAAGGAAGUAAAGAAGGAAAAUGUUGCAAGUUUCAUCCGAGUAAACAUUAUUUAUCGCUUUGGCAUUCCUCGUUGCAAAAUAACGGAUAAUGAAAAGCCAUUCAAUAAUAGGUUGAUGAACAAGAUUUGUGAUCUCUUUAGCUUCAAGCAACGUAACUCUUCGAUGUACAAUGUUGCUGCCAAUGGUCUAGCUGAGGCAUUCAACAAGACUCUAUGCAACUUUUUAAAGAAAGUCAUCUCCAAAUCCAAACGAGAUUGGAAUGACCGUAUGUAAGAAGAUCUAUAGGCAUAUAGGACGACUCACUGCAUGCCAACACAUGCAACUCCUUAUUCACUCGUUUAUGGAGUCGAAGUCGUCUUGCUACUUGAGCGUCAAAUACCUUUGUUACGGCUGGCUAUUCAAGAAGGGAUCACUGAUGAAGAAAAUGAUCGACUUCGGUUAGCAGAGUUAGAAUCUCUUGAUGAAAUGAGAUUAGAAGCUCAAUAGAGUCUUGAAUGUUAUCAAGCUAGAUUAUCUCGUGCCUUCAAUAAAAGAGUUCGCCCGAGAUCCUUUCAAGUAGGAGAUCAAGUCCUUGCCGUACGAAGACCCAUAAUUACUUCUAGAUUAUCUCGUGCCUUCAAUAAAAGAGUUCGCCCGAGAUCCUUUCAAGUAGGAGAUCAAUUCCUUGUCGUAUGAAGACCCAUAAUUACUUCCCAUUAACAUGUAGGGAAGUUCACUUGAAACUGGGAUGGACCAUAUGUUGUACAAGAAGCUUACUCAAGUGGGGCUUACAAGGUGGUUGAUGCAGAUGGCAUGAGGAUCGACCCUAUCAAUGGCAAGUUUUUGAAGAAGUAUUAUCCUUGAAGUGCCACGCUCCUUGAUACACGAGCCUAAAUUGCAUGUUGCUAUACUCCUGCCCUCAUGAGUCUAAACUGUGUAUGGCCCCUAUAAAAAAUUAAAAAAAGAGUCCGCUAGGUUGAAAAUCUCAAAAGAGGCAGCCUAGGCAAAAAUGCAUGUUGCUAUACUCUUGGCCCGCAUGAGUCUAAAUUGUGUAUGGCCCCUACAAAAAAAAAAGAGGCCGCUAGGUUGAAAAUCUUGAAAGAGGCGGCCUAGGCAAAAGUUAGGACACAAAGAAAAGAGUCUGCUAGGUUGAAAAUCUCGAAAGAGGCGGCCUAGGGAAAACUUAGGACGUAAAAAAAAAACUACCCAUUCUGAACUACGGUAUGACUUGAUCCUCUUCAUCGAGGUACGUAGACAUAUUAGAGUUUCAUUCUAAGUUCAAAAGAUACAUGUUGCCCCCGUUGUUGUUCGAAUGAAGUAUGAAGGAAUGUAAGAUCAAGCUGAAAUGUCAUCCUCAUGUUGAUCUUUGAUCUCACUUGACUUAAAGGGGGCAAUCCUCCAUCGUAAAUUGAUAUAUUCAAUGGGCCGAUUUUAGAAGGAUGUCAAGUAUUUGCAUUGGAGUCGAGGGAUUCUCUACGUCUUCGGGUUCGACAAACCUUCAAAUUAGUUGGUCUCCAAGUCCGCCCUCUACCUUAAAAAAAAGGGGGUGGGGGAGGGAGAAACGAGGCGUCAAAAGGAAACACAAUUAUAAGGAAAUGAUUGCUUGGUGCAACGUUUCAAAAAUUCAGUGAGAUUUGAACCCCAAGAUAUUUGUAGAAUAUGGCUCUUAAAUUUCGAUUUAUGGCAAGUAAGAUGUCUUUCAAUCUCGAGCUUCCAUAUCAUGAUACAAAACCUUUGGCAAAGUCGCGCAAAUCUAAAGUUUCAACGUGGUGGAACCUAAAGUUGAUUUCAAAAUAUCAUUUGGGAUGAUUCAGAGGUUGUUUGACCGAGGAUUUUGGAUAUGUUCUAGAUCUUGAAGUCUAGUUUUCAAUAAAUCAAACGGUUUGUAAUUUCGAUAUUUCUACACCGAGAUAUGAGUUUUUGGUGAGAGUACACAAAUCCAAAAUUUCCUACAUGGUGGAAUCUACAGUUGGUUUUAAAAUAUUACCUAGGUCGAUUCUGAAAGUGUUUGAUUCUUUGUUUUGGUUACGUUUUAGAUAUUGAAGUCUAAUUUUCAAAAAAUUAAACGGUUCUUUAGUUGGACUCUUCCACAACAAGAUAUGAAUCUUUCAUUACGAGCGCCGAGCGCGUAAAGCAGAAAAUUGUGCAACUAAGAUAAAUGUCGGGCAAAAUAAAAAAAGAGAAGUAAUCUUAUUUAAGAUGAAAUAAAUAUCCACUAGGUCAACCUAAUAUAAAGAUAAAAGGGGAGAUAAUGCUAAUAGCCUAAUCUAAACAAAACUUGUUGUUGAUAAAUUCUUGACAGCUAGCCUCUAGGUUCUUCUUCUUCUCCUCCAAAUUGGCCGAAUCAUCAACAAUCAAUAAAUUUACGUAGUCAUAUGAAGAGACCUCAAUCUCGAUAGUUGAAAUUUUUGCCUGAAUAUCUUGUAGUUGAUCAAUUCUUGACAGCUAGCCUCCAGGUUCUUCUUCUUCUCCUCCAAAUUGGCCGAAUAAUCAAACAUCAAUAAAUUUACAUUGUCAUAUGACGAGACCUCAGUCUCGGCAGUUGAAAUUUUUGCUUGAAUCUCUUCAACCUCCUUUUGAGUAUCUUCUAUAACACCUUCGAGGUUCUCCCUCUCUUGUUGUAAUGUUUGUAACUUCUUCACAACUCUCUUCAGCCUUUUUUCGCUAGAGGAAACUUUCUUGACUUUCUCACUUGCGUCAAGUUUGAAUGAUUUGAGACACUCAUUAGCUUUGGAAAUAGGCUCUAGCUUCUCAUCUUCACUCGUCUUAUCAGCCAUAUUGGAUCGCUCUUGGUCAUAUGACGCGGCAAGUUCAAAAAGAGAAAAGCCUCUAAUGGAUAAAGAUCCAAAAUAUUCGUCUUCUUCAUAUCCUCGAAAAUCUCAAUGAUUUGCUCCCAAUAAGAUGAGAGCAAUUCCUGACGAGUUUUGGAGAGCCUAUUGCAAAUAUCCUCCCAAAGUACCAAGAUCAAUUCCAUUUUGCGAUUAACAACAAUGCUUUUUCCUUCAAAUAUAGAUAACACCGUAUUUGUCAUUGGUGGAAUGUGAUUUAUCUCAUUUGGAGUUUGUCUUUUUAGGGAUUCGUCAUGAGGGAAAAAUGAUGCCUUUGAAGAUAACUUCAUUUUACACGUAGGCCCUUCAAUAGAUUCAUCACUCACUUGCGGCUUGUCGUAAGGGGAUACCAUCGGAUGCCCAAUGGUGUUUAACUGCAUAAAGAGAAGCCAAAGAAUGUAAGUAAUUUAUAGUGAAGCUACUUAUAAAAAAAUAAAAAAGAAAAAGGGAAAAGGCGAAGUGAUUGUAUUUUACCUCUUCAUUACAAGCUGUAUGCUUAUCGAGGGACUAUCAACACUUUGAACCUGUACGACCUCUACUGGGAUAGGCCGUUUCCUUUUCCAAUUUUGAUCUUCAUUGGUACUCUGGCUUGUAUCUUGAGGAACUCGCAUGUUAACUGGAAGAACUGGAGGUUGUUUCUCUAUAUCUGUUGAAGUGUGCACCAUUUCUUUCAAAGCUGCCUUUGAGGAUGUAAGCUUCCUUUUUUAUGUUGUAUAAUUAUCUUUGGGAUUGGAGUUAGUGGUUCUCUUACUUUUGACAGCGUCUUUCCAACACCUUGAUCUUCACCUUCUAAAGGCGUAGUAGAUUUUAGCCAAACAUUGUCUAACAGAGCCCGUAAAUUAUUCUCGAGAAACUUUUCAUGCGCUUUCUCCCACCAAGACAUAUAAUUGGCAGAGAAAGGCUUCUCUACAGGGUCCCCCGUUGGAGGGGAAAACUGCACGUGACAUAGACCGAUACAGUGUAUAGAUCCUCCAAAAUCUGGUAAAACCCAAAUUGACGACCAAACCAAUGCAGGCUAUAUGGCUCGAUGAUGAAUGAGUUAUCAUGCCUCAAAGGGAGGUGAUUAAAAUGUAAGCUCAUGAAGUAAUUUGACUCCACUCUUGAGGGGCAUCAUUAUCCAUGUAAAUAAGGACGAGAAUUGGAUACCAUUGUUGGUGUCCAAACUAUAUCCUCCCCAUUGUGGAUGCAUUUUCUUGCAUCAUUCUCGUCAAAGUACCUCGGAGCUCCUUCUCUGGAGUAUGCCACCAUCAAAGGGACAGACGGGCCCUUAGCAAGUGGAUAAUGAGUUUUAAGGUAAUGUGCAAGCCAGCCUAAACAUAAUGGUUGGAAAAACAAACUUCGACCUGAUCAAGUUUUUAAGAACAUGAAAUCUUAUUCAAACCAUGAUAAAUACUUGCCAAAACUGGGAUCGCAAGGCUAAUAUUUUAUCCGCUUGCCAUUUUAAAUGUCUUGGGACGAAUGAAGCUCUCCGCCUUAUUGGGAAAUACAAAAGCACAUAACCAAAUUGAUAAGAAUGUUGCUAUAUGUGUUUCCUCUUUCUUGUCAAGUCUCACCAUAAGCUUGGAGAAUAUAGCUUCUUGAUCACUCGACCACCUAGUUGCCUCGGAGAUAACUCCGUUAGGAUAAUAUGUUGAUUUUAGGCGUGCGUAUUUCUUUUCCUUUCGCAGUGGGGCAAGUUUAUAUAUUAAAGUUUUUUUAUACCAAAAUAUUGUCCACUUGCUCAAGGAGACCUUUUGGUUAACACUUGUACCUUCCUUAAGGUGAUGGAAAGCAGCAAAUAAAUACUCGCAAGAUCGAGGGAUGAAUCUCAUCUAUUUUUCGUCUAAAUCGAUAAGUUCUCUUGUCUCAGGUACCACUUCUUCGUACGGAGAACCCACGAUAGCAGACCUCCAAGGAUAUGUAGGUCCCAAAGAGAGAUAAAUUAUUCCCCAGCUGAUGUAAGAAGCGUGUUCGCCUUGGGACACCAAGGCUCACAAAAUGCUUGCAAAACGUUUGAGUUUCGAUCAUAAGUGAAAAGUGAGGCAUUGACAGCAUCAUAAAUCUUUGCUGUAUUUAGGGUCUGUUGGCUUCCGCCAAGUACAUCUUCAGCCUAUUCCCAAUAUCUUGGAAUAUGACGAUACUCGCCCUUGAUUGUUGUUGUGUUUCCCCAACAUACUUCGCCUUGAAUUAUGCAACGCCCUAAGUUUGGAAGGGUGCUGGCGAUGUUUACGUGGUGAUGGUUUGGCGCUUGGAGAGACCACAUCUUGGCAAUGGAUUAGAAGUAGACUUAUGCUCCAAGGUCCAAUUUUCUACAUAGAGAGAGUUCCUCAAAGAAGGUCAUGGGGAUGGAUACCGGCUAGCUUGUGGGGUGUGAACUAAGAGCUUGGUUUGUUUUAUACCAUCUUCAAUCUCGAUUACUAGAUAUCUAAGUUUGGAGGAGGGUGAGGUAUAGUCUCUGAAAUUUUCCAUCUUUUUGGGCUGCAAAAAAGUAAAAAAAAAAGAAUAUUAGAAUGGACACAAAGAUUUGAAUGGAUGAAAUGGCCGCUAAUAUUAGAUCCAUAUUGAGAGUAAUGUCUCUGAUAGUCGGGCCAUUUUGAGAGUAAUCUCUCCGAUAGUCAAGCCACAUUCUGUGGCCGUUUUGAGAGUAAUCUCUCUGAUAGUCAAGCCACAUUCUGUAUCCGUUUUGAGAGUAAUCUCUCCGAUACUCAAGCCACAUUCUGUAGUCGUUUUGAGAGUAAUCUCUCCGAUAGUCAAGCCACAUUCUAUGGUUGUUUUAAGAGUAAUCUUUCCGAUAGUCAAGCCACAUUCUGUGGGCGUUUUGAAAGUAAUCUCUCCGAUAGUCAAUCCACAUUCUGUGGACAUAUAUCUCCGAUAGUCAAGCCACAUUUUGGGGCCUUUUUGAGAGUAACCUCACCGAUAGUUUAGUCCAUAUUGAGAGUAAUCUCCCCAAUAAUCGGGCCACUAAAGUAAUCUCUCCGACAGUCGGGCAAGGAUGAGUACUCAUCCCUUCACACCCCAAGAUUUCUUCUUCAUACAUGGAUUAUCUCGUUAACAAAAACACAUCCUUUCGUGUUUGAACUACAACAAAAAAGAAGGAAAAGGGCCAAUAAAGGAAGAAUAGCACAAGAAAAGAAGAAAAAAUUACCUUCGCGUCUAUACUUUCGAAUCCACAAAACUAGACUUAAAUAGAUUGUAAAUAUGCGAAUUGAUACUGAAAAAAGAUGAACGCAUGGGUUUAUAUAGAUCUCAAUGGGACUGCUGAAACGUGAAUUGCCGAUGUGGGAUCAGCUGCAGUUGCGUGACCAAUUUCUUUUGUUCCCAAGUUGAAGUUGGGGAAGGAAGUUGAUAUAUGGAUGAAUUCUAAGUACUACUAGUUGAGAUAGCGUAAUCCGUGUUGAAAUUGGUAUGGACGUGUGGUUUUGAAAAGAAAUUAUCAAAGUUCCAUGUUUAUCAAUCGCAUGAAAUUGACACAAUUUACGACAAAGUUCAAUUACAAAGUAAGAAAGAAUAUGACGUGAACUUCAAAGUUAACUAUAAAUGGGGUCAUUUGUUCUUUUUGAAAUAAGUAUUGUUCAUGAAUUAGAAGUACAUUUCAGAAGCAAUGUUCAACGAAUUACGUGACCAUAAGUUCGUAAGCUCCGAAGUGAUUCAGUUUUGCAUGGAUUAAUGUCUCUUAAGCUAUCAUUCAGUGGAAGUAUGUCAAAAUAAAUUUAUACUUCAAGCCUAAGCCUAGUCUUCAAACAAAAAUUAAAGUUUAACUAGUCUUGAAGUAUGGGACAUUUAUAAGCAUAUAAGUUUUAUUAAAAUUAAAUCCAUAAAAUAAUUUGAAGUAUAUUUUAAAUUCAAGAUAUAUUAGUUCAAAUAAAUUUAUUGGGCUAUUAUAAUUGAAUUAGGUAUAUAAGUCCAACACAUAUAGAUUAAAUAAGUAAGUCUUAAUCCAUUGGGUCAGCCCAUUUACUUGGGCUAAAGUGAUGAGUCCACUUCAUUAGGCCCAAAAUGUCAUAUUCCUAAAAGCCCAGUUUGGUGCCACGUUUCAAAUGACGUGACGCGCCAAGUAAAAUGGAAGAGCCAAUAGGAUCAUGCCACGUGUCAAAAUGACAAUGCAUGCCAAAUCAUACUAAAAGACCAAUGAAAUCGCACCGCGUGUGCAAGUGACAUGUCUUGACCAAUCAAAUGCGGUCAUGUCACACUUCAAUUUGAUUGGUCGGAAAGAGUUUGUUCUUAUCAUAACUCUUCCCUUCCACAACUAUAAAUAGGGGUCUUUAUAACUCAGAAAAGGGACCAGAAGUUAUAACAAGAAGCAAGAAAGAGCUCAUGGAUCAAACGCUGCAAAUUCCUCCACAAGUUUCAAGCUUCAAGUUCAAUUUCAUGAAAUCAAGUUCAAGCUCAAGAACAAAGAUCAAAUCAAGUUCAAGUCCAAGCAAUUAAGCUCAAGCUCAAGAACAAGAUCAUCGUUCGUGACGAUAAACAUAGAUUCAAGAUCAAGCUCAAAGGCCCUUGAAUUUAUUUACUAUUGAAAAGAAGAAUAAAAAGAUUCAUAGAGAUUGUAACACUCAAAUAUUUGAUAUAAAAUACUAUAUUGUUGUGAUAUUUUUGGUCUUGAUUUUAUUCUCUCGAACCAAAUUUAUUGCCGACGCUAUCUAUUAUUAAAAAGAAAUAAGUCAGCCAUGAGAAUUCUCCAUGUAUUACGUGAAGAAAAUGCCAUGUGGCAAUUUUAGGACAUCAUUUGUUAAUUUACUUAAAAUUAAUUUAUUUUCUAAAUUUAAAUUUCAAAAUAAUUAAAUAUCUACUUUUUUCUGUUUUACUUUUUCAAAAACUUAAUUUACCAGUAAGGAAUAAUAUAUGAAGAAGUUACCAAGUAUUCCUUGGGAAUAGGAAGUUUUACGAUUGUGGAGGUUUAAAAAUUAAUAUAUCAAUUUCUUUUAUAUUCUUUAAAAAUUAAUUUGUUAAAAAAGAAUAUGUCACGAUCCAAAAACUAACCUAGUCCUGAUGACGCUUAUUGUGGUACUAGGCAAGCUGACACAUUACCAAAAUAAAGUGAUAUUUUUGUUUUCAAGAUAAUCCCAAAGCUAUUUAAUAUAAAACCUACAUAAGGAGUUCAAAUCAAAACAAAAGUGCGAAAAAGAAAGCCCGACAUCAGGAUGUCAUUAAGUCAUGAGCAACUACUACAAACUGCUCUGAAAAUAGCAAGACUAAUAUAGUAUGAGAAUAACCAAAUUACACUAAAGAGAAGAUAAAGAAGGAGAAAAGCAGAGCUGUGAUCUCCAGGCAGCUACCUUCCUAUCUCCGACGAUCCGCUACUGAGUAAAUUAACAACUGCUACCGUGGUCAGAGAUGCCUGGAUCUGCACACAAGGUGCAAGGGGUAACAUGAAUACACCAACUCAAUAAGUGACAACUUCAAAUUAUGGAUUGGUAGGUGGUGACGAACUUAAUCUCGACAGAUAAACAGAGUUAAAUUAUGCAGAAAGUAGGCAUACUUUCAAUUCAAGUAUUCAACUCAAAUAGUAAAGUAAAUACAAAUAUGGACAACGUAAAGUAUGAAGCUUAGCUAAUCUCUAAGUGUCAAUGCACAAAAUGUAUGAAAAUGUACCAUGUACCUCCACUCUUUACAGCUCAACCACUCAGUACUGUAUAUGGCCAUCUGGCCCAGGGAAGAUCCAUCCCGGAAUAUAUACACAUCAAUGACAGUAAACACUCAAUACCGAGGAAGGCCUAUCCACCCCUGUGGAGAAGAUUCAUCUCCAAGUAUAAAUGUUUCUGACAAGAUCCAUGUCCAUGGAAGAUCAAUCCCUUAAUAAUAUCAACUACGCUCGCUGGGGGUGUAUCAUAGACUACGGAGGGGCUCCUACAGCCGAAACGCUAUAACAAUCAUCAAUAUAACCGCUGCGAUGUGUAGCCCAAUCCCAUAACUGUCACUCAUAGUUAGGCUCUUGGCCUCACUCAGUCAUCACUCUCCAGUCUCACACACAGAGGCUCACAAUACCAUGAAAACUAGCCCGGAACAAUGAUAUGAUAUGCCAAUAAAUAACAACUGAGAGACAUGAUAUGAAAUGCAUGGAUAAGACUGAGAAUGGAAUAUCAAUGAAACUAAUCAGAUGACAACAAGAAACGACCACUCGGGUCCCAACAAUAUUAGCAUAAAGCCCUAACAUGAUAUCCAGCAUGAUUUACAGCUUAUUUACUUAAUCACAUGAUAAAAACAUGGAUAUCAGCAAAAAAGAGUCACUAAACGGUACUAUGGAAUGAACCAAGUCCUGAUUCUCAUAGUACAUGCCCACACGUCCGCCACCUGACAUGUGCUCCACCUCAAUACUUAUCACAUAACACAUAGUUUGGGAUUUUGACCCUCAAAAUCAAGUUUGGAAGCGUUACUUACCUCAAAAUAAGCUAAAAUCCUACACCGCGAUGCUCUUGCCUCUCAAAUCGGCUUCCAAUUGUCUCGAAUCUAACCAAAAGUAAUACAAUACAAUCAAUAUAGGCCAAGGAACCAAUCCCACAAGAAAAAUUACUUAAUUGGACACAAAUCCCAAGAUCCACUCAAACUCGACACAUGGGCCCACGUCUCGAAAUUUAACAAAAAUCAAAAAAUUAUAAAUCUCAUUCACUCACGAGUCUCCCAUACCAAAUUUAUCAAAAUCUGACAUCAAAUGGCCAUUCAAAUUCCCAAAAUUAUCUCUCUAAUUCUCUUCCAUUUCCCCCCAAUUUUAUACCGUAAUUCCUAAUUUAGAUGCUAAAAAUCAAGAUACAAUCAUAAAAUUUAACCAAAAUCAAUUGAAUAACACUUAUCCUAAUCAACUCCCUGAAAAAGCCUUCAAAAAUCGCCCAAAUCCAUGGCUCAAAAUAUGAAAAGAAUGAGUUUAAUCCCUCAAUUUUGAGAAUAACAAUGUCUUCCUUUACUCUUGCGUUCGCGUAGAACAACUCUAUAGCCUCCCAACUUUAAUCUUUGGGAAUGCGAUACGCUCCUCGCAAACGCGAUGCCGUACUAGAUCAACCUUUGCAAACACGACCACAACCUUGCGAACGCCUAGAACAAUGGACUUGAGGUCCCCUACUGCCUCUUCUCUUCUUCGCGAACGUGAUACUCCUCCUGUGUUCGGAUGCACUCCACCCAUGAACCUUCGUGAAUGUGUCCCUUCUUCCCGAACAUGGAGAGAAAAACUUCCUCAAAUCACCUUAACCCCUUGCGAACACGAUAUCCUCCUCAAGAAUGCGAUGAAGAGAAUCUUUGCAACAAAAUAGCAGAAAAUCUGCUAAUUUCUAAAGCCAAUAAAUGAUCUGUUAACCACCUGAUACUUACCCGAGGCCAUAUGGACCUCAAUCAAACAUAUCAACACAUACCAUAAUAUUAUUCAAACUUAGUCGAACCUUCUAAUCAGUCAAAGCUAAAUCAAAAUACUAAAUUACCCUCGGAUUCAAGCCUAAGAACUUCUAAACUUUCAAAUUUCGCAAACGACGUUGAAACCUAUCAAAUCACGUCCGAAUGACCUCAAAUUUUGUACACAAGUCACAAAUGACACCACGAACCUAAUAUAACUUCCAAGAUUUCAUUCUGACCCCGAUAUAAAAAAUUUUAAUUCCGGCUAAAAUUAUUCCAACUUUCACCAUUUCAUGCCUAAUUCUACGACGGACCUCCAAAUCAUAUUCUGGACGCGCUCCUAAGCCCAAAAACGUAGAUAACAAAACCAUCAAAAUUCAAAUUCGAGGCCUUUCACAUAAAAGUCAAUAUUCGGUCUACUUUUUCAACUUAAGCCUUCAUAAAAGAGACUAAGUGUAUCAAUUUACUCCAAACCACUAUGUACCUGAACCAACUAAUCCGUUAAGUCAAAAUACAGCUGAAGAACACAAAAAAGCCCGAAAUGCGGUAAUGAGGCUAAAACUCUCGAAACGAUCGGUUGGGUCGUUACAGAAUAAAACUUUGGAAGUUACCAACAAGGAAUCAACUCCAUUCAUGUAUGCCUUUCCGUAUAAAAUUCUAAACCUUACGGAGUCUACGGUUGUUUUCUUCAAACAACCCACGAUGUCGCCUAUGAUCUCAACCCCUAACCCACUAAUCCUUCUUCCUCGGAGUCCCAAUAACAUGAUUUUUUAGAUUUUUCAUAUUAGUUUCACAUUUCUAUAUUAUAUAUCUCCGAUUCUUUCUCCUUUCUUCGCAUACCGCUCAACAAUUAUGGAUUGGAGGAGGUAAGUUCUAUAAUUUGUAAUUCAAGAACACUCAUAAAAAGUUUAGAAAGAGCAAUGAAUUAUUUAGUUUUUUCUUCCUUUCACUCCUUUGCUUCUCUAGAUUAUGAACAAAUACUUAACUAGAAUAUAGAAAAGCAAUAAAUCUCUAGUUCUUUCUUCCAUUCACUCCUUGAUUUCUUUCCUUUCGACAUUAUAUAAGUUGUUCAAGCCCACCCAACCUAUUUUAAUUUUAAAAUUUCAAGUGGAUGAAUGAGAAUUCUGAGAAAGUCUUUCAUUUGUCUAUCAUUAUAGACAAUCCCAUCCAUAUUAUCUAUUCUAUGGNNNNNNNNNNNNNNNNNNNNNNNNNNNNNNNNNNNNNNNNNNNNNNNNNNNNNNNNNNNNNNNNNNNNNNNNNNNNNNNNNNNNNNNNNNNNNNNNNNNNNNNNNNNNNNNNNNNNNNNNNNNNNNNNNNNNNNNNNNNNNNNNNNNNNNNNNNNNNNNAGAUUCAUUAUUUGUAUCUAAUUGGCUCCUCUUCUUAUUUAUUUUUGAUUUCAAUUUCAGCAUAUCGAUUUAUGCCUAACAAACUACAAAUAAUUGCAUUACAAAAUUAAAGGUUGAUUUUGUAAUGCAAGUCUUAGUAAUCUGAAGUCAGUCAUGAGAAUUCGCCAUGUAUCGCAUGAAGAAAAUGUCAUGUGGCAAUUUAGGACAUAAUUUGAUAAUUUAGUUAAAAUUAGUUUAUUUUCUAAAUUUGAAUUUUAAAUAAUAAAAUAUCUACUUUGUUUUUUACUUUUUCAAAAACUUAAUUUACCAGCAAGGAAUAAUAUUUGAGGAAGUUACCAAGUAUUUCUUGGGAAUAGAAAGUCACAAUUGUGAAGACUUAAAAAUUAAUAUGUCAAUUUCUUUUAUAUUCUUUAAAAAUUAAUUUUCUAGCAAGGAAUAAAACUUCGGAAGGAAUCAACUCCAUUCAUGCGUGCCUUUCCGUCAAGAAUUCUAAACCCUAAGGAGUCUGCGGUCGUUUUCUUCAAACUAUGUUUCCCCAUGAUCUCAACUCCUAACCCUCUAAUCUUCUUCUUCGGAGUCCCAGUAAUAUGAUUUUUCAUAUCAGUUUCACUUUUUUAUACUAUAUAUCUCCGAUUCUUUCUCCUUUCUUCACAUAUCACUCAACAAUUAUGAAUUACGUAAGAUAAGUUCUAUGAUUUAUACUUCUAGAACACUCAUAAAUUUUUUAGAAAGAGCAAUAAAUUUUUAGUUAUUUCUUCCGUUCACUCCUUGAUUCUUUAGAUUAUGAACAAAUUAUUAACUAGAACAUAGAAAAUCAAUAAAUUUUCCAUUUCUGUUUUCUUUUCACUCCUUGAUUUUCUUUUCUUUUAUCAUUAUAUAAGUUGUUCAAUAGAAAAAACAACAGGCUACUAAUAAUUGCAUUACAAAAUCGAAGGUUUGAUUUUGUAAUGCAUUUCUUAGUGAUCUGAAUUUUUUUAAUUUUUCAUCAAACGGGGUACUGAUUAUUUUUUGAAAUCUAGUUCCAAGCUUAAUCGCUUCUACAUCCAUGUUAGUCCUAAUAGUUUUCAAGAAUAUUGAUAAUUAAUAUAAUUCUAAUUUUCUCCAUAAAUAUAUAUCUACCAAAUAUUAAAAAUUUAAUUGUACAUUUUUUAAGGUCGAAAAUCUAGUGAAAGAUCGUAAACCUCAGACAAGGCCAGAGAACAUAAAAACAAAGACAAAUUGUACUACUGAUAGAUUAUGACAAGCGGGGUUGCUUACCACUUUCAAUCGAAAGGUUAUGAGUUCGAGUCUCCCUAAAAGCAAGGUGGGAAGUUCUUGGAGGGAAGGAUGCCGGGAGUCUAUUUGGAAAUAGCCUCUCUACCUCUAGGGUAGGGGUAAGGUCUGCGUACACACUAUCCUCCCCAGACCCAGUAAGUAGGAUUAUGCAAGUAGGAUUAUGCUGGAUUGUUGUUGUACUACUACUGAUAAUAGAUCAAAAUAUUUAUAAAACAGAGAUUGUUGUUGAGACUUUUGUACGAUUGCUACUUCUGUUCUAAAUAUAUGCUCAUACUAUUUUCUUGGGUUGUGGCCCGGUCUUUUCAGUUUGCCAAAGGCCAUAAAGGAACUUAUUAUAGGUAUGAAUAAAAUUUAUGCACUUCACUAUUGUUGUAAAUUUUUAAGGCCCAGUUGUCGGAGCAAUAACAGCAACAACAAUCCAAUAUAAUUCCAUUUAGUGUGGUUUGGGGAGGAUAGUGUGUACGCAGACCUUAUACGCAGACCUUACCCCUAACCUUGGGUAGAGAGGCUGUUUCCAAAUAGACCCCCGGCAUCCUNNNNNNNNNNNNNNNNNNNNNNNNNNNNNNNNNNNNNNNNNNNNNNNNNNNNNNNNNNNNNNNNNNNNNNNNNNNNNNNNNNNNNNNNNNNNNNNNNNNNNNNNNNNNNNNNNNNNNNNNNNNNNNNNNNNNNNNNNNNNNNNNNNNNNNNNNNNNNNNNNNNNNNNNNNNNNNNNNNNNNNNNNNNNNNNNNNNNNNNNNNNNNNNNNNNNNNNNNNNNNNNNNNNNNNNNNNNNNNNNNNNNNNNNNNNNNNNNNNNNNNNNNNNNNNNNNNNNNNNNNNNNNNNNNNNNNNNNNNNNNNNNNNNNNNNNNNNNNNNNNNNNNNNNNNNNNNNNNNNNNNNNNNNNNNNNNNGCAUCCUUCCCUUCAAGAACUUCCCACCUUGCUCUUAGGGAGAUUCGAACUCACAACCUCUCGAUUGGAAAUGGGGGUUGAUUACCAUCAGAGCAACCCCUCUUGUCUAGCCGUCGGAGCAAAUGAGUUUCAAUUUCAGAUACAAAUAAUAUUAUGACACCAAUUUCCACUUGUGACUAUCAAAUUCUCCAAAUGUAAAUAUAUCAACAAGCUCACAGUGACAACUUUAACAUUUAUCAAUAUUUUUUAGGAUAUGGGGUGGUAGUCAAAUAAAAUUAGCGAGGCCAUGGUAGUGCCACAAUUAGAUGCCGUUGUGAAGUUGAUCUAUUCCUGUAUUUUUGGAUUGAGACCUUUUAUAGGAUAUUAAAAAAACUCUUUUGUUGAUUAUGUACAUUGAUUUUCUUUUGAAUUUGAGACAAAAAUAGUGCUCUCUUUUAGUUCCAAUUAGAUUAAUCUUUAUAUAUUGCAUCUUUUAGGAAUACACUACAUGUAGAUAGCUAAUUGUUAAAAUACCUAAGUUUCAAAUCGUUUUUUCUGAAUCAAAAUACUAAUUAUUGCUCACUUUUAUUGUCUUGCACUUGGUAAGUAAAUGUAUAAUUCAUAAAGGGAGAGUUUCCGCAUUGCUUGACAAAGAGAUGGAAUAUUGUCACGAUCCAAAAUCUAUUAAGGGUCGUGGAACCACUGUCAGGCAAGCCAUCACCAAGAUGUUAGUUAAAUUCUCAUUUUAGUAUUUUUGAAAUAAUUUUUUUCCCUUACAUUAAACAACAAAUAAUGAACUUCACCGAGUAAGUAAUAACGUCUUUAACAAAUCUUCAAUACUGAAUAAUCACAUACAUCCCACAACCUAGUGUCACAAGUGCAUGAGCAAUUUCUAAAAAAUAAAAUGUAGUACAAUAACUGUCCGGAAUACAUGUUGGACAUAAAUUGAAGGAGAUUUUGUUGGUUGCGGAUCAUCUCGAGACAUGCCGCUCACCUAAUACUCCGUAUCAACCAUGCCGCUGGGCCCAACGAGACCAAUGGACAUACGUGUGCCUUGCAAUAAAAAUGCACAACAAGUGUAGUAUGAGUACGAAAGCAAAGCGUACCCAGUAAGUAUCCCGUCUAACCUCAAAAAAGUAGUAACGAUAGGUCGACUUUCAUACUUACUAGUGAUCCAAUAAUAAUAUAACAAUAAUAUGAAAAAUCGUGAAUUUUAUAAGGUGGCUGCACACUCAAUAAGCAUGAAGUUGGUAAAUAAUUCUUUGGUUAAUAGAAAUUUUCAAGUUCAUAUUUCAUUAUUUAUUAAUUUAUCCCAGGCCAAGGAGACAAUAUCCAAUUUUUGUAAAUCUCGAGGCAAGCAAUACAAACAUGCGUAAUUUAUGCCGAGGUCGUACGGUCCGAUCCAAUAAUACUUAAAUUGUGCACUGGCAGAAGUCGAAUGGUGUGAACCUUCAAUACAUCUAUUUAAUCUUCUGAGGCGUUCGUCCCGUUCCACAAAAGAUAAACACAUUUAAAUAGUUAAUCAACAGUUCAUCAAGGACAAUUAUCUAAGGAAAUGGCAAUUCCUCUCUUAACAGUCAAGAAAUUGUUAUGUAGCUUUUUAGAAAUUUAUUAAUCAAGUUUAAUAUUAUUUAAGCAUUUUAAAUUGACAAUAAGGUUGCAAAUGUUAUAAGUAACUUAUGCUUUUGGGCCCUAGGUUACCUGGACUUAAUCAUAAUAGUAGCUACGCAAGGACUCUCGUCACCUUGUGAGUACGUAGCCUCCACAAAUAGGAGCACAUAUUUAAUUAUUUCAUCUAUCGGGUUAAUUCCCUCGUACAAUGUUAGAAGGGAGACUUACCUUACUCCUAAGUUCCAUAAUUUCUAUAAAUUUCCAUGACUAACUCCAUAUAUAAACCUUGUAUUUAACUCAAAACUAGUGGAAACCACUUACCUGAUGCUUGGUAAUAAAAAUAGCACUCCAAAGUUGCUCCAAAAUCGACUCUCAUGGAGGAAAUGUGAUUGAAAUGAGCCCAAACCCCAUCUUUUAAAAGACACUACCUAGCGAUUCUUCGCACCUGCGGUCACUUGACAGCUUCUGCAAUUUCGUAGGUGUAGACCAAACACCAUUUCUGCGGUCCAGGACUUCCAGCUCAUUUUCACUUAUGUGCUUUUUCUUCCGUAGGCGCGGUCUUGCUUAAGCGGUAAGAUGACCACAUAUUUGGUCCCAUCACUCCCAGCUAAAAUUGCAUCUACGAUCCUCAUAGACACUUCUGCGGUUUCGCACUUGUGGCCAAAACCUCGAUGGUGCUGUUACACCAGAUGAUAACAGCCCUCAGCCUUUCUUCCAAUUCCAAACUCGAUCCGUCUACCAUCCGGAUUCUAGCCGAGGCCCUCAGGACCUUAACCAAUUAUACUAGCACAUCACAAAACUUAGUCGAGCCUUCAAAUCACAUCAAAUAACAUUGAUAUCAUGAAUCACAAUCCAAUUCAAGCUUAAUAAACUUUAUAACUUCAAAUUACAACAUUUGAUGCCGAAACCUAUCAAAUCACGUCGGAUUGACCUCAAAAUUUGCAUACAAGUCAUAUGUCACAUCACAGACCUACUCCAACUUUCGGAAUUGGAAUUCGACCCCGAUAUCAAAAAGUCCUCUUCCAGUAAAACUUUUCAAAAACCUUAAAAUUUCUAACUUAGCCAAGUGACUUCAAAAUGACCUACGGCCCUUCGAAUCAACUUUCGGAAGUGCCCCCAUUACCAAAAUCACCAUACAGAGCUAUUCCCCGGACUUAGAAUCUCAAACGGACAUCGAUAACACUGAAAUGCACUUCAACCCAAACUUAUGAGAUUCUUCCAAAAUGCUAACUUCCACAAUAGGCGCUGAAACGCUCUCGGGUCAUCCAAAACAUGAUCCGGACGUCCUUCCAAGUCCAAAAUCAUCAUAAAAAACCUAUUUGAACCUUCAAAUCCCGAUCCUGAGGUUGUUUACUCAUAAAUCAAAUCUCCGUCAAUUCUUUUAACUUAGGGCUUCCAAAAUGAGAAUUUUCUUUCCAAAUCAACUUCAAACUUCUUGGAAUUCAAUUCCGACCACGCCUACAAGUCAUAAUACCUGAAGGAAAUUUGCUCAAGGCCUCAAAUUUUCGAACGACGUGAUAGAUUUCAAAAUGGCCGGUCAGGUCAUUAUAUUCUCUCCCACUUAAAUAUAAGUCCGUCCUCGAACGUGCAUAGAACUGAGCUGGAGUUGUUUGAAAUCACUGUUAAACACCUCGUGCACCUACUCGUGCUAUCACAACUCAGUUGAGCACAUUAGCUUGAGCAAUUCUGAAUAUAUUCUCUUUUAUUCAAGAAAUAAGCUUAGAACCCAAUUCCAACACCUGAAAUUCUCUUCUAGGCCUGCUUCCAACAUAUGAACACCGUGUCAAUCGCUACACGAUGCACCGAUACAUGAUUUCAUAUCUUUGCUUAAUUCGUAGUUUGCACUGCAUAACCCACAUGACUAUAAUAACAUCCUCUGAUAACAAUAAUCAAAACUCCGCGAAUCUGAUUCUCCCAAUGCACCUCAUGACAUAUACAAAUCUUGUCCCAACUUUUACAAUACCGCCACGAUGGAAGAGAUAUGUAGAAAUUCAUAACCAACUACCGAGUCAAUAAAUCAUUGAGGUUAUACUCCUGAUAAGAACCAUUACCUCAUUCUGAACCAAAUAAUGGUAUUUGUUCAUUAAUAUACUUCAUAUAAUCCAAUUUCACUGAUCCUAGAUCCAAUAAUCUCGUCCUACCCAAUACGAGCUGCUCAGGCAAUAAGCCACCCCAGACAUGAACAAAAGUCUCAUAUGAUGUCAAAAUGCACCAAUAAGUUACAAGCUCUAAUGUGAUACAUUAGGAGAACGAAAUUUGGAAGGAACUACUCAACUCAUGCAACUAAUUAGACAACCGAAAAGGUGCUAUAAACCUUCCUUAGAAAAUGGGAAACAAAAAAACACAAAAACAAAUGUAGGACACUAUACCCGGCAUCAUACUGUUGCGACAUGCAACCCAAUCCAAACAAGAUACUAUAGCGGCGUGCCACCUAAUCCACACAUAAAAUUCACAUAAGGAGAUACUUACAGAGCUAAAUCGCUCAUUACAACAAAAUACCGAAUAUGGGUCACAAGCACGCUAAGGGCAUAAUACCUUCCUGAGGGACAGGUAGAGCCAUACGCUACAAAACUCAAACACUACUGAGAUGUGAUAUAUGAUCUGAAUCCAAAGAGCCAUCCUGCUCAUAUAACACCAUCGUUAUGCGGAACCUCAACACAUAAGAAAUUUUUCAAGUCGUUUCACGACUUACACGGCACAACAUAAUAUUACAUGAAAUAUCCGACGACGAAACAACAUCCCACGUUCAAAUACUCCUCCAUGACGAGUGCUAUGUUGAAAUGAACACGUCUGGCAUGAUAUAGAGCUCAUAUUCAUAUUUAAAUCCACUCAUAGCCCUCAAGCCAAUUUGAUCGCACUGUACUUGGCUAAUAAACUUUUAAGGGUUCAUCUUUUCCAAUAACACACAAGAACAGCCAUCAGAAACAGAACAAACUGCCACAACCCAUAACCAAAUGAACUGCGCCCUCCAAGCAUAAAUUCUCAAAUUAGCACUAUUUCCACGAUCUUCACACUUGGUUUAAAUCUUCAAUCAAUUAGGUGACUACAUGUCACACUUAUACAAUAUUCCCAUGAGAUACGCUCCCACGAUCUUCCGAACUAGAUACCAAGUGUGCACAUCCAUAACACUUGCACACUAAUGUUGUAUAACGUAUCAAGAAUCCCUAAUCAAGACGCAAGCCUCUGAAGCAAAAUGCUGAUCUCAAGUGACGUUGAAGACAAGACCAACUUACUCCAAACAUUCAAGCACCCUUCCUGCUCGUUGAAGAUUGGGACAUCUUUGUUGACACCAAACCGCAACCUUGAUCCUCACUUUCAAACUUAAUUCCGCUCACCGUGCCUAACUUGUCAGUAUGCGGUAUUACCAGAAUUUCAUCAUACCCCCUGAACCACUAAUAGGGUAAACACUUCACCAUAUAGAAGCCUUUUACUUAUCUCGUUACAAGAGAACCAUAGCAACACGCAAGUGAAUUCUCAGAACCAUCAUGCAUAACUAUCACAAAACAAUUGCGGCGGCCGUUAAGCUUAACAUGUACCAUCAAAAAUCACAUGAAUUACUAAUUAUGCUGGAGGUACCGAUUACUGCCAUCAUUAUGCUAAUUCAACCAUGGCUAACCAAUCUAACUUCUUCUAAUUUAUCCUUAACUUGCCUUAGAAAUAAUAAUAGCUCUAUUACUUACAUUAUGAACCUAACUCCGCUCUCAUCCCGAGUGUCCCCAUUUCACGAGACCACAUUGUCUCCAAACCCAUGAACAGUUUCAUGCCCUCAUUGCAUGCACAUUUGCAUUUUUAACUGAUACACCAAUUAUGAUAAUUCCUUUACGAAUCUAAAGUCAUUUUCUCUCACUCCUCCAUAUAUUACAUUACAAGCAAAAAAUAUCAUAAAACAUUCCGGGCCUCUUCUCAUAAUUCGCUACAUAAGCUCGAUUUGUGGGCUUGAAAUUCUUAGGCACUGCAUUUAACCUUUGAGUUCACUAGGACCAUUGUUGAGACUCACCCACUCUGGCUUGGUCCCGAAUAUCUUCAACCCUAAGGAUCCAAUGUCACAUGAACAUCCAUCUCAAUGAAGCACCCGACUGAAUCACUUCCCUUUUAAAUCACUUUUGUACUAAGUAUAAAUCCUGAAUCUUCCCAAGGCCUGAACAUGAGUCAAUAAGUCCACAUAUAUCACACCUUUAUCAAAUCAUUUGCUCAAAUUACCACUUAUGUUCUUUUCUCUUAGCCUUAAUAACUCACCAAUACGUCAAUAACUUGAAACCUCACAAGUAGAUAACCAUGAAACCCAAUAUUAGGCGGAGGGNNNNNNNNNNNNNNNNNNNNNNNNNNNNNNNNNNNNNNNNNNNNNNNNNNNNNNNNNNNNNNNNNNNNNNNNNNNNNNNNNNNNNNNNNNNNNNNNNNNNNNNNNNNNNNNNNNNNNNNNNNNNNNNNNNNNNNNNNNNNNNNNNNNNNNNNNNNNNNNNNNNNNNNNNNNNNNNNNNNNNNNNNNNNNNNNNNNNNNNNNNNNNNNNNNNNNNNNNNNNNNNNNNNNNNNNNNNNNNNNNNNNNNNNNNNNNNNNNNNNNNNNNNNNNNNNNNNNNNNNNNNNNNNNNNNNNNNNNNNNNNNNNNNNNNNNNNNNNNNNNNNNNNNNNNNNNNNNNNNNNNNNNNNNNNNNNNNNNNNNNNNNNNNNNNNNNNNNNNNNNNNNNGGGCUCUCCCACUUAGCUUGGAGCUACUAUUACAUAACUUUAAACCCACCAAGAUUCUUUCUUCAUUGCUGAAGUGAUCUUGCACAACCAAAUCGCCAAAUUUCUUGAAAUCCUUCUAUUAGCAUUUCAUGAUGAAUCUCUAGCAACAUUCACAUAUUCGACCUCUUACCGGAUAGUUAGUAAAAUCCUCUAUAGUAACUUUGUCAACCACACGUCCACUGAGCAGCUCACAGGAGAUAUCCCAUAUGUGGAAAUUACUUGCCGACAUUUGACGAUGCACUACACAAUUACUACAAAAUUUGUAACUCAUUCACGAGCUGCACCAGUGUCAUGACCCCAGGUUCUCUUCGUGAACUAUCGUGACGGCACCUAGUCUCCACGACUAGGUAAGCCUAACAAUUUGUGGAAAUAGGGAAAACAACAGAUUAACCAAUAAAAACUUGUGUAAUAAACAUAGUGAAGGUUUAAAGAUGCCGCUCGGCAUAUAUCUCAGACUGACAACUUCCCAAACCCCAAAAUAUCAUAAAAUCACAAGUUAUUGGGUAACUACAAGUGUCUAAAUCCAGAAUGUCUAAACAAAAGCAAAUAUAGAAGGGCUAAUACUAUGAGAGAGAACAGAAAAGGAUUCCUCGGUCUAUGAACGCAUCAGAUAUACCUCGAAGUAUCUGGAAAAUCACCUCACCUCAAGGUUUGUAGGAUUGAAUCAAAGUACCUAGAUCUGUACAUGAAAAAAAUGCACAGAAAGGGCUUGAGUAUACCACAACGAUACUCAGUAAGUGCCAAGCCUAACCUCGGUCGAGUAGCGACGAGGAAGGUCAAGGCCCUGCUGAUUUUUAGCUGAAAAAAGAGGUAAAAUAGUAUUAAAUACGACAAUAUAAUUCAAUGCUAACAAUAUGAAGUAACACAUGAUAAUAAGAAUAGCAACAUCUAUAAUAGAGAUAAAAUAAUCAUAAACUGAAUACAACUCAACGCAGAGAUAACAAUCGGGAAUCUCCCAGGAUACCGUCCUGUAGUACCAAAUAUAAACAUCCUGUGGAUCUCCCGAGAUACCAUCCCGUAGUCCAACUCAUAGUUCGUAGGGAUCUACCUGAAUCCCGAUCCAUAGUCCCAAAUGUAAAUACCCAAUACUGGGUGAAUCUACCGGAUGAACUCUCAUAGUUCCAAUAUAAAUAUGCAAUGGGAUCUACCGAAAUACAAAUCUGUAGUCCUAAAGUAAAGAGGCAGGGGAUCUCCCGGGAUAGCGUCUCGUAGACCCAAAGUAACACACAACAACAACACGAAGAAUACUCAAUUCAAUCAAAUUUCAUACCAAGGUAAAGUAGGUAUUUCUAACCUAGCAUGUUGUGCAUAAUCCAAAUAAGCCAGUUUGAGCAAGUAAAGCAACUAAGUCAACUAGAAAUGCUUCCCUAAGCUAAUAUGCUUAGAUUGAAAGUAGUAUAAACAGGAAAGGAAACACAAUAUAGUUACUUAAUUAAAAAAGGAUCUUCAACAAUUAGGACAAGUACACACUGGUCACUUCACGUACAAGGCAUUUCAAAUAUUAACAAUACCAAAUCCUAAGGGGAGUUCUCCCACACAAGGUUAGGCAAGCCACUUACCUCGAACCGACUCAAAAUCAACCCGAAACCAUGCUAUUGCCACCAGUACUGAACUGUAAAUGGCCCAAAUCUAUUCAAAUCAAUUGCAUAAUGUAAAUAUAACUUCAAAUAAGUGAUUCCACUAAUUAAUUCUAAGCUAAUACACGAAAUUAGGAAAAAUGACAAAAUUUCCUCCAGGCCCAUGUCUCAGAAUCAGGUAAAAUUUACAAAUUCAGAAUCCUCACACUCUCACGAGUUCAGUCAUAGAAACAGUGCCAAAAGGACCUCAAAUGGUCCCUCAAAUCACCACUCAAAACUCUCCAAUUAACCAAAUUGUAACCCUCAAUUUACCACUAUUUUCCUUCAAAUUUCAUGCUUACAAUGAUAAAAAUUACCAAAACAACAAGCUUAAAGACCAAAGACCUUACCUCAAUGAAUCCCUCUGAAAAUCUCCCUUGAAAAUGCUCCCCAAAUCUUUUUCCCAUUUGAAAAGAGAUGAAAAAUAACUCAAAUUCGCGAAGGCAUCUAUUUAUAUGUUCUGCCCAGCGAUACUGCAUCUGCGGUCCAAAUUACCGCACUUGCGAUCCUAGGUGCACAUCUACGGUUCUUCACUUAUCCGCCAGUCACCGCACCUGUGAUGACCUUCUCGCACCUGUGCCUUCACCGAUGCACCCAUAUUUUCGCAUCUGCAGCUCCAACCUUUCUUCCUCUUUGUCGCAUCUGUGACUUCCCUUUCGCUUCUGCAGGCUCGUACCUGCAAUCCCCAAGCCGCAGGUGCAAUUAUAACAGCAAACUCAGCAGCUUCAACCGCAAAUUCCCUACUCCAAACUUUUCGUUAACCAUCCGAAAUCACCUCGAGGUCUCCGGAACCUUAACCACAAGCACGAACAAGUCAUAUACCUCUAUCCAAACUUACACCAAUCCUCAAAACACCUAAAACAAUAUUGAUACAUUAUAUUAACCAUGGAUUCAAGCCUAAAACUCUAAUGACUUCCAAAUUCUGCUUUCAAUCAAAAUGUUUACCAAACUUCGUCUGAAUGAUCUGAAAAUUUUGCACACAUGUCACAUUCAACACUACGGAGCUACUCCAACUACCAGAAUUCCAUUCCGACCCCUAUAUCAAAAUUUCACUAUCGAACGGGAGUCUUCGAAAAUUCAACUUUCGGCAUUUCAAGCCUAAUUAAGCUAUGGACCUCCAAAACACAAUCCAGACAUGCCCUUAAGCCCGAAAUUACCAAACGGAGCUAGCGUAACCAACUGAAUUCCAUUUUGAGGCCGUCUUUAUAUUGUUUCGACUACGGUCUAAAUUUUAAAACUUAAACUCUCAUUUAGGGACUAAGUGUCCCAAAACUCUCCGAAACUCUAAAUAAAUCCUCCCAGCAACUAACCACAGCAUAAACAAACACGAGAAAUACAAUUAAUAAGGGAUCAUGACAUUAAUUCUCAAAAUGGCUGUCCGGAUCGUUACAUCCUCCUACACUUAAACAUUUGUUCGUCCUCGAACAAGCAUAGAGUUAUACCUGAAGUAGUGAAAAGAUCAGGGUAUUGCAUAUAUCCUACUUGGUCUCCCAAGUCACCUCCUUAACCAGUUGACCCCACCACAGAACCUUUGAUGCAAUGUUCUUUGACCUCAACUUUCGAAAUGGUCUAUCAAAUAUCGCUACUGGCUGCUCAACAUAAGAUAGAUCCUUGUCCAACUUGACUGAAUUGAAAUCCAACACGUGUGAUGGAUCAUCGUGAUACCUCCGUAGCAUCGAAAUAUGAAAUACCGAAUGAACUCCUGCCAAGCUGGGAGGUAAUGCAAGCUCAUAAGAAACCUCCCCAACACACAUCAAUAUCUCAAAAGUGCCAAUAAAUCGUUGACUCAACUUCCCUUUAUUUCCAAAUCUCAUAACGCCUUCAUAGGCGAAACUCGAAGCAAAAGUAGCUCUCCAACCAUAUUGGAAACAUUGUGAACCUUCCGGUCUGCAUAACUCUUCUGUCUGAACUAGUUGUACGGAGUCUAUCCUGAAUCACCUUAACUUUCUCCAAAGCAUCCUGAACCAAGUUUGUGCCCAAUAAUCUAGCCUCACGCAACUUAAACCAACCUACUGGGGAUCUACACCGCCUACCAUAUAAAGACUCAUACGGUGCCAUCUAAAUGCUGGAUAGAUAACUGGUAUUGUAGGCAAAAUCUGCUAAUGGCAAGAACUGAUCCCAAGACCCUCCAAGCUCAAUCACACACGCACGGAGCAUAUCCUCAAGAAUCUAAAUAGUGCGAUUGGACUGUCUAAGGGCGAAAUGUUGUACUCAACUCCAGCUGAGUACCCAAAUCAUGAUGUAAGGCCCUCCAGAACCGUGAUGUGGACUGAGUACAUCUAUCUGAAAUGAUGGAAACUAGAACACCAUGCAGACGAACAAUAUCCCAUAUAUAAAUCUUCGCUAGUCCCUUCGAAUAAUAGGUAGUACACACAAGAAUGAAGUGUGCAAACUUGGUCAGACGAUCCAUAAUCACCUAAAUGGCAUCAAACUUUCUCCAAGUCCGUGGGAGUCUAGCUACGGAGUCCAUGGUGAUCUUCUCCAACUUUCACUCCAGAAUCUCUAUCUGCUGAAGCAACCCACCCGGUCUGUGGUGCUCAAACUUCACCUGCUGAUGAUUGAGACACUGAGCUACAAACGCAACAAUAUGUUUCUUCAUCAACCUCCACCAAUAAUGCUACCUCAAAUCUUGGUACAUCUUCGCGGCACACAGAUGAAUGGAAUACCGUGGACUAUGGGCCUCCUCUAGAAUCAACUCCCGACGCUCAUCAACAUUAGGUACACAUACUCGACCCUGCAUCCUCAAUAUACCGUCAUCACCAAUAGUCACAUCUCUAGCAUCGCCAUGCAAAACCUUAUCCUUGAGUAUAAGCAAAUGAGGAUUAUCAAACUGACGCGCUCAAAUACGAUUCAGAUAAGGAAGACCGGGAAACCAUGCAAGCUAAGUGGGCUUCGAAAGAUCCAAUCUCACAAACUGGCUGGCUAAGGCCUGAACAUCCAUCGCCAUGAGCCUCUACGUUGCUGGUAAAUAAGUCAAACUCCCCAAACUCUCUACCUAGCGACUCAAAGCAUCGACCACCACAUUAGCCUUGCUCGAAUGAUACAAAAUAGUGAUAUCAUAGUCCUUUUGUAGCUCUAACCACUUCAUCUAGCACAAAUAUAGAUCUUUUUGCUUGAAAAAAUGCUGCAAACUCUAGUGAUCGAUAUAAAUCUCACAAGGCACACCAUACAAAUAGUGAUGCCAUAUCUUCACUAGCAACUAACUCAAGAUCAUAGACAGGAUAAUUCUUCUCAUGUACCUUUAACUGCCUAGACGCAUAGGCAAUCACCCCAUCGUCUUGCAUCAAUACCGCUCCUAGGCCGAUCCUCGAGGGAUCACAAUAUAAAAUUUAAGACUCUGAACCUGCAAGCAAUAUCAAAACUAGGGUUUUAGUCAAAGUUGUCUUGAGCUUCUAAAAGCUUGCCUCACACUCUUCUAUCCACUAGAACAGAGCAACCUUCCAGGUAAGCCUGGUCAUAGGUGCAGCAAUAGAUGAAAAACCCUCAAUAAAUCAAUGGUAGUAACCCGCCAAGAUAAGAAAACUACGGAUCUCUAUAGUUGAGGAUGGUCUGGGCCAACUCUGCACUGCUUUUAGUUUCUUUGAAUCCACCUUUAUCCCCUCACUAGAUACCACAUGACCCUAGAAUGCCACGGAAUCCAACCAAAACUCACAUUUUGAGAACUUUGCAUAUAACUUCUUUUCUCCUGAAGUCUGAAGCACUACCCGCGGGUGGUGCUCAUGAUCUUCCCGACUCCGGGAGUAUACCAAAAUAUCAUCAAUAAAGAUAAUAAGGAACAAGUGAAGAUAUGGCCGGAACACACUAUGCAUCAAAUGCAUAAAGGCUGCUAGGGCCUUGAUUAGCCCAAAUGACAUAAGAAGAAACUUGUAAUGACCAUAUCGAGUCCCCAAAGCAGUCUUUAGUAUAUCUAGCUCCAAGUCUUUAAGUAAUGGUAACCUGAACACAUGCCAAUCUUAGAAAACAUCGUGCGCCCUGUAACAGGUCAAACAAAUCAUCAAUACGAGGCAAAGGAUACAGGUUCUUCACUGUAACUUUGUUCAACUAGAAAUAAUCAAUGCACAUACGCAUAGACCAUCCGUCUUCUUCACAAACAAAACAGCAACACCCCAGGGUGAUACACUGGGCCUAAUAAAUCUCUUAUCAAGCAAUUCCUGUAACAGAUCCCUCAACUCCUUCAAUUCGGGAGGAUCCAUAUGAUAUGGAGGAAUAGAAAUGGGAUGAGUUCCUGGCAAUAGAUCAAUGUCAAAAUCAAUAUCUCUAUCGGGCGGCAUGCUCGGAAGGUCAGCUGGAAACACAUUAGAAAAAUACCGUACUAUUGGGACGAAAUCAACUGAAGGGGUAUCAAUACUGACAUCUCUCACAUAAGCUAGAUACGCUUCACAUUUCUCUCAGGCAUUCGCUCAGCCUUAAGGAAAGAUAUAACUGUACUGGCAGUGUGAUCUAAAAAAACCUUCACUUAAAACGCAGUACACUUGGGAUAGCCAGCGCCACAGUUUUGGCGGGACAAUCAAGAAUAACAUAAUGGGGUGAAAACCAGUCCAUGGCUAAGAUAAUAUCAAAAUCAAUCAUGCUAAGAAACAAUAAAUCAGCUCUGGUCUCAAAACCACUAAGAGCAACCAAUGACGACCGAUAAACACAGUCCACAAUAAGAAAAUCUCCUACAAGAGUAGAAACAUAAAUGGGGGAACUCAAAGAAUUCUGAGAUACACCCAAAUACAGAGAAAAAUAAGAAGACACAUAAGAAUAAAUUGAGCAUGGAUCGAAUUAACCGAUAUAUCUUUAUGAAAAACCAGGACAAUACCUAUGAUUACAGAAUAGGAGGCAACAACAUCGGUACGGGCAGGAAGGGCAUAAUAUUUGGCCUGGACUCCUCCUAUAGGGCGACCUCUACCUCCCUGACCUCCACCUCUAGCUGGAUGAGCAGGUGGGGUAGCAACUGGAGCCGUAACCAUAUCUUGAGAACUCUGCAGGGCACGCUGUGGCUGACAAGUCUAUGGAGGUGCAACUCUCCUAAGUCUGGGGCAAUCCUUCACCAGUGUGUCAACACACUCAAAAUAAGAUCUUGGAAGAUGUGGAAAUUGAGAAUUCUUGGGCCAGGUAGGCUGGACUGACCACUUAGAGCACCCUACGCAGGAGGCGCGCUAGAUACUAGAGGUGCAUAAUAAAGCUCUCGAGGUCUAGGAGGAGCUGGAAUACAACUGGUUAUUGGAAGAGCUGAAUGAACAGGGUUACUCACAUAACCUAUACCAUGAUGAAUUGUAGCUGGGGCAUGGGCACUAGAAUAAUGACCUGACUCUCGAGACCUCUUGGCCUCUCUCUCCUCCCUAUCCCAAGCAAGCAUGCCCUCUACUCUCCUAACAAUGUUCACCACCUGCCAAUAAGCAAUAUCCAUCUCCAACUAUCACGCCAUACUAGAACUGAUGCUGGCAAUAAAUCCCUCAAUAAACCUGCGAACCCUCUCGUAAACAGUAGAAACCAAGGCUGGUGCAUGUCUAGCCAAACUAGUGUAACAAACAGCAUACUCCGAGACAGUCAUAGUACCCUAGCACAAAUGCUCAAACUCUGCGUGCCAUUAAUCCCUAAGGCUUUGAGGAACAUACUCUCUCAAGAAUAUAUCUGAAAAUUGAGUCCAAGUCACGGAAGCUACCUUAUCCAGACUGUCUAACUUAUAAGUACGCCAGCACUCAUAGGCAGCCCCUCGAAGCUAGAAAGUAGUGAAGGAAACCCCGCUCGAUCCUGAUAUACCUAUGAUACGGAGAAUACAAUAGCACUCAUCUAGAAAUCCCAUAGCAUCAUCUGAUGUUAGACCACUAAAUACAUGAGGCUUGUACUUCUUGAAUCUCUCAAGCCUCAGUUGCUCAUCCUCGGAAGUCGUUGCCGUAUCCUCGGGAUGAUCUUGCCUUACAAGUUGUACAGGAAUAAUCUCUGGGACCUAAUCAGAUGCACUCGCUGUUUAGGAGUGCGAACGAUGGGAGUCUGUGCUCUUCCUCUAGCCUGAGAUGUAGAUGCAGCAAGGGGAAGCAACCUUGCCUGAGCCAGAGUGGUGUACAUGCUCAUGAACUGUGCUAGAGUCUCAUGAAGUGCUGGAGUAGUAGUAGCACUAGGCGUAUCAAGUGCUUAGGCUCCGACUGGAGUUGCUGGUGGCUCCUCGGUGGUAGCUCACUUGGGUGCUCUGGUUGCAACGUGUGCGCGUCCUUGGCCUCUACCCCAACCUCGACCUCUGAUGGCUCGAGUGACUAAUUACCUCUAGUAACAUGUAUCCUCACCAUUCGUGAGAGAAUAGAAUACCGAAGUUUAAAAUUGUGAUAUCAAAAAUCUCGUACCAUAAGGAAAUUAAAUGAAGUAGGAUUUUCCUAACAGUUACAUAGGCUUUUGCAAAUAAGUACAAAUGUCUCCGUACCGAUUCGCGAGACUCUAAUAUACUGGCUUGUGAUUUAUGACUCCAAUGAACCUAGAACUUUGAUACCAACUUGUUAUGACUCCAGUUUGCCCUUCAUGAACUAUCGUGAUGUCACCUAGUCUCUACGACUAGGUAAGCCUAACAAUUUGUGGAAAUAGAGAAAACAACAGAUAAAACAAUAAAAACUUGCGGAAUAAACAUAGUGAAGGUUUAAAUAUGUCGCUCGGCAUACAUAAUAUAACUCACAAACUAACAACUUCCUAAAAUCCGGAUCCUCAUGAAAUUACAAGCUGUUGAAUAACUACAAGUGUCUAACUCCAGAAUGUCUAAACAAAAGUAAAUACAUAAGGGGUAAUACUAUAAGAGAGAAUGGAAAGAGACUCCUUAUUUUGUGGACGCAGUAGAUAUACCUCAAAGUGUUUGGAAAAUCACCUCGCCACAAGAGUAGUAGGACUGAGUCGAAGUACCUAGAUCUGCACAAUAAAAACAUGUGUAGAAAGGGUAUGAGUACACCACAGCGGUACUUAGUAAGUGCCAAGACUAACCUCGAUCGAGUAGUGACGAGGAAGGUCAGGGCCCUACUGAUUUUAACUGAAAAAUGACGUAAAAUAGAAUAGAAUACAACAAUAUAAUUAAAUGCUAAUAGUAUGAAGUAAUAGAGGAUAAUAAGAAUAACAACUAUAACAGAGAAAAAAUAAUCACGAACGGAGUACAAUUCAAUGCAGAGAUAACUACCGGGUAUCUCCCAGGAUACCGUCCUAUAGUCCCAAACAUAAACAUCUAAUGGAUCUCACAGGAUUUUAUCCCGUAGUCCAACUCAUAGUGCGGGGGGAUCUACCAGAAUCCCGAUGUGUAGUCCCAAAUAUAAAUAUUCAAUACUGGGAGAAUCUAGCGGGUGCAGUCCCGUAGUUCCAAUAGAAACAGGCAAGGGGAUCUCCCAGGAUACUGUCCCGUAGUCUCAAAGUCAUAUAGCAGCAACACGAAGAAUACUCAAUUCAAUUUAAAUUUCAUACCAAGGUAAAAUAGGUAUUUCUAAACUAUCAUGCUGCACAUAAUCCAAAUAAGGUAGUUUGAGCAAGUAAAGCAACUAAGUCAAUUAGACAUGCUUCCCUAAGCUAACAACAUACUUAAAUUGUAUGUACUAUAAACAGGAAAGGAAACACAAUUAUAGUUAUUUGAUGAAAAUAUGAUUUUCAACAAUUAGCACAAGUACGCACUCGUCACGUUACGUACAAGGCAUUUCAAAUAUCAACAAUACCAAAUCCUAAGGGGAGUUUCCCCACACUAGGUUAGGCAAGCCACUUACCUCAAACCGACUCAAAAUCAACUCGAAACGGUACUAUUUGUCACGCCCCAACCUUGGGAAGUGUGGCUGGCACCCGGUGCCAUAGUGGCCCGAGCGAACCACUCUGCAAAUUUUUUCUUUUCUUUGUAACUAUCAUGGGCCAACAUGGCCACAACUCGUUAUGUAUAACUAUAUAUGGGCAACACUGUUUCACUGAACCAUUUUUCUUAAUACAUGAAUACAUAUGGGUCGUGAAGGCCUUUGACAUACUGUACAAAAUGAACCUCUAUCUACAAAGUCUCUAAGAUUAAUUGACAUCAAAUGAGACAUGGUACUGGCCUACCCAUAAAUAUGUAGCAAAACUCUGGCAUGAUGACUCAUUGACUCCGCUGCACUCCGAAUGAGAUGGAGUCUCACUGAUCCUUCACUAAAUGUUAAUCUCUUCUAAGAUGAAGGUUUGUCAAACUGAUUAUCUAUACCUGCAGGCAUGAAAUGCAACGUCCCCAACAAAAGGACGUCAGUACGAAUAAUGUAGUGAGUAUUUAAAGCAUGAAAACAUAAAUAAGAAUAGGAAUGUAAAGAGAGAAAGAGGAGAUAAAACCUGUAACUCUGCGUGCCUCUGGGGCUACUGACAUGAAAUGCAUAAUACAUAUAUAUAAAUAAGCUUUUAAAAACAUUCGCCUCUGUGGGCAUCAUCACUAGCAUAUCGUACACGUCCUCAAAGAGGACUUAGUAAAAACGUAUCUGGCCAUCAUAAGGCUCGGUAGAAUCGUACCCGGCCACGUGGAGCUCGGUAAACCCAACUGAUCAGUGGUUNNNNNNNNNNNNNNNNNNNNNNNNNNNNNNNNNNNNNNNNNNNNNNNNNNNNNNNNNNNNNNNNNNNNNNNNNNNNNNNNNNNNNNNNNNNNNNNNNNNNNNNNNNNNNNNNNNNNNNNNNNNNNNNNNNNNNNNNNNNNNNNNNNNNNNNNNNNNNNNNNNNNNNNNNNNNNNNNNNNNNNNNNNNNNNNNNNNNNNNNNNNNNNNNNNNNNNNNNNNNNNNNNNNNNNNNNNNNNNNNNNNUCGGUUAACCCAACUGAUCAGUGGUUGCACAAUAGGUGUCGUACCUGGCCGACUAUAGCGCGGAUCGAUAGAGUAAAAUAGAUACUAUAUAUAAUGCCCGCUAGACUCAUAGAAUCACGUUCUUAAUCUUCUGGAGUGACUUAAGAACAUUAGGGACAUCCAUACCCUCAAUAUGAACCUCAGUAGGAUUCAAGGAUCUUACACAGUUGCUUAGAAUAAUUUUAUAACGAAAGAAUAACAUGACAACCUUAGUUGCUAGGAGUAGAUCAGCUAUGAAAUAGGGUAUUCAUUUCACUUUAGAUCAUGCCAAAAGAAAGAAGGAAGUGCCUUGACAUACCUGGAGGAAGAUACUAAGUUUUGUAGAGCCAAAUCAUUGAAUAAAUCUCCUCCAAAUUUUAAUCUUCCAAAUGAGUUAUAGGAGUAUCAUUUAUCACAAGCGGUGCAGUUGACAAAGGUCCAUGCUACUACCUUCAUAUAACAAUUUGACAUGGACACAAGUUCAUCUUGUUGGACAAGGAUAUAGAACUGAGGAACAUAUUCAAAUAGAUUCACUAGCUCCAGCAAUUUCAUGGACUCACAUGACAACAAGCUAUAACUUCUUUAUAAUUCUUCAAGACUGAACUCCCAGAUACAUCUAAAUUCAGAAUCCUCACACUCCCACGACUUCAGUCAUACCAAAAGUACAAUUGUCAGACCUCAAAUGGUUCCUCAAAUCACCACUCGAAGCUCUCCAAUUAACCAAACUGUAACCCCCAAUUUACCACUGAUUUUCCUUAAAUUUCAUGCUUAAAAUGAUAAAAAUCACCAUAAUAACGAGCUAAAGGACCAAAGACCUUACCUUAAUGAAUCCCUCUGAAAAUCUCCCUUGAAAAUGCUCCCCAAAGCUUCUUCCCUUUUAAAAUGAGAUGAAAAAUAACUCAAAUUCGUGAAAGCAUCUAUUUAUAUGUUUUGCCAAGUAAUAUCACAUCUGUGAUCAAAAUUACUGCACCUGCUAUCACAAGUACGCAUAUGCAGCUCUUUACUUAUCCACCAGCCACCACACCUGCGAUGGCCUUCUCGCAACUGCGCCUUCGAAGAUGCACCCAUAUUUUUGCUUCUGCGGCUCUAGCCUUUCUUCCUCUUGGCCGCAUCUGCAGCUUCCCUUUCGCUUCUACGGGCUCGCACUUGCGGUCCCCAAGCCGCAUGUGCGAUUAUGACAACAAACUCAGUAGCUUUAGCUGCAAAUUCCCAACUCCAAACUUCUCGUUAACCAUCCGAAAUCAUCCUAAGGCCCCCAGAAGUUCAACCACAAGCACGAACAAGUCAUAUACCACUAUCCAAACUUAUACCAAUCCUCAAAACACUUAAAACAACAUCGAAACGUCGAAUUAACUAUGGAUUCAAGCCUAAAAACUCGAAAGAAGUUCGAAUUCUGCUUUUGAUCAAAAAGUCUAUCAAACCUCGUCCGAAUGACCUGAAAUUUUGCACACAAGUCACAUUCAACACUACGGAGCUACUCCAACUCUUGGAAUCCCAUUCCAACUCCUUGAUCAGAAUCUCACUAUCGAACCGGAAACUUCAAAAAUGUAACUUUUGGUAUUUCAAGCCUAAUUAAUCUACGGACCUGGAAAAUACAAUCUGAACACGCCCCUAAGCCUGAAAUCACCUAACGGAGCUAACAGAACCAACAAAAUUCCAUUCCAAGGCUGUAUUCAUAUAGUUCCGACGACGGUCGAAAUUCUAAAACUUAAACUCUCAUUUAGGGACUAAGUGUCCCAAAACUCUCCAAAACUCUAAAUAAAUCCUCCCGGCAACUCACCAUAGUAGAAACAAACACGGGGAAUGUAGUUAAUAUGGGAUAUGGGCAUUAAUUAUUAAAACGAUUGGCUGAGUCGUUACAAGAAGUGUUCUCGCUCCUUUUGGACAUCAACUAAAAGUGCGACAAUACCUCUAAAUCCAAAGUCAUGCUGUGUCCUCCUUCAUAUCAAACAACUCCUUUCCGUUGCAUCCAAUAUCCUACCGUAAAUGCCAAUAUUUAAGACCAUAGACCCAAUCGACGUCCACUAAAAUCCCAAAUCGCUCCAACUUUCCUCAAGGUGUGUAGUUACCCUGCCACUAAACCCAUAUGCUACUCUGCUACUCUCCCACUUUGGCCAAACCCUCUUGGUUAAGAAGCUACUUGACUUCCGCUGCUUAAACCUGACCUUCUAGAAAUUUAACCACGACAUGACACUCCCCACAUGUCCUUCCUCAUCCUUUUUUACCCAGUUGUUGCCUUAAAUCAAUAUCUAUCUCUAUAGCACUUUAACCAACAGAUUGCUACUACUUUAAACCUUUUCGAAGAUCAUCUUUCUCGAGCCAUCAAUACUAAAAACACCGAUCCGGUCCUGAACCACCGCACACCGCAAUAUCUGACAGUCGCUUCCUCGAUACCAUUUCAUAAUAAACCCACCCAAAGGUGGGUUGACGAAGAUCAUAACACCGCCGAAAUCAACACACUCAAUCGACGGAUGAUGACACCACAUCGCAGAUGGAAAUUCCACCACAAUUGAAAACACCAAUUCUCGUUACUCUAUCAACCCAAACCUGGACAUUUAUAGUCUUAUUGACUUUCCUCCGCCAGAUUAAAAAUACCGAAUCUAUAAAUUAUGCUCUGAGUAGACCUCCUUUCCAGUUAUUCACUGCCCCAACAUAUAGGUAAGUGUCCUACCAUCACAUCAAUACUAGGUGAUAGAAACACACAAAUCAUCAUUUAAAUCAAUACCAAAUCUCAAAACCUUAGUUAAUACCGAUACUGAGCGGAAAUGAUAGAACGACCUUCUACAAGGUGACAUUAUAAGCCCAAUCAAUACGAAUGGAGAAACAUCCGUACUACAUCUGUAGUACCUUUACAAUUCCUCAAUUCCUAAUUAAUAACAAGCGCUUCAUGUCCCAUAAAUUGAGUAGGAAAGAAACAAAUGCAUGAGCCUCAAAGGAAUCAAACCACACGAUGAGGAAUAAAGAAGGGAAGUCUCCUAAUAGUCUUAUAGCCUCUUGAAAAUAAGUAUAGAUGUCUCUGUACCGAUCCACAAUACUCUACUAGACUUGAUCAUGACUUGUGAUACCUAAGGUAUCCUAAUGCUCGGAUUCCAUGUUGUCACGAUCCAAAAUUCAUUAAAGGUUAUGAUGGCUCCCUACACCACUAUCAGGCAAACUAUCACUAAGAUGUUAGUUAAAUUCUCAUAUUAGUGUUUUUGAAAUCAUUUUUUCCCUUACAUUAAACAAUAAAAAAUAAACUUCACCGAGUAAGUAAUAAUGUGUUUAACAAAUUUUCAAAUACUGAAUAAUCCCAUAUAAAUCGCAGAACCCGUUAUCAUAAGUGCCUGAGAAAUUUCUAGGAAAUAAAAUGCAAUACAAUAACUAUUCGGAAUAUAGGUUGGACCUAAAAUAAAAUAUAAUACUCUGAAGGAGAUUCUGCUGGCUAUGGGUCAUCUCAAGAGAUGCAACUCACUUAAGACUCUGUAUCAACCAUGCCGCUGCGCCCAAUGAGGCUAAUGGACAUAAGUGUGCUUGUGCAACAAAAAACGCACACCAAGUGUAGAAUGAGUACGAAAGCAACGAGUACCCAGUAAGUAUCCCGUCUAACCUCGAAGAAAUAGUGACGAGUCAACUUCGACACUUACUAGUGGUCCAAUAAUAAUAUAACAAUAAUGUGAAAACUCGUGGAUUUUAUUAGGUGACUGCACACUCAAUAAGCAUGAAGCAGGUAAACAAUUAUUUGCUUAAUAGAAAUUUCCAAGUUCAUAUUUCAUCAUUUAUUAAUUUAUCUCAGGCCAAGGAGGCAAUAUCCAAUUUUUGUAUAUCUCGAGGCAAGCAAUACAAACAUGCGGAAUUUAUGCCGAGGUAGUAUGCCUGAUCCAAUAAAUAUUUAAAUUAUGCACUGCCAGAGGGUCGAAUGACGCGAACCAUAGAUGCAUCUGUGGCCCGUUCUACAAAAGUGAAAAUAUUCAAAUAGUUAAUUAACAUUUCAUCAAAGGCAACUAUCUAAGGAAAUGGCAAUUCAUCUCUUAACUGUCAAGAAAAUGUUGUUUAGAUGUUAUAAGUUUAUUAACCAACUUCAAUAUUAUUUAUGUAUUUUAAUUUGAAAAUAAGGUUGCAAAUGUUACAAGUAAAACAUGCUUUUGGGUCUUAGACUACCCAGAUUUAAGCAUAAUAGUAGCUACGCACAGACUCUCAACACCUCGUGCGUACGUAGCCCCCACAAAUAGGAGCACAUAUUUAAUUAUUUUACCUAUGGGGUUAAUUCCCUCUUACAAGGUUAGAAAGGAGACAUACCUUUCUCGAAAGUUCCAUAAUUUCUACUAAUUUCCAUGACUAAAUCCAUAUAUAAACCUUAUAUUUAACUCAAAACUAGUGGAAAUCACUUACCUCAUGCUUGGUAAUGAAAAUAGCAGUUCAAAGUUGCUCCAAAAUCGGCUCCUAUGGAGGAAAUGGGGUUGAAAUGAGCCCAACCCCUAUCUUUUAAAAGACACUGCCCAACGACUCUUCGCACCAGCGGUCACUUGACCGCUUCUGCAGUUCCGCAUGUGCUGAUCAACCAUCGCUUCUACGGUUUAGGGCUUCCACUCCAUUUUUGUUUCUGCGCCUUCUCUUCCGCAUGUGUGGUCUCGCUUCUGAGACGAGAUGACCGGAUCUGCAGCACUCCUAUCCAAAAUCACAUCUGUGACUCUUAUGCCACUUCUGCGGAUCCGCACCCGCGGCCAAAACCUCGCAUGUAGGGUUAUACAUGAUGAUUUCUUCCAAGUCCAAACUCGAUCUAUUUACCAUCCAGAUUCCAUCCGAGGCCCUCGGGACCUUAACAGAUUAUCCUAACUCGUCCCAAAAUACAUUACUAACUUAGUCGAGCCUUCAGAUCACAUCAAACAACAUUGAAAUUACGAAUCACAACCAAUUCAAUAUUAGUGAACUUUAGAACUUCAAACUUCAACAUUCGAUGUCGAAAUAUAUCAAAUCACGCCCGUUUGACGUCAAAUUUUGUACACGUCAUAUUAACAUUACCAACGUACUCCAACUUCCGGAAUCGAAAUCCAAUUCGAUAUAAAAAGUCCACUUCCGAUCAAACUUUUCAAAAAUCUUCAAAUUUCUAACUUUAGCUAAAUGACUACAAAAUAAACUACGUACCUUUGAAUCCACUUCGGAAUGCGCCCCCAAUACUAGAAUAACCAUACGGAGCUAUUCCCAAACAAACAUCGAUAACACUAAAAUGCACUUCAACCCAUACUUAUGAAAUUCUUCCAAAAUGCUAACUUCCACGAUUGUCAUGACCCGGAUUUACCACCCUUGGGAGUCAUGAUGAUACCUACUCAUGAAAGCUAGGCAAGCCAAGUGUUACAGAUUUUAUUACCGUUUUUCCUAAACCUUUUUGACAAUUAUAAUUAACAUAUGAUCAACAAUGGAAUAAUAAAAAUAAAAAGAAAUUAGGAAUACGAAAUCUAAUAUUUUAUCUUAAUACAUAUACGAUUAUAUAAAAAUAAUCCACCCAGAACUUGUGUCACAAUUUGAUAGACCAUCUAGGAAUACUACAAAUAGGGUCUAAACAAAGAAAAAUACAUGUAUGUCUUUGAAAUAAGUAAGAACAGAAGAAAAUAGGAUAGAAGGGGAUGCCAAGGCAUGCGGACGUCUGAAGGACUACCUCGGGUCUCCGCUGGAUUGAAGGCAACAACCUCAUUAUGGUCCGAAUGCUGCAAUACCGAAAUUUACACACAAUACAGAUUGUAGUAUCAGCAUAACCGACCCAUGUGCUGGUAAGUGUCGAGCCUAACCUUGGCGAAGUAGUGACAAGGCUAGGAUAUGACUACCAAAUAAAUCUGUGCAGUUAAAUCAAAUACGGCAAAUAAUGAUAACAGAAACUAGCAGUUAAAGAUGGGAAUGAAGAACAUGCUGGGGGGAAUAUCAAGUACUAACAAAAUUUCAGUAGAGAAGCAUAAAGAACACCACAAUUUCAUAUAGGCAAGAAUAAGGAAAAUAGUAACAAGUGCACGACAUCACCCUUCAUACUUUUACUCUCGUUCUCACCAUGAGAAUCAAUAUUCACUUUUAUUCUUUCUUGUUGUGGCGUGCAACCUGAUACCAAUCAUAUAAUAUUUUUGCGGCAUGCAACUCGAUCCCAAUCAUAUAAUGAUGUUGCUGCAUGAAACCCGACCCCACUGUCCACCUUUAUUACUCCUUGUUGCGGGCUGCAACCCUAUCUCAUACAGUAUUGUUGCGGCAUAUAACCUGAUACCAGUAUAGAAAUUAACACCAAUCACAAAAGAAUCUCGGCAAGGGAACAAUAGUAUAACAAUAACCCGGCAAGGGAAACAAUAUCAUAAGCAAUAACAUCCUGGCAAGAGAAUUAAUCAAUAAUAUAUCUCAUCUCGUUCCUACAAUCACUUCACAACAUAAGUCUCAACUUGAGCCAAUGCUCAACAAUGGUCAAUUACCAAGAAUACUUUCAUUAGCCUUGUUCAACACUUAUAAUCAUCAUAUUAAGCGUGAAAAAUACAUAAGGGAGUCACAACAAUCAUAGUAUAAGACUCACGGGCAUGCUUAACACUAACGUUUAGAUACUCGUCACCACACCUAUACAUUGUACUCAACACAUAACACCUAGCAAAUAAGAUCACAACUCUUAUUCCCUCAAGGUAAGGUUAGACCAAACACAUACGUAAAUUUUACGGACAAUUCAAGCCUCAACUACCACUUUACCUCUUGAUUCAACUUCCAAUUCGCUUGUAUCUAGUCAAAAUAUACUUAACGAUAUCAAUAAAUGCUAAAUAAACCAAUUCUAAUGCAUGAAAAUAGGUUCUCCAAUAAUUUCCCCAAAAAGUCAAAACCCGCCCGGGCCCACUUGGUCAAACCCCGAGGUUAGAAUCAAAACGCGAUCACCUGUUCACCCACAAACUCAAGUAUAUAUAUAUUUUAAAAAAUCGAACCUCAAAUUGAGGUCCAUAGUCCCAAAAUUUGAAAAUCCUAAGUUCUACGCAAAAUCACCCAAUUUCCCAUGAAAACCCCUUGAUUUUGAAAUGAAAUCACGUAAAAAAUGUUAUAGAUUGAAGGAAAUAAGUUGAAAUUACUUACUAAUGAUGUAGAGAAGAAUCUUUCUUUGGAAAGUCUCCCAAGAGAGUUUAGGGUUUGAAAGAGUUUGAAAAAUGGAUGACAUCUCGCUAAAAUCCCACUUAUCAGGUGAAGAUGUCGCAAUUGCGACUAGGGGUUUGCAAUUGCAAACCCUCUGAAAAUAGGCUGUCUUCGCAAAUGCGAAGAAACUACCGUAUUUGAGACCCCAUGAUAAUUCCCGCCAUCUUCGCAAUUGCAUAGUGAAAUGUCGCAUUUGCGACCUCUAGACCAUCUGACAGCCUUCGCAUUUGCGAAGAACAUCUCGCAUUUGCGAGGAAGGCUGGCCCAAGGUCUUUGUAGUUGCGAAGCAAAAGCUCACAUUUCCGGUCCCUGAGUACAUCGCAAUUGCGUGAUCAGGGGCUUGCAACACUGCUGCAACGCAUCAGAAAUAUCCCUAAGUCUAAAAUCACUCCGUAGCCUAUCCGAAACUCACCCGAGCCCUCGGGACUCCAAACCAAUCAUGCAUGCAAGUCUAAAAACAUCAUACCGACUUGCUCGUGCGAUCAAAUCAUCAAAAUAACAUAAAAACUAUGAAUUCAACCUCAAAUCAUAAAAUUACUCAAGAACACUAAAAUUUUGAUUUUCUCAACUAAAGGCCCGAUUUAUACCAAACGAACUCUGAUUCUUACCAAGCUUAACAGAUUUGGCUUAUUUAUUAUGUUAAACCUGUAACGGGAUCCGUAAUCAAAAUACGGGGCCGAUACCAUCAAGAAAAUGCAUCAUUUCACUUCUAAGAGUCUUUAUAUUUACCAGAAAACAAUUUUUUUAAAAGUCUUUUCUCAGGUUUGGGACCUCGAUAUUCAAUUUCGGGCAUACGCCCAAGUCCUAUAUUUUACUACAGACCCUAUGGGAUUGUCUGAUCAUGGGUUCAGAUUCGUUUACCAAUAAUGUUGACCAAAGUCAACUUUAUUCAAUUUUAAGGGCCAAUUUCCUUAUUUUACUUAGAUUUCACCCAAAUCGAGGUGAGACAAAACGAGGUUUUUAAGGCCUCGGAACACAAAAUUUACUUUCAAAAUGAGGAUGACCUUUCAGGUCAUCACAUUCUCCACCUCUAAAACAACCGUUCGUCCUUGAAUGAACAUUAAAGAAGUACUCGAGUCAGAGAAAAGAUGGCGAUAUCGACUCUGCAUAUCGGACUCCUAGGUCGCUACCUCAAGAGUCUGACCCCUCCACUAAACACGAACCUAAGGAAAACUCUUCGAUCUCAACUGGCGAACCUGCCGAUCUAUAAUAGCUGUCAGCUCCUUCUCAUUGGAUAAGUCCUUGUCCAAUUGGACAGUACUGAAGUCUAACAUGUGGGAUGGAUCGCCAUGAUACUUUCGAAGCAUGGACACAUAAAACACUAGAUGCAUGGAUGAUAAACUCAGCGGUAAAGCAAGUCUGUAAGCCACCUCUUCCACUCGAUCAAGAAUCUCAAAAGGACCAAUGAAUCUAGGGCUUAACUUUCCCUUCUUCCCAAAUCUCAUCAUGCCCUUCAUAGGCGACACCCGAAGCAACACCCAUUCUCCGACCAUGAAUGCCACAAACGAACCUUACGAUCGGGGUAAUUCUUUUGCCUAGACUGAGCUGUACGAAGCCUAUCCUGAAUGAUCUUAACCUUGUCCAAGUCAUCCUGUACUAGAUCCGUACCUAACAACCGAGCCUCUCUCGGCUCAAACUACCCAAUCGGUGACUGACACCCCCUACCAUAUAGUGCCUCAUAAUGAGCCAUCUGGAUGAUCACCUAAUAGGUGUUGUUGUAGGCAAUCUCUGCAAAAGGCAAUAACUGAUCCCACGAGCCUCCAAAGUCAAUAACACAAGCUCAGAGCAUAUCCUCCAAAAUCUAAAUAGUACACUCGAACUAUCCGUCCAUCUGAGGGUGAAAUGUUGUGCUCUACUCGACCUGUGUGCCCGACUCACAGUGAACUACCCUCUACAAAUGCGAGGUAAACUGUGUACCUUGGUCGAAAAUGAUAGACACGGGCACACAAUGAAGAUGAACAAUCUCCCGGAUAUAUUUCUCUACUAACCUGUCUAAAGAAUAAGAGACUGCCAUAUGAAUGAAAUACGCUGACUUGGUUAGCCUAUCAACAAUAACCCACACUGCAUCGAAACCUAUGAGUCCAUGGGAGUCUUACAAGGAAGUCCAUAUUGAUACGCUCCUACUUUUACUUAGUAAUCUCUAUUCUCUGAGACAAACCACCAGGUCUCUAAUGCUCAUCAUUACCUGCUGACAAUUCAAACUUUGAGCUACAUAUGGAACAAUAUCUUUCUUCAUUCUCAUCCACCAAUAAUGUUGCUCCAAGUCCUGAUACAUCUUAGUGGCACCCGGAUGAAUAGAGAACCAGGAACAAUAGGCCUCCUUUAGAAUCAACUCUCUAAGUCUAUCCAGAAUAAGCACACAAACUCGACUCUACAUCUUCAAAAUUCCAUCAUCUCUUACUGUAACCUGCUUGGAACCACUGUGCCACAUUGUGUCCCUAAGGACACACAAAUAAGGAUCAUCAUACUAUCGAUCUUUGAUAAGCUCAAAUAAUAAGGAACGAGCGACGUUACAAGCUAACACAUGGCUGUGCUCAGAAAUAUCCAACCGUACGAACUGAUUGGCUAAAUCCUGGACAUCCAAAGUAAGCGGUCUCUCACCAAUCGGAAUAUAGGCAAGACUGCCCAUGCUGACUGACUUUCUACUCAAAGCAUUGGCUACCACAUUGGCCUUCCCCGGAUGAUAUAAGAUGGUGAUAUCAUAGUCUUUCAAUAGCUCCAACCACCUUCUCUGCCUCAAAUUUAUUUCCUUCUACUUGAACAAAUAUUGCAGACUCUUGUGAUCUGUGAACACCUCGCAUGACACGCCAUAUAAAUAGUGCCUCUAAAUCUUCAGCGUGUGAACAAUAGCUUCUAGAUCCAAAUCAUGAACUGGAUAAUUUUUCUCGUGAAUCUUCAACUAUCGCAAAGCAUACACAAUGACUUUACCAUUCGACAUCAAUACUGUACCAAGUCCAAUACGAGAUGCGUCACAAUAUACUGUAUAUAUCCCUAAACCUGUAGGAAAUACCAACCCCAGUGCCGUAGUCAAAGUUGUCUUGAGCUUCUGAAAGCUCACCUCACACUCGUCCGACCACGUGAACUGGGCAUCCUUCCAGGUCAACUUGGUCAUCGGGGCUGCAAUAGAUGAAAACUCCUCCACAAACUGACGCUAAUAGCCCGCUAAACCUAAGAUACUCCGGAUCUCUGUAGUUGAUGCAGGUCUAGGCCAGUCCUUGUCUGCCUCUAUCUUCUUCGGAUCCACCUGAAUACCCUCUACUGAUACAAUGUGACUCAAGAAUGCAACUAAACUCAACCAGAACUCACAUUUUGAAAACUUAGCAUAUAACUAACUGUCCCUCAAAGUCUGGAGAAUGGCUCAAAGAUGCUGCUCAUGCUCUUCUCGGUAGCGGAAAUAGAUCAAAAUAUCAUAAAUGAAGACUAUCAUGAAGGAAUCCAUGUAAGGCUUGAACACUCGGUUCAUCAAAUCCAUGAAAGUUGCUAGGGCAUUUGUCAACCCUAAUGACAUCACUAAGAACUCAUAAUACUCGUACCGAGUGCGGAAAGCUGUCUUAGAUCGGAUGCCCAAAUCCUCAAUUGAUGGUAGCCAGAUCUCAAAUCGAUCUUAGGAAACAAUUGGGCACCCUGAAGUUGGUCAAACAAAUUAUCAAUCCUCGGCAAUAUUCUUGAUUGUGACCUUGUUCAACUGCCGAUAAUCUAUACACAUCCUCAUCGAUAUAUCCUUCUUCUUAAUAAAAAAACAUCGGCAUACCUCAAAGCGAGACACUAGGUCGAAUAAAGCCUUUAUCAAGAAUGUCUUACAACUGUUCUUUCAAUUCUUUCAACUCUGGCGGGGCCAUAUGAUAUGACGGAUAGAAUUGGGUUGGGUGCUCGAAGCUAAAUGAAUGCAAAAGUCAAUAUCCCUGUCGGGUGACAUCCCCGACAGGUCUGAAAGAAAUAUUUUUGGAAAACUUACGAACAAUAUGAACAAAAUCCAUAGAAGUAAUCUCAACACUAGAAUCACAAACAUGCGCCAAAUAAGCCAAACAUCCCUUCUCAACCAUAUGCCAAGCUUUCAUAUAUGAGAUAACCCUACAUGUGGAAUGAACAUGAGUCCUUCUCCACUCUAAACGAGGUAAACUGGGCAACGCUAAGGUUGCAGUCUUGGCAUGACAGUCCAAUAUAGCGUGUUAAGAUGAUAACUAGUACAUUCCCAAUAUGACAUCAAAAUCAACCAUCCAAAAGUAACAGAUCUACUCGGGUCUCAAGACCCCCAAUCACAACUAUACAUGAAUAAUGGACAUGAUCUACCACAAUAGAAUCACCCACCGGUGUAGACAUAUAUACAUGAGCGCUCAAGGAAUCACUAGGCAUGACCAAGUAUGGUGAAAAAUAAGAUGAAACAUAGGAGUAUGUGGACCCUAGAUCAAAUAGAACUGAAUCAUCUCUACUACAAACCAUAACAGUACAUGUGAUAGCUGCAUUAAAAGCCUCACCUCGGGCCUUGCAGAAAGAGCAUAACAUCGGGGCUGGGCCCCACCACUCUGAACUACAUAUCUGGAACGGCCUCCUGCUGGCUAGUCUCUACCUCUAGCGGACUGACUCAACCUUUAAUACCUCUACCUCCACCUAUGGCACCUCUAACUACACCUCUAGCUGGCUGAGUGGGCGGUGGAACACCCGAUGCCUGGAUCAUGGAACAGGAACCCGCAUGUUGUGACUGAACAUCCACUAAUCUCGGACAAGUGUCGAUGCCCCCUUUUUCUCGCGAAAUCGGGUUAAUGACACUUGGGAGGACAACUCGUUCCCUUUUUGGGAAUUGGGUUUUGCAAUUUUGAAAGAGUCGCCACCUAAUGAUUAAGUGCAUUAGGACACUAAAAAUGAAUUUGAUUUAGAAAAACAGAGAUUGGGUAAGGGCGAGAAAUUAUCUCGAGGGGAAGGUGCUAGGCACCCUUCAAGAUCUACUAGUAUGGUUCCCGGCCAUGCUACAAUUGUGACUUUAAGUACAAACAACAAGUAAACAAGCAAGAAUUGUAAAUACUAGGUAGCUUUGUCAUAAGGGUUGUAAACAACUGAAAUACAAGAAGUUAAAGAGGCUGAAAUUUGGAAGGAAUUCAUGUUAGAAUUCUAAAAAAACACAGAAGUAAAGGGGAAGGGGUUUGCACAUAAUUGAUGCAAGUUAAUUAAAAUAUAAGAGGUUAAAGAAGCUGAAAAUUGAAUAAUUUUAAAAUUCUGAGAAUAUAGACGAGUAAAGGGAAAUGGUCGUUUUCAGAAUUCUAAAAAAACACACAAAUAAAGGGGAAAUGGGUUUGCACAUAAUUGAUGCAAGUUAAUUAAAGUAGAAGAGGUUAAAGAAGCUGAAAAUUGAAUAAUUUUAAAAUUCUGAAAAUAUAUACAAGUAAGGGGAAAAGGGUAUCCUAGGUUUAUAAAUAAUAUGGAUCACCACAUACAACACAUGAUAACCAUUUAUACACGUGGUGUUAUUACGUGGUCAUCAUAUCCAUAUCUAUAUUUCCCUUGAGAAUAUAGACAAGUAAAUGGAAAGGGUGGUCGUAGGUUUAUAUAUAAUAUGGAUCACCCAUACAAUACCGAGUAACCAUUUAUACACGUGGCAUUAUCGUGUGGUCAUCAUAUCCAUAUCUACCAUUCCGACCCCGUUAAAGAAUUAAAUGCGAAAUAGUCUCGCUACUUAUUGCAUGCUAUUACCCGUCCCAAUCCUAUUAGUCUUGGAGGCAUUUGGAAAUACGAGUCUUAAAGGGGGAGGGAAAUGUGGAUUUGGUAUGGUUUAAAAAGGAUAAUAAUAAUUCUAGGGCAACAAACAAAACACGUAAGCAGUUAUGGGAAACACAGAAAACUUAAAAGGCUCAAGCAGGCCUCCUCACUUAAGAGCAAAUUGUUUAGCAUGACUUACAAGUACUAGUUAUGGUCUGAAAUAAAUUUAAAGCGUUAAGGCGGACUGGUUUAUCACAUAUUUCUCAGAGAAGAAGUCUGAGUUAGGCCUAUCCCUAGUUGUAAUUAUCAAAUACUGAUGCAAUUAAUUAAUUACCUAAUUGCUUGCCUAUGUGACACCUAUAGGUAUGAUAUCUAACAAUGCAGGAUUAUGCUGAUUUUAAAGAGGGCUUAUUGAUAAUAAAAAAAAGCAUAAGUUCUGCACAUAUUAAACGACCACUACUACUGGUUUUAGACCUGUAAGUGAGAUAGACGAUUCAAAUUUAGUUAGUUAUUCCUAUAGGCAUGCUUUCUAAGCAUGAUUUUAUAACGUUUAUAAAAGUGCAGGAAUCCUAUAGACAUGGUAUCUAGAGCGCCAUUUGUUAUUUGAACCUAUAAACUGUUUGCCUAGUGAUAGACGAUACACAGAAGUGCAGAAAAACCCUAUUUGUCAUGAUCUCUAUAUGAGAUGUAGAAAAACCCUAUAGUCAAACCUUCUAUAUGAGAUGCAAAAGUGCAAGGCAGGAUGUGAUUGCAGGAAGAAAUACCUAGGAACAUGAUGUCUACCCGAAUGCAUACAUGAGUGACCCUCCCCUUUUUACUAAAACCUCAUAAGUUAUUGUAAAUUAUUACAGACCAAAAGUAAAAUUACAUCAGAAAUUAGACUACAACAAAGGAGCCUAAUUCAGACUCAAGGUCUAAAAUAUGAGAUGAAACAACUCCGAAGAUCAAGAUUUCCAAAGCCUUUCUCAUUUUUUGGGUGUGUCAAAGUUCCCAAGAGCCUCAAGUGGACUCUGGGCAAUGCUUACACCCAAAUACAUUGCAGAAUUGAUUAUAAUGUGGUGUGGAAGAGCCAACCCUCAAAUUUCCAAGUUCAGAAGGAACUCAAGGUCCCAAAGCAAGGCUUAUAGGAGGGGGCAGAACUUAAAUCUAAGAGAGUGUGCAAGUGCAUAGAGGGGAUUUAGGGAAGGCCAUGGCAGGCUGGUGGUCAUACCCAACAAUUAGGAGUGAUGGCACACCCCUAACCAGCCUGUUAGCCAUAUUUGUGUGGGAGUUAGGAUCCAUUAAGGAUCACGUUCAGACAUGAGUAUCAAUUUGGAUACUGCCAAAAUUUCAAGAAAACAACCAGAAGAAACUCAGAUGAGAAUGUGAGAGUAAUUGAGAGUUUCUUAAAGAGCAUGGGACUGGAAGGUGUGUAAAAGUAUUAAAUUCAAAGUUUGUCAAAGUGUACCAGGGUCAUGCCCUUAUAGUGCAUAAAGCAAGUAAGAAAAGGUAAGAAAAUAUCAUUCAAAUCAAUCUCCCUUUAAUUAAGGGAUUCUAAUUUCAAACGGGUAAAAGGAAAUUAAGGAAAGAGUUGAUCAAAAAGUUUUUCAAAGCAGUACAAUAAGGGCAAAAUACACAAGGGUUUAUUUAAGGCAAAAUUUCAGUGGUACACCGUUUGUGACAAAUAAGGAAAGGGAAUAAAUCAAACAGCCAGUAAAAUCAAAAUUGCAGGCUUUAUCUGAAUGAACCAAGUCAGGAAAAGGUAAAGAAGGUUCAACCAAAGAAAAAAAUAGUAACAGUCGGUCACACCUUAUUAAACGGGACUCGAAAUCAAUCAAUAGUUGGCAAAACCUUUUUUGAAAGAAGAAUUUCUCAUAUAUAAAGCACACAAACAUCAAAUACGAAGGAGUUGUCAUGCUGAUUAGAAAAGACUUAUCAUAGAAAAAGUCUUAAAAAGGUUCCGAUCCACUUUAUAGACUUAGAAUGAGUCUGAGAGUUCAGGGUUUCAAAGUAGAACCCCAGUCCGAACAAAAAAUCAAUCUUGCUAAAGAAACCCCCAAAUCCUAGUGUUUUAACUCGAAUCAGAUAUAGAGAUGAGAAGGCAAGCCAUCGAAACAGACUCAAAGUUCUGUUUCAGAGCCUCAUAAGGAAACACACUAAUACGGUUGCAGGUUUGAAGCGAUAGAGUGAAAGGUUGAUUUAAAAGUAUAAAGAACAUGUUUUAGGAAAAACUCGGAACUUAAGCAAGUUCAGAAGAGAGAAAAUGGGUGAUAUAAAAUUAAAAAAAAUAAAGGAACCAUGCUUAUAACUCAAACAAAAGUCUAGUAAAGCAAACAAAAUUUAAGAAUUUAGCAGGAAACACGUACAAUAGAAGAAUACUUAAAAGUAUUGCAAAGAAUAUGUAGGAAAACAUAACAAAGAUUAACAUACGAGCCUAAUCUAGAGGCACAGUAGAGUACAAAGGUACAAAAAAGUCAUGUAUAGUAGGAAGAAAACAGAAGAACAACAUAUGUGUGGUAGAAAAGAAAACACAUGAGCAGAAUAUUGACGAACACACAUAAAGAAAAGAAAAGAAAGAAUCAGAAAGAUGUUUUGAAAACCUUUCAGAAACCCUAAAUCGAAGAGAAGAAAUUUUUGAAAGAAAGAUUGGGGAAAAUACUUUAAACAUCUAGUAGAACACAAAUAUAUCAUAGAUCUAAGCACACAAACAAAGAAAAACCUCGAAUAGCUUAGGAUUUCGGAGAAACCCUAGAAAUGAGAAAGGCUUUGAAGGUCACCGAUCUGAGUCAUUGAAGGUCAGAAACAUGCUCAAAUGACCAUGGUAUGCCAGAACAGAGACGGAGAGGACCUUGAGACCUUGAAUCGAUCGUGGUCUGGGUUCAACCUUUCGUAGUCAGGCCUUGAAUCUUCAGGUAUCAGGCACAUAACAUCACUGGGAGGUAGGUGUAAGACUCUUAUAGCUUUGAUAGCCAUAGAUUCCAGUGGAUUUUAGGGUAGAAGUGGCUAGGGUUAGAGAAGGUUUGAGAGUGUUUGAGAGAAGGGGAGGGUUUAAGAGGCGGCUGGUGGGUGAGAAAUGAGGAGAUUAGGCAGUCGUUUGGGUUUAAAAAGGUAAGAACGAAUAUGGGCCGUUGAUCUAUGAGAACAACGCUUAAGAUGAAAGGGGUCUAGUUUGGGUUGUAUCUAUUGGAUCAGGGGCGGGUAGUUUAGGAAUUGGGCUGGUCAAUUUUGAAAUUGAAAUAGGGGUUAAUUGGGGGGUUAAUUUGGGCUAAAACUGAAAUAAAAUAGGGCUAGUUUUAAAUAGCUAGUUUUUCCUUUUUAUUUUAUAAAACUAGUAAAAUGAUUUUUAAACAAAAUUAAAAUUACUGAGUCAGUUAAUAACGUGUAAAUAUUAUUUAAAAAUUAGUGGAACCAAUUUUAUAAUUAUAAAAUACUAUUAAUCUUAAAAUAAGCUAAAAUUGCAAUUAUAUGCAAUUUAGCUUUAAAAUUCCAAAUACAUUUAUAAAAAUAUACAAAAAUUACCUUGACUAUAUUUUGGUAUAAAUAUGGGAAUUAAAUAAAUUAUUCACCAAAUUGAUGAUUUUUUGGAAUAAUUAUAGAUUUUGUACUGCUAAAAAUGGACAAUAAAUUGAUUUGAAAAUCUCUUAAAAAUGAGAAAAAAUACUAAAAUACUUGGACAUACUUAUAUAUGCAGAUAUAUGCUAUUGGAAUGUAUUUUGUAUAUAAAAAAAUUACAUAAAAAAUUGGGCAUUAACAGUUGCCCCUCUUUACCCGGGAAGGUUGAAAGAGUUGUCAGGUAACGUUAUGAUGGCCAAUUUGACCGAUGAAUUGGUUUGAAGAAUUUGACCAUGCUCUGGUUCCUGAUUUGCCUAUAUAUCCCUGGUCUUACAGAAAUCAGGACAUAUGUAGCUCAGGAUCCGUCGGCAGUAUAUGCCGGGGGGAUUUUUCAAGAACGGAUGCGAUGUUCAUGUUGGGAUGGAUUGUCAAAGUCUAGUAGGCUGCGGGAACUGGAGUGGGAUUUUUCCUGUUGAGACGGCCAUUGCUCGUCGGUUUGCCUGCAAAUAAGCAAUCAGUUGAUCAAUGACCGAAUACUAUUUGGCUUGUAUAUUUCUCUAGAGGUAGUCGAGCCCACUCUCAUUGAUGGUUGGCCAUUCAGAGGUCUGCUUACUUGACUCAGCUAAAUGUUCAGGAGUAUAAACCCUGCCGGUUCUUGUCAUGCCCUGUGCCGCAACUGCUUCUCCGUAUUUGGCUUUCCCUUUCCUCCUUGCCUUGGCUGUGUAAUCCCAUGGUAUGGCUUUUGUGUGGAACAGUGUUAUGGCUGACAUUGCCACUGGAAUAGGUACCCGUUCUUUGGGAGGUAAUACAUCAACCUCAAACGGUAUAGAUGCCUUCGAGGACCCAAACUCGACCUCAAUUGGUGUUGGCGUCUUUGCGGAGGAUGGUGUUUCAAGAUCAAGUGGUAUGGACAUGUUCACUUCGGCAUAUUCAGAAGGCUGAAUCUGGAACACAAUCGGGUUAAGGGUGACUCUUGUUUUUUUUGGCUUGUCACCUUCUGCUAUCAACCCAAUCGAUCCCUUGGGGUCCCAAUCAUCUUCUAUCUCGAUCAUGUGAACGUCUCUACCCUUGUGGUCAGGCGGAGACUUGUUGCGGAUAUUCAGAGUAGACUAUUUAGCCACAAUAAUCUUGUUAUCAAUCAGUGCCAAGAUCUUAUCUUUCAAGGUGCGGACUCAUCAAUGGUAUGCCCCUUCACGCCGGUGACGUUUUUAGAAGGCUGAAUCUAGACCACAAUCGGGUUAAGGGUGACUAUUGGUUUCUUUGGCUCGUCACCUUCUACUAUCAACCCGAUCGAUCAUUUGGGGUCCCAAUCAUCUUCUAGCUCAAUCAUGUGAAUGCCUCCACCCUUGUGGUCUGCUAGAGGGUUGUUGUGGCAGGGAUAAGGGUCAUAUAACCAGCAGCUUUGAGUCUUUCAUACAGCUGGUCAAUUGGUUCAGGAAUGGCGGAAUACUGUUUGGGAAUUUUGCGGUCAAAAUUGGUCGAGGUUUAGGGAAGUUUUGAUGUAUUGUAGGCUUGGUAAACAUGUGUUCGUUGGGAAUAUUUGGGUGAAAUAGGUUGGUAUAUGGGAGGUGGGGGUGCUUGGUAAUUUGGAGUAGGUUGAUAUAUGAGUAGAGGCAUUGGGUAGGUUUGGUACUUGACUGGGGAUUUUGUUCUCUGUGCAACCAUCACGGUGCUUACAUCUCUUUUCUUGGAUGUGCCACCAAACUGUAGAUCCUUGUUGGUAGCAAAGCUUCAAAGUUAGUGACCAUACCACUUAUGAUACCUUCCUCGAUCCUCUUCCCUAGCUUGAUGAUGUCGGAAAAUUUCUGGCUUUCAUUCAACAUCAACCUUUCGUAGUACUAUCGGUCCUGAGUUCGAUUGAAAAUUCUGUUCAUUUUUUCCUCUUCUAAAGCUGGUCUGACCGUAGCAACUUCUGAUCUCUAACAAGUAGCAUACUCGCGGAAAGUUUCUAUGGGUUUCUUCUUUAGGUUCUAGAAGUAGAACACAUCUGGUGCAUUCACCAUGUUGAACCUGAACCUGUCUAUGAAAUCAGACGCCAUACUUACCCAAUUUGACAAAUUCUUUUGGUCUCGGCUAAUGUACCAAGACAAACCAUCUCGUUUUAGACUUUUCAUGAAGAGCUUCAUGUGAAUCUUUUCAUCUUUUCCUACUUCGACUAGCUUGUCGCAGUAUGUUCUCACAUGAACUCUGGGAUCCCCGGUGCCAUCAAACAUCUCGAACUUGGGAGGUUUGUAUCCCUCGGGCAGUUCAACAUCUGAUUGUAUGCAAAUUUCUUCAUAGUUCAAUCCCUCGAUCCCCUUGCUUCCUUCAACACCCUAAACUCGGCAAGUGAGCUUCUUGAGUUCUGCGACUAGAUUCCUGAUAAACGAAUCUUUAUCAUCAAACUCAGGUGUGUUUGAAAUGUGUUGAGUAGAAUGUGGUAUGGUUUCCACAUAGAUGGGGGUGUUAUGGUGAGUGUGGAGAUGAUCAUUUGUGGAGUUCAGUAGUUCAGGGAUGAGCAGUUGGGUGUUGUUGGAAGUGUGGCAACUGUUACAGUGGUGCUUUUGUUGUUUUGAAAUGUUUUGUGGUAGUGUGGGAUCUUAAGUAUUCGGGAAAUUGACAUUUGGGGUAGUGAGGGGAAAAUGAAAAGUUUUCCAAGUUCCGAACUUGGUUCAGUUCUUCUUGAAAUUUCAACAACUUCUGUUCGAGCUGGGAGGCACUUUCCUUUGAAUCCUGAAUACCCUAAGUAACCUUUACCCGUUCGAUUGAGUUUUCCUAUUUGAUGUUGCCCAAAUCCUCCAUUUUCCCUUGUUCUUGUUUCUGACGGGACUAAGAGGAGGAGUAGGUGGAGGGCCCUUGGAUCUUGUGGAGUAUGACGACGAUGCCAGAGUGCACAAAACUAAGCUUCUAGCUCCACUAAACCUCGCUCCAAGUAUCCAGUCGCUUGUUUGCGCUGAAAACCAUGUCUUUCCUCUCUUCAAUCAGCUUUUGGUGGGCUUCUUGUAUUUCACGGUGCUCACUUUCACAUUCCCGAAUCCUCUUGCGCAGCUGGUUGUACUUGACCUAUGCUUCAGCUUUUUGUCGAUGAUCCUGUGACCUCGAACAAACCCGGGUUAACCUAACCCAUUAUGAUCAUCUACCAACCAGCUUGGAUAGUAUGGAGUGUAACCAUCAUGGUACCUGUUUGGUUCAAUGGAAUCCUUUCUUAGGAUGAUUUUGUAGUGCCACAUAUGUCAAGCUUGGCACUUGUAAGGGCUAUCGUCAUCCUGAAAGUCGGCCCUGAAGUGACUCAUCCUAUCGACCCUUGGUAUAACCUAUUUUCUUCAUGCCUGCGUCAUAACUCGGCAAGGAACGUAAGGGUAAGUUCUCCUCAAACCGAUAAGUAUCAGGAAUGGUGCAUCCUUGGAUCAGGUAAUGAACUCUCUAGCAGGGAACCACUCGAACAUCAAUUGUACUUGGUUCUCUUUUAGAUUUUCGAACAACUCUACCCAUCCCUUAGCAUCUUCUGGCUCAGAAAAUAUAUUGGGCAUAUAGUUCAUUCGCCUUGGCUGAUGGAAGGCAAUAUGAUCAUCCCAGUCUCUAUGCAGAAUCUCUUGUCGAUACUUAUCCCUCUGGAGAUGUUCCAGGAGCCAGAGUUGGAGUAACAAGUUGCAACUCUCAAAGUGCUUGGCUCCCUGUUGGCAUUUCUACAAGGCUCGGUAUAUCUUUCCAAUAAUCAUGGGCACUAUUCUAAAUGGCUACUCGCCAAUUCCCCUCAUUAAAAUCUUGGUGAUCAUGGCUAGUCUGGUAUGGAUCUUAGCCUUCUUCAUAGGAAAUACUAUCAUCCCCAAAAAGGAGAACAUGUAGACAAAGACCCUUCGGUGAAUGUGCCUCAAUGAUGUGAGGGAGAAUUCAUCCGAAUAAGUAUGGUAGCACUUGCUAUGACCGUACCUCUUGUAUAGAUAGUCAAAAGGAAUGUAAGAAUCCUUCAAACAGGUCAAGUCUGGGUUCUUCUUUAGUCCCAUCAUUUUGAGAAAACCUCUACCCUUGCAAUUUUUCGGCAUAAGCAACCAGGAGUCUCCUCCAGGAUACCAACUAGUACUCUUAUUUUCUCUAGCAAAGGUGUCAUCUCAAUCUCCUCGAAGCAAAACACAAACCUAUCACAAUACCUGAAAAGGGUAGCAGCUUCAAAAAUUUUAUUGUUGGGUUGAAUUUCUAGGAGAGAAGGUACGUUUCCUGGAUAUUUCCUAACAAGAGCUUGAUCGCUGGAAUGAAGAUCUCUCAACCAGUUUAGCAACCUUGGGUGGAUGUUGGUGACCAUGCCGAAUCUGGGGACUUCGUGCCUCAUUUCCUGCAAGACAAAGGUUUUAGACCCUUAUCCCCGCCAUAAUCGACUAUUAAAUAUCAACAAUUAGUAUGGAAGCAUUUAGUUCUCCAAAUAAAUACACAGAACUUGGUGGUGUCCGUUUGGGUUUCAAGGAAACCUUGUAGAAUGUCGACAAGGCUAUUCCUUAUGAGUCGCAAUGCGGACGACAUAACUAACUUGGCUAGGUUUGACCAUGAUGCAUCCACUGUUGAAUAGAGUAAGGUUUCUAUUGGGUAUUAGACUGGUACCCUUGAGCAGAGAACUAAAGAGGGAAAGGCACUGAACUGUCGACUACACCGUUGAUCGACUGGUCUUACCGCAAAUAUGCCUUUGCCAAAUUUAGGGGGUAAUGAUAUCGGAAGGGCCAAGAGAGGGUAAUGAUUUAGAACCGGUAUAGGCUUGUAGCAUUAGUUCUUGAAAGAAAAAGGUUUAAGGCUCAAAAAUUUAACUAUGGAUCAUCUCAUUGGUAGGCAAUGGAAUUGUUCAACUUAACAAUUGGAUCAAGGAGAGCCUAUAAUCACUUCUCAAGUAAAAUUUCACCCAGGUGUCGCCUCAACUAACACUCAGGGAAAGUUCUAGACCAUUGGCUCGAGACUUGGACUCACAAUUCGAUUCCUCACCACACGCGCUAAGGGAUUGCUAAAUACAUUGAGUCUAGGGCCCACAACAACCUUAGUUACGAUUCAUGCACACAAUGGUCCAAAAAGACCACAUGAUGAUUGUUUGGUUAACAAAAAAGUCUCAAAUCCGCGAAUUUCACCAUCCUAAGCACAAAAUUAUGUCUUUGACCAUGGGAUCAAAGGCAAAUUUGCUAGGCCCAAUUGAAGCUUUGCUUGAGGUACCCUUAACUACAACUAUCAAAAACAAAAGAAUAUCAAAGAAACAGACUCAAACCCUUAAGAAGAUUGUCACACCAUCUAUCAUUGGGAAGAGCCACAUGGUUCACACAAUACUACACCCUUGGAAAGAACUGUAAUAUUAAGAAAACCAAGGGUUUAUUGGAAACUCCAAAAAACGAAAGGCUACGGGCCUAUCUAAAAAUCUUAAAACGAAACUUUUUUACGAAAAUAGAAAACAAAAUGAAUAUGUACAAUAGGGGGUAGAGAAUACAACGGGGAUAAAAAGUACGAGAAAAGUAGCUUAAUGUAAAGUUAUGUAUAGACCAAAAUAGAAAAUCACAUAAACAUAGACUAAGUCAAAUAUAUACAGUUAUCCAGAUAAACAAAAGUAGGGCACAUCCCCACGAAUAAGAGUUCGCAUUGUCCCCAAUGCCAACUAUAAAAAUAAGCACUAAAAAUGUCACAAGAAAGGAUAUAGAAGCUCCGUAAGAUUGGUCCGUCUGCAUGGGUUCAUUAGUGGUCCCCAAGUCCUCUAUAUGUACGAGAACCUCAGACUGCUUCCCGGACUCCUACUGCUCAGCUGCUAGGAUUGGGGUCUGCUCCUAGACCGGCUGAACGAUAGGUGCAACAUUGGAAGGGACCUCUUGUGGGUCAGCUAGCUUGAUAACUGCACCAACUGAACUGGGAAGCUUCUUCUUCCUCCUCGGAGGUCUGGGUGCCUGCUUCUGCUCUUGCUGUGGCUGUGGUUAUGGCUGUGGUACUCGUGCUGCUGCUGGGGCUGGAUCGCCGAAUAACAAGUCUACAGGCAUCUAGUCUGCCAAUCCUUAGCACUUUCACCCACUCCUUGGAAGCCCUUGACUUUCUCAUCUUCCUGUGCUCCUUGGCAAGCUCCUUCAAAGCCUUGCCAUGCGAAUCCACCGCCUUAAUCAAGGCAUCCUAAGUCCUCAUAAUCUUCUCCUGGUUGUCCAAGAGCUUCUUCAGUGUAUCCUGAAUGGAUUGAGGAAUCUGAGCUGUGGGAGGUGUUGAAUGGGCCUCAGCUGUGCGCAGUUGACAUCCAGUUGUUCAAACUAGCUAAAGUCUGGCUCAACUAAUGGGCCGUGAAAGGAUGAGCCCGGGAGGAAGGGACCCCCAUGCUAGCUGAAGCGCUGGGUCCAGCCGAGGAGGAUGAUCCUUGAGGUAAGUCAUCACUAACAGUGGUAUCAGUCACGGAUGGAAUCGGUGGAAGGCUCAACGGAAGACUCUACCACAACUGGCUCCUCAGACUGGCCAGUUGGGGCAGAAGUUGGGGGACUUGUAUUUCUUGUCCUUCAGGUUGUCAGACCCCUAUAUGCUAAACCAUGUGAAUGGAGCCAUUGGCUUACCUUCACAUCAUAGGACUUCAUUUUUACUUUCAAAUCUUGGAAGUACAUGGUGAGAGUAUUAGGAAACAAGUAGUUCCGAUCACUAUCAACCCCCAUCGAAGUAAUAGCCCUGUGCAUCACAUUUCCCACAUUGAUAGGGAAGCCUGUCAUGAUAGAAGAAAUCAAAACUGCACGGGGAAGUGGGAUAUUUUGAUCAUGGGCCGUAGGAUCAAGUCGGUUUCACACAAACGUCAACCACCCCCUGGCUUCAAAGUUCAAUGUUCUCCGAAAAAUCUUUACUCCCGCUUGUAUCCAAUCUGGAAUAGUACCCGAGUGAGCCAAGUACUUAGCUACCCAUUGGCGAACGUCUUUAUCCAUUAUCAACUUCUCAUUGUACUGGGUCUCAUCCUCGCCAUCAAACCCCACGUACUCAUCGAAAACUUUCCCAAAGAACACUACAUUUUAUUUUGCACUUUGGUCACAAUUGAGCCCUUUUUAACAUGGGCCACAUUGUAGUAGAACUCUUUCACCAUGUGCUCAUUGGCAUCUAUUAAUCAUCCCAAAAAUGCUCCCAUCCCACUCUGGUAUAAAAUUGUCUAUGAACAUUUGGAAGCAAGGGUAGUAGGUCAUCUGUGAUGAUACUCCUCUCAGGAAUCAAUUUCCGUACUGACCACCAUUCCCUAAACUUAUGAAAUGCCACUUGACUGACAAAUUGAUCUUCUCAAACCUCAGGUUUUCUAGUUCGUUCCACACCUCCAACCUGGGGCACACCACUGUUCGGUACCUUAUCAUCACUAUUGGUACCACCUUCUGCACUCUUCCCUGAUACUGAAGCUGUGGGAGAGUGGAGUAUUCUUUACUACCAGUUGUGGAAUCUUUAGAUGAAUCCGACACUAUAUUCACCGGCCUCUUGGUCGCAGCAGAUGCUGGAGGGGUAUCAACAAUUGGAAACUGGAGACGAAAUAAGUUGGGAUUGAAUCGGAGGAGAUGUCCUGAUAUGGCAUAUACUUACUCCCCGAGGAAUGGGACGCAACUCUAUCUGCAGCUUUUAUCAUUUUCCAGGUCUUUUUGAUGUUUUCCCAGACUUGGGGAGUGAGUUUCACCACUCUCUUGACUUUAACCCAUCGGGAAGAACAACCUCUCCUGAGUUGCUAUGAUCUUUUUCCGCGUCUUUAUUUCACCAAUAUCUCCAUACAAACAUAUCUAACAUUGUCAGUUGAAGCACAAGUAGUGAAUCAUGUGAAUGAAUUUAAGUUGCAGACAACAGAAGGAAAUGUUGCAGGCAUUGCUGCAGAACCAGGCACCGCAGACCACACCAUCAGGAAUGCGACCGUGUUGGAAGCACCGCGGACCGCACUGAGGCGACCGCGGGCCACACUGGAUAAGGCCCCAGACAAGUCUUCUUUGAAUCCCCCACGGCGGUCCGCACGAAAGAGGGUCGCGGCCGCGUUGAUCCAGCAUGGACCAUGUGAAAUGCAAUGCGGCCGCGCUGGAAGCAAGGUAUGUUUCAAUCAAGUUGGGCACCACGGUCCGUGCAAAAAGGGAAAGCGGACCGCGUCAGGGCCACGUGGACCACGCGAAGGUAACCGCGGGCCACGCUGAGCCAGAAUUAGGGAACUAGGUCAAGGUUUCAUGUUUUCUUCCAUUUGUGUUCACAUUCUUACACCUACUUGUCCCUACUCGGUUACCCAAUCCUCAAUCACAUUAAACUAACAUGAAAUCUACUCUAGACUAACAAUUCGAAGAAGUUACAAACUACUGGUGGACAAUUAAAAUGAAAAUAUGGAAUCAAUUAAUAAAGAAUCCAUGAAAAGUUACCAAGAUAUGAAGAAUGAAUGUAAUCUAUCCAAGCAAGCAAGAAUUGCGGUAUUAGAAGAGGGAUGAACAGUAAUAUUGGGGCUCUGAAUAUUCAAGGUUCGAAAAGGGUAAAAUGAGACCAUUGGUCACUAUUUAUAGAUACCCAGUGGGACCCAUACUCACCUACUAGCGCGGCGCACAAAAGCGACCGCAGACCGCACUGGGUUUGUUUGUGUGACCCUUCAGUAAGUAGCCCACGCGGACCGCACAAAAAUGCAACGUGGACGCGUAGGUCCACCGCGAACCGUGCUAAUAGGACUCUAGCCAUGAUGCAUACUCCAGAGAGUAUCUUGUUCAGCUCAUGCUAGUGCGGACCGCACAAAGUGCACCACGGCCGCAUUGGUAAACUUCAGAGACUAUGCACUUUUUCCACUUAGUUUUGCACUGCAUCAACACAACUCCUGCAAAAUCUCACAAACAAUUAGCUCAAAAAUCCUAAACUACAAAAACUUAAACAAGUUGGGGAGCGAAGAAAAUUCCUAUAGCUACCGAGCGUAGAGUUAGCUUUUGGCAGCUCAUGCAUCGACUGAAGGAGGGGUUGACUCUGCUACCAGGCUUAGAGGAAUGGGAGCAGCUUAGGAAUCAGCAUAAGUAGAAGUGGGUCACCCCAUAUAAGUAAUAUGGGCAAGUACGCGAGAUAUAACCAAUAGAUUUUGAUUUUUCAACAAAGUCCUUCUUUCAGCAAAAUCGAAACUCCUUAGUGCAAUCAAUUUCAGUAUGCCGGUUUAAUUUGAAGAGAAAGAGGGAAAAAUCCAUACAAUCUCAGAACCAAGGAGAGAAGAGGGCGAAGGAUCUGAAUUCACUUUUUUUAUUUUAUUCAUACCCGCGUAAAGGCUUUUCCUGAUUAAGGAAGAAGCCUAGAAGGCAGAACUCUUAACUAAGCCCAAAGGCUAGAUCCCACUUCAAACUUUAUGUUUCAAGCACGUUGGCAUUUUAUUUUAACCUAAAGAGGGAACCCCGGUAUAAAAAAGCGUGCUUCUUUCUUGAUGGUUGAACGGAAUCAAGCCCAAGGGCAAUAGCUGACAUUGUUGAAUUAGCUGACAGAAGAAGCGAAAGGUAUUCUGAUUUAAGUUCACCCAAUCCUCUAAGCCCUUAUUCUUGAAAAAUAGGCAUAUGGGUGAUAAGGAACUUGAAACAGGCAUGGACAGAAGUAUGCCCCUCCUUUUGAUGGUGAAUGUCGGAAAUCCUCUUCCCGGAUCACCUUUGAUGGACAUUCAAAAGGAUCUGCUAGGCUGUCUUACAUGUCCCAAAAAGCAAGCAAAGGGGCUCCUUUCCUUCCCCAUGUGGAAGAAGUGUACACACAGGGGGCCUACAACCUCGACCUCAGUAUGAAAAGCAUGACGGAAUCGACGGUGGUCAAUCUUCCUUCUUCUUUGGCAUCUCGACUGGGGAGCAUGAAAACAAGACUGGAAGAGGGCUCAGGUAUCAACGUCCUUAGCUUCUUCUAGGCUAUCUUACAUGUCCCAAAAAGCAAUCAAAGGGGCUCCUUUCCUUCCACAUGUGGAAGAGUGUACACACAAGGGGCCUACAACCUUGACCUCAGAAUGAAAAUCAUGACGGAAUCGACGGUGGUCAAUCUUCCUUCUUCUUUGGCAUCUCGGCUGGGGAGCAUGAAAACAAGACUCGAAGAGGGCUCAGAUAUCAACGUCCUUAGAGAGAAAGACAACAGACAUGGGUUGCCUCCCAAGAAGCGCCUGAUUUAACAUCGCGUCAUGACGUAGGUUACCAACACAUCACCUCAAAUGAACCAGCACGUGGCUAUCAUCAAAACUUCCCCAAAUAAUGCUUGACACGAUACCCAUUGACUCGGAAAACUUCACCAUUUUUGUUCUAGAGAUCAAGAGCACUAAAAAGGGUUACACAUACAACUUCGAAUGGCCCACUCCACUUUGACUUGAGCUUUCCCGAAAAUAACCUCAACGAGAUCAAGAGAACCAAAAGAAGUCACACAUACAACUUUGAAUGGCCCACUGCACUUUGACUUGAGCUUUCCUGGGAAUAACCUCAACCGAGAGUCGAAAAAAAGAACCAUAUCACCAACCUUGAAUUCUUUCCCCCGAGCAUAUUUGUCAUGAAGAUACUUCAUCUUGUCUUUAUAUAAGGACAAGUUCAACUUUCUCAAGGCCCACGUAGCUUUGUGUUCCAACUCCACCGGUAAGUGACAUGCUUUCCCAAAUACCAACCGAUACGGAGACAUACCAAUUGGGGUCUUGUACGCAGUCCGGUAGGCCCAUCGAGCAUCAUCUAACUUUUUGGACCAAUCGGUCCAAUUUGCAUUGACGAUUUUGGACAAGAUACUCUUUAUCUCUCGGUUAGAGACUUCCACUUGGCCGCAAGCUUGAGGAUGAUAGGGGGUAGUCACUUUGUGAUUUACUCCAUACUUGGCAAGUAAUGAAUCAAAAGCCUUGUUGCAAAAGUGGGCCCCCCAUCACUAAUGAUAGCACGAGGAAUGCCAAACCUUGUGAAGAUACUCUUUUUCAAAAAUGAAUCAAAAGCCUUGUUGCAAAAGUGAGACCCCUCAUCACUAAUAAUAGCACGAGGAGUGCCAAAUCUUGUGAAGAUACUCUUAUUCAAAAAUGCCACAACACUCCAGACUUCAUUGUUGGGUAAAACCAGGGCUUCUACCCACUUUGAGACGUACUCCACCGCCACGAGAAUGUAAGUGUUCCUACAAGAGCUCACGAAAGGACCCAUGAAAUUGACACCCCAAACAUAAAAAAUAUCUACCUCAAGAAUCGUAUUGAGGGGCAUCUCAUCCCUUUUUGAGAUUCCGCCAGCUCUUUGGCAUGCAUCACAUCUCUUUACCAAAUAACUAGCAUCUUUAAACAACAUCGGCCAAUAGAAACCGCAACUCAAGACCUUUAAAGCUGGUCUCACCCCUCCAUGAUGGCCACCAUAGGGGGAGGAGUGACAAGCCUCCAAAAUGCUCAAUUGUUCACCUUUCGGGACACAUCUUCUCUUUGUUGUCCCUACUCUCAAGACCUUUAAAGCUGGUCUCACCCCUCCAUGAUGGCCACCAUAGGGGGAGGAGUGACAAGCCUCCAAAAUGCUCAAUUGUUCACCUUCCGUGACAUAUCUUCUAAUCACAUCAUUCGUGCAAAUUUUAAACAAGUACGAAUCAUCCCAAUAAAAAUCCAAACUAUCCCGCUUGAGUUUCUUCCUUUGGUUGGAAGAGAGCUCAAAUGGGACAAUUCCGGUCACAAUGAAGUUGGCGAUGCCCGCGAACCAUGGCAUGUCACAUAUUGACAUGGAAAGAAGUUGCUCAUCGGGGAAUGUACCAUUUAUUUCAAGAUUGUCACAUGGUCUCCCUUCUUCCUCCAACUGAGACAAAUGAUAUGCAAAUUGGUUCUCACUUCCCUUCCGGUCCACUAUUUCUAAGACAACUUCUUAGAGAAGUAAUACACAUCUCGUCAAUCUUGCCUUGGAAUCCUUUUUGGUCAUCAAAUACCUCAGGGCGGCAUGGUCUGUGUGCACAAUCACCUUGGCCCCCAUAAGAUAUAGCCUAAAUUUCUCCAUGGCAAAUACAAUAGCCAACAAUUCCUUCUCCGUCACCGUGUAAUUACGUUGAGCUUCAUUCAUAGCCUUGAUUGCAUAGUAGGCAAAUACUACAGCCAACAAUUCCUUCUCCGUCACCGUGUAAUUACGUUGAGCUUUAUUUAUAGUCUUGCUUGCAUAGUACACGGGAUGAAACAUUUUGCUAAUUCGUUGACCCAACACCGCCCCCAUUGCAACGUCACUUACAUCACACGUUAGUUUAAAGGGAAAACUCUUAUUGGGCUCGGUGAUGAUAGGAGUUGCGGUCAACUUGUGCUUUAUGAGUUCAAAGGCCUCCAUGCAUUUUUCAACAGCGUCACCUGCAUCGCACAUUAGUUUAAGGGGAAAACUCUAAUUGGGUGCAGUGAUUAUAGGAGUUGUGGUCAACUUAUGCUUUAAAAGUUCAAAGGCCUCCAUGCUUUUUUCGUCAAAAACAAAAUUGGAAUCUUUCUCUAGCAACUUGCAUAAUGGAUUCAUGACCUUUGAGAAAUCUCUGAUAAACUGCCGGUAGAACCUGGAAUGCCCAAGAAAACUCCUCACCCCUUUUACAGAAGUAGGGGAGGAAGCCUCGAAAUCACCUUGAUUUUUGCCUUGUCUACCUCAAUCCCAUGCUUAGAAAUCUUGUGACCCAAUACUAUACCUUCUUCCACUAUAAAGUGGCACUUUUACCAAUUAAGAACAAGAUUAGUUUCUUCACAUCGGGCCAAGACUCUAUCCAAGUUUACCAAGCAAUCUUCAAAGGAGUCACCAACCACACUAAAGUAGUCCAUAAAGACCUCCAGUAUAUCUUCCACCAUGUCGGUGAAAAUGUCCAUAAUGCAACGUUGGAAGGUCCCCGGAGCAUUGCAUAGCCCAAAUGGCAUCGGGGAGAAGGCAAACGUACCAUAUGGGCAUGUGAAAGUGGUCUUCUCUUGGUCCUCCGGGGCAAUUAGGAUUUGAUUAUAGCCCGAAUAUCCAUCCAAAAAACACUAGAAAGCUCGUCCCGCAAGGUGAUCAAGCAUUUGAUCUAGGAAGGACAAUGGGAAAUGAUCCUUUCGAGUAACCUUGUUGAGUGUCUGAUAGUCCAUGCAAACUCUCUACCCAGUAAUGGUUUGAAAGGGAAUAAUCUCAUUGUUGGAAUUUGUCACCACCGUCAUCCCUCCUUUCUGUGGCACACAUUGGACCGAAGCGGUCCAUGAGCUAUCAAAAAUUUGAUAAACCACACGGCGUCUAGCCAUUUGAUAACCUCUUUAUUUACCACUUCUUUCAUUGCUUUAUUUAGUCUUAUUUGAUGUUCAAGUCAAGGCCUUUCAUCCUCCUCCAAGAUGAUUUUAUGCAUGCAAAAGGCGGGGGCCCCGAAUGUUAGUCAGAGUGCAUCCUAUAGCCCUUUUUCGCCUUUGAAGCACCUCUAAAGUGGCCUCAACCUGCAAGUUAGUAAGGCACGAAGAAAGAAUAACUGGAAGAGUUGAAUUAGAUCCCAAAAAUUCAUAUCUGAGAUGUGGAGGAAGUGGCUUCAACUCCAACACCGGUGGCUCCUCAAUCGAUGGCUUUGCUGGUAGAGAUUAGCAAUUUUCAAGAUCCAAAGACAACUUCCUAGGCUCAUAUGAAUAUGAACCCAUACCUUGCAAUGCAUUCAUGCACUCCACUCUACUAGCAUCAUCAUCGACAUCUAUGUUAAGAAGCACGACUUCAAGAGGAUCUUCAACAUUUACCAUGGAACUUGUGUCAUCCACUAUCACAAAUGUGACAAUAUCCACAAAUUAACACACAUCCGGGCUAUUUGGUUACCUCAUUGAUUUGCAAACAUGGAAUACCACUUUCUCAUCUCCUACUUGGAAUGUCAACUCACCCGCUUCAACAUCAACCAAGACCUUCCCUGUAGCUAGGAAAGGUCUCCCAAGAAUAAUCGGCACUUCAAAGUCUACCUGACAAUCCAAUAUGACAAAGUCGACCGGUAAUAUGAAUUUAUCAACACGGACAAGAAUAUCAUCAAUUAUGUCCAAGGGUCGCUUCAUUGAUCGGUCCGCCAUUUAAAGUCUCAUUGAGGUUGGCCCAGGUUGCCCAAUUCCUAAAGUCUUAAAGACCGAAUAAGGCAUCAAAUUUAUGCUAGCCCCCAAAUGACAAAGGGCCUUGGAAAAAUCAGCACUACCGAUAGUUCAAGGGAUAGUAAAAGAUCUGGGUCCUCAAGUUUCGGUGCGAUAGAAUGCACAAUAGAACUUACUUGAUGAGUCAUCUUAAUUUUUUCGCACUCCAUUGAACUCUUCUUCGUUAUCAAAUCUUUCAUAAAUUUUGCAUAACCUGGCAUUUGCUCAAGUGCCUCAACCAAAGGGACAUCUAUUGUGACGCCCUUCAUCAUGUGAAUGAACUUUUUGAAUUGAUUGGAAUUCUUUUGCUUUGUUAACCGUUGAGGAUGGGGUGGAGGUGGUAUAGGCAAAUAUUUCUUGGCUUUGGGAACCACUGGCUUGGAUAUAUCAAUCACGUGUUCCCUGGAUGGGUUCACGGCAUCUUGUGCUUCCACCUCAGCCUCAUCAUCAAUUUCAAUCUGCGCAUCAUUGUUCACAUUUUGUUCAACAACAUCUUCAUCAAUCAACAGAUCCACAUCUUCUUGGAUCCCAAUGUUAUCAUCUAAAAUUUGAUUUUCUAUCGAGGCAUACACAUCACCAUAUUUUCCGCUUCUAGUUGUAACCGCCAUUACAUGUUGUUGUUCCCACCCUUCGGGUUCACUACCAUAUUACAACCAUAUUACUUGGUAGGGCACCUUUGGGGCGGUUAUUCAAAGCUUGAGAAAUUUGACCCAGUUGCACUUCCAAGUUCCGGAUAGAUGUGUUAUGCAAAGCCAAUUGUACAUCUGAAUCUUAGAUCAUUUUCAUUAUUUUCUCGAACAUACUUUCAAUUCUCCCCAUAUCACUCUCGAAUGAACUCGUACCUUGAGAAGGAAAAUGGGUGGAUUGUUCAGUUGUUGGUACAUGGGGGCCUCUGAAAACCUUGCCCCCAGUUGCCUUGGUUUUUGCUAUUAUUCCACCCUCCUUGAUUGUUGUCGCUCCAAUUAUUGUUGUUCCCGUUCGAAUUGCCUUGACUGUUACCUUGAUUACCCCAAUUAUCGUCUUGGAUAUUGUUGUUAUAAUUACUACCGCCUUGUUGAUUUUCCCAAUUGUUGCUUUGAUUGUUGUUGUUCCAAUUGCCACCGCCUUAUUGUUGGUUGUUACUAUUCCAAUUUCCGCCACCUUGUUGAUUUCCCCAAUUUCCUUAGGGACGCUAUUGUUGAUUCCCUUGAUUUCCUCUAUUUCCUUGGUAGUUAUUGACAUAUUGACAUUCCUUGAUUUGAUCAUCAUAACCCUCAUUCGAAUAACCACCACCAUCAUCGUUGUUGUCAAAUUGCUCACAAUUACCUUGAGGUUGUUGUUGCCCUCUUUGCCUCCUUUUCAACAUCGAAACACCUUCCAUUGCAUUGACUUGGCACGAGUUUUAGACUUGUUGCAAUUGCACCUUCGCCAAUUGAUUCAUAGUUGUUGUAAUAUCGACAAUAGCUUGGCCAUGAUCGUGCAACAUUGUGCAAAUGGAUGACCGUGGGGUCACCUUGGGGCACAUUUGCUCGGCUUUGCCAUGCCGAAGAGGUGUCGGCUAUUUCAUCAAGUACAUCAUAUGCCUCUUGGUACGAAAGUUUCAUAAAUUCCCUCUGGCUAAUUGGUUCACAAUGCAAGAUUCGUGGUGUUGAUGCCCUGAUAAAAGGUUUGUUGGAUCAUUAUCUCAGUCAUAUCAUUAUUAGGGCACUCCUUCGCCAUUGUUUUAUAUCUCUCGCAGAUUUCGUGCAAAGGUUUCGUUUGUUCUUGCUUGAAGGCUAAAAUUUCAUCCCAAAGUGCCACCAUAUGACUUGGUGAGAAAAACUUGCCAAUGAAUAUAUCUUCCAACUCAUCCCAAAUUGUGAUGGAAUGAUUAUGGAGCCUUUCUAACCAAUCCAAUGGUUUACCCCAAAGAGGGAAUGAGAAAAGUCUCAAUCUCUAAUCAUCCUCAGACACAUUUGCUUGCUUGCUACCCCAGAAUGUAUCUACGAACCCCUUCAAGUGCUUGUAGGCAUUUUGAUCAGAGGCACCCGUAAAAUACCUUCUUUUCUCAAGCAAGGUCAACAUGACAUUUGUGAUUUAAAAGUUCCCCGCCCGGAUUCGGGGAGGAACAAUAGCACUUGCAUACCCUUGAUUUGGGAGAACUCUUGGGGCUACUUCUUGCGGUGGUGGAGGAGGGUCUGGGAUAGGAUUGUUGUCAUUUCCAUUGUCCUGACGGUCUCUACAUGGAGCUUGAGGUAAAUGAGGAACCUCUUCUUGAUCAAGAUCAUCUACCUCCUCCCUUGCCAUGACAUUGCCAAAAGGGUCAUUUGCAUUGAGCCAUGUGUACCUGAGUGAUUGACACAAAUGAAAUUAGUAACCAAGAAAGAAAGAGAAGAAAAACACAAAAACUAACUUUACAGAUAGUCAACACCGUAAGCUCCUCGGCAACGGCGCCAAAAAGUGAUCGCUGCUAACCCAACACUACACAAAGGUAAGAAGAAUGGGUCACAAUAGCUUUUACCCAAAUAGUGGUUGGGAUCGAAUUUCCACAUGGAGCUAGUAGUGGAGUUUUGUUUUCUGUCUAGCCUAAAGAUGUGUUUGUACUUCUAAUGUCACUUCAAACAUUCUUGGGUUUUUGUAUUUAUAAAUACUGUUAGAAAACUAAGGACUAAAGCUAGAUUAUGCUAAGAGAAUAUAGUUAUUUUAUAUCUAAUAAAGAGAAAGACACUAGGGUUGUGGCAUCUCCUGGGUGGUUAAUUAACGGGUAGAAACAACUAAGGAUAGAUUGACAUAUUUGGGGCUUAUGCUAUAACUGAUGCACAGUUGUACCCACUCUCACACCUCUCGGUAGAGAGAGUCAUUUUGCCAAAUUGACUCUCUCGAGACAAAUUGGGUAGGCCUAUUAGACCGAUCAAUUAGGGUUUAAGUAGGGUGAUUACUCUCUCGAGAUUUAACCUGUUAAUUGGGACUACCAUUUCCCAUGGGUCCAUCCCAAUUCCUUGUUGGGUCAAUUUUGGGGUCAUAGACUCUCUUUCUCAAGAAGAGUUAAACCCACUAAACUUGAAUCAAUAUUUGCAACCACCAAUUCUAAGAUAAAAAUAUAAAAUCCACCCAAAUAACAAACACCAAAUAUCAAUCUAACCCUAAAUGAUAACACCCAUUAAUUGCCCACACUAGGGUUGAGCCACAACCCUAGCUAAUGGGUUUAGAUACACAUAAUUAAAGAAAGAACUGAAGAAAUAGAUGAUGAACUAAACAUAUUAAUUAAUUACUAAGAAGAAACUACUAUAAUGUAUUGUUAAAGAAGACCAAAAAUGACAAAAACGGCUACAACAUCGUUUCUAGGUGCUCAGCUGCAUUUUUUAAUACAAAAUUUGACCUAAAAAAUGGAAAAGUGUUCUAUUUAUACUAGGCUAGAAAAACUGGACAAAAAUACCCAUGCAGGGUUAGUGCAGGCCGCGCAAAAGCAACUGCGGCCGCAGUGGCUCUUUGACUUGGUGAUUUUCACUCUUUAAACUGGAGGACGUGGACUGCACAAAUGAUUAGUGUGGCCGCGGAAGGAUCUGGCGUAGGCCGCACGGCGGAGACUGCGGGUCGCGUGGUUUGACUUGGCUCUUUGACAACCUCUCUGAAUCUCAUUCACGCGGACCGCACAUAUGAGUGAAACAGCCACGGAGCAUGAACGCGGACCGCGUGAAUCCAACCAUGAACGCGUUGCCCUUAGCCUGAAUAUGUCAUGCCUCUGAAUUUCCUAGUGCGGUCGUGGUUGCUUUCAUGCGGUCCGCAUCCUCUUUUCUUAACAUUACUUAAUCUUUGAUACUUGAGCAGGUUCCACUCCUUUUUGAGCCGAUAUUUGACAUUUUUCACUUUUUCAAUAAAACCUACAGUCAAGCACACUUUUUGAGCAUUUUCGGGCCUAUUUUGUAGCAAUUUAUACUCAAAGCAUAGGCAAGUAGGGGCAUAAACACGUUAAAAUCAUAAGUUAUCAGCUCCCACAGAUCUAGAGAGGAUAGAAGGUUCGUUGAUGGUCUAAACAUACAGCUUUAGAUUCUCAUGACUAGGGAGAUGGUUUUAGGUGCUACUUUUGAGGUGGUUGUUGACAUCACCUGCGAGAUAGAGUCAGUUCAUCGCCAUAUGCGAGAGAAAAGGGAGGCCAAGAGGCCUUGGAGAUCUGAUAGCUUGGGUGGUGCUCCUUCGAGGGGUCAGUUUCAGCACGGUAGAGGCCAUCUAUUCAGGUAUGCUCAGUUAGCUUGCACAAGUUAUCGUGGGGUAUCAUCGGGUCAUGGUUCUCAAAGUUCUAAUCAGGGACAUUCACCACUCAUUGCCUUUCCAGACCAGAGUUCGUCCCAUGCUCCAUUAUUUCAGGGCUCUUCUAUGCUAGGUAUAUCUGCUAGUCAUCUCAAAGCUACGGGUUCCCUUUAGUCCCCAUCUCCAGCACCAGGGAGUUGUUAUGAGUGUCGAAAGUUUGGACAUAUGAGGAAGUAGUGUACUCAUCUUCUCGAGGGUCCAUCUCAAAAGAGGGGUCAGCCCUCGACUUUAGCUCCAAUUACUUCACCACCUUCUCAGGAGGCUAGGGUGGGGGUCAGUCAUCUAGGGCUCACCAUAGAGUGAGAGGUCGAUUAGGUAGUGGUCAGGCUCGUUUCUAUGCACUCCCAGUUAGACCAGAUGUGGUUGCUUCAGCUGUUGUGAUUACAUGUAUUAUCUUAGUCUUCCACAUAGAUGCCUCUGUAUUAUUUGAUCCCAAUUCCACUUAUUCUUAUGUGUCAUCAUACUUUGAUCGUUAUUUCAAUAUGCCAUGCGAGUCUCUUAUUUAAUCUAUUUGUGUAUCUACUCUAGUUGGCGAUACUGUUAUUGUAGACCAUGUGUACCAGUCAUGUGUGGUGACUAUUAGGGGUCUGGAGACCCGAGUGGAUCUUUUGUUAUUAUGUAUGGUGGAUUUCGAUGUUAUAUUUGGCAUGGAUAGCUAUCUCCGUAUUGUGAUAUUUUGGAAUGUCAUGCUAAGACAGCGACUUUGUCUAUGCCGGGUGUGACACGAAAUGAGUGGCAAGGUUCAACUAAUUAUGUUACCAGUAGGGUAUUUCAUUCUUGAAGGACCAGCGUAUGGUUGGGAAGGGUUAUCUUUCCUACUUAGCCUUUGUAAGGGAUGCCGAUGCAGUGACUCCUAGUAUUGAUUUUAUUCCUAUUGUAAGGGAUUUUCCAAAUGUUUUUCCUACAGACCUGCCGAUUAUGCCACCAAAUAGGGAUAUUGAUUUUGGUAUUGAUCCAGUCCUGGGCACUCAGCGCAGUUCUAUUCCACCAUAUCGUAUGAUACCUGCAAAGUUGAAGGAGUUAAAUGAGCAACUUCAGGAACUCCUUGAUAAUGGGUUUAUUCGGCCUAGUGUGUUGCCUUGGGGUGCACAUGUCCUAUUCGUGAAGAAGAAGGAUGGAACAAUGGGGAUGUGCAUUGAUUACAGUUGAACAAGGUUUCAAUUAAGAAUAAGUAUCCCCUGCCUUGAAUUGAUGAUUUAUUUGACUAGCUUUAGGGAGCGAGAGUGUUCUCCGAGAUUGAUCUCUGUUCAAGUUAUCACCAGUUGAAGAUCAGGGACUCGGAUAUUCAUAAGACAGAUUUCAGGACCCAAUAUGGUCAUUAUAAGUUCCUCGUUAUGCCUUUUGGGUAGACCAAUGCCCCAACAACAUUCAUGCACUUGAUGAACAUCAAUUCCGGCCGUGUCUCGACUCGUUUGUCAUAGUCUUCACUGAUUAUAUCUGGUGUAUUCGUAUAGUCAGGGGGAGUACACAGAGCAUUUGAGAGUUGUGUUGCAAAGAUUGAGUGAGGAGAAACUUUAUGCAAAGUUCUCCAAGUGUGAGUUUUGGCUUAAUUUAGUGGCAUUCUUGGGGCACGUAGUGUCCCGUGAGGGUAUUCAGGUUGAUUUGAAGAAUAAAGAGGCGGUUCACAGUUGUCCCAGACCGUCCUCAGCCACAUAAAUUCACAACUUCCUUGGGUUGACGGGUUAUUACCACCGAUUUGUUCAGGGAUUUUCAUCUAUCGCAUCACCCUUGACCAAGUUAACUCAGAAGGGUAUUUUUUCAGGUGGUCGGAUGAGUGUGAUGACAUCCUUCAGAAGCUCAAGAUUUCUUCGACCACAACUCAAGUGUUAGUAUUAUCAUCAGCUUCAGGUUCUUAUACCGUGCAUUGUGAUGCUUCCAGAGUUGGUAUUGGGGGUGUGUUGAUGCAAAAGGGUAGAGUUAUUGCUUAUGCUUCUCGUCAGUUGAAGCCCCAUGAGAAGAAAUACCAUGUUCAUGACUUAGAGUUGGCUACCAUUGUUCACGCGUUGAAUAUUUGGAGGCAUUAUUUCUAUGGUAUGUCUUGUGAGGUAUUUACUGAUCAUCGUAGCCUUCAACACUUAUUCAAGUAGAAAGAUCUCAAUUUGAGGCGGCGGAGAUGGUUGGAGCUGCUAAAGGAUUAUAAUAUAACUAUCUUGUACCCUCCGGGGAAGGCCAAUAUGGUGGCAGAUGCUUUGAGUCGGAAGGCGGUGAGUAUGGGGAGUUUGGCAUAUAUUCCAAUUGGGGAGAGAUCUCUUGCAGUUUAUGUUCAGGCCUUGGAAAUUGGUUCUAGAGGUUGGAUAUUUCGGAACCUAGUUGGAUUUUGGCUUGUGUCAUUUCUCGGUGUUCCUUAUUUGAUCACAUUAGAGAGUGCCAGUGUGAUGAUCCUCAUUUUCUUGUCCAAAAGGACAGAGUUCAGCACGAUAAUGUCGGAUAUCUGACUAUUGAUGAUGAUGGAGUAUUGAGGAUGCAUGGCCGGAUAUGUGUGCCCAAUGUGGAUGUGCUUUGGGAGUUGAUUCUUGAUGAGGGCCAUAAUUUGCGAUAUUCUAUUCAUCCAGGUAUCACGAAGAUUAAUCAGGAUCUGAGAUGUUAUUAUUGGUAUAGGAGAAUGAGUAAAGACAUUGUGCUAUUUGUAGCUUGGUGUCUCAAGUGUCAGCAGGUGAAAUAUCAGCAUCAGAGAUCGGGUGGCUUGCUUCAGUGGAUGGAUAUUCUAGAGUGGAAGUGGGAGCAGAUCACCAUGGACUUUGUAGUUGGGCUCCCACAGACAUUUAAGAAGUUUGAUGCUAUUUGGAUUAUUGUGGAUCGACUCACCAACUCCGCGCACUUCAUUCCUGUGUGUACUACCUUUCUUCAGAGCAUAUGGAAGAAAUCUAUAUCCGGGAGAUUGUUCAUUUGCAAGGUGUCGCAGUUUCUAUCAUUUCAGAUAGAGGUGCUCAGUUUACUUCACAAUUUUGGAGGUUUGUACAACGAGAGUUGGGGUACUCAGGUUGAGUUGACCACAACUUUUCAUCCUCAGACGGAUGGGCAAUCCGAGCGCACUAUUCAGAUAUUAGAGGACAUGUUCUGUGCUUGUGUCAUUGAUUUUGGAGGUCCAUGGGAUAAGUUUCUACCGCUCGCAGAUUCGCUUCUAACAACAGUUAUCCGUCGAGUGUUCAAAUGGCUCAUAUGAGGCUUUGUAUGGGAGGCAAUUGUCGAUGCUCCCUUUUUCUGAAGGUGAAAUCGGGUUUAUGAUAUUUGGGAAGGAAACACAUUCCCUUUUGGGAAUUGGGUUUGCAUUUGAAGAGUCGCCACCUAAUAAUUAAGUGCAUUAGGACACAAAAAGGUUUGAGUUUGAAGAACCACAGUUAGGGUAAGGGCUCGAAAUUAUCUCGAGGGGAAGGUGUUAGGCACCUCUAAAGAUCCACUAGUGUGGUUCAUGGACGUGUUAUAACUGUGACUUCACAUAACCAAGUAAGCAAUUACGGGUUCAAAAUAGAGGGACUUGUAUAUGACAUUACAAAUAAGUAGGAAACGUUGAAGGUACGUAGAGAGGGUAGAAAUUAAAAAAAAAGACUUGAAUAAUUUUAGAAGAAGAGAUGAAAGCAAAUGGAGGGAGAGGGGUCCUAGGUUUAUAAUUAGUAUGGAUCAAUGCAAUAUCCAGAAAUCACUCCUCAUGAGAGAGGCUACAUGAGAUAUUAACGCAUCGGUCAUAAUCUCCAUAUUCUACCUUUCCCAUCCCGUAAAGGUUAUUUAAACGCGUGGAUUAGUCACGAAAGCUUAUUGCGUGCUAUUACGCAUCCUGUCCUUUACGUCCUAGAGGGAAUUUAGGACCACUAUUCCUACAAGGUAAGGAUUUGGCUGAACCCUUAGGUUUAAAGGAUAAAAUGUUAAGCGAUAUGCAUAAAAAGUAGGACUGCUCAUAAGGGAACAUACAAAGACAAAUAAAGACUCAAAGAUCCCUCCACAAAUGUACACAUAAUUAGCACAUCUCAAACACAUUUAAGGUCUUAAAGAUGGGAAUUAAAAAAUAAGAAUGUUGAAGUUAAAACAGUAGGGUUCAAAAGGGUAUAUUUUGGCAGAUUAGCAGUGAAAGCAGAAGGUUCAGUUAAGCCUGCGGUACUUGAAGAAUGAUUGAUUUUCAUAAAUAGAACAGUUUAAAAUCAACAGUAAGAUUUAGAAGUAUACAACAGUUUAGAGCUCAGUGAAAUAUAGAUAAAAUCGUUAAAGCAUGGGUUUUGAAAUAACAUAGUGAUUCAAAGCGAAGUGACUUGAAGAUACAGUAGCUUCAUGAGAUGCAGUACAACUGUACAAGUAUUCAAAUAUCACGAUUCUGGGCAGAGAAUAGUAACCCAGUUAGUUCAAAAACAUAAUAGAACAAGAGUCAGAAAAUCAGUGCACAAUUUCAAGAUUCUUUUAAUAUAGGGCGGGAGUUUUAAUAAAAGCGGAGUGAACUUCGGAGAGGCAAAACAAGAAUGGGAGCAACAGAGUUCAAAAUAUUAAAAUAGACUGAUUGGUCCUAAACCGGUAAAACAUGAUUAAUUGAUUUUAUGUGCAUUAGGCCUAAAGUUUGCCUAAGCAUCGUAUGUAUUGCCUAAUUAUCUUAGAGGGUGAACAUGUAUAUUUGAUUUCCAAUUUUAAAAUAUACAGUUAACCAAACCUAUAUCAUUAGACUAACAUACUAAUGAGGUGUUUCCGAUUACAACUUAGAAAAAAUAAAACCCUAGGCAACAGGAUGUCUAAUGCACAUAGAAGUUCCUAAAACAUGGUCUCUAAAUGCUAGUGAGAAUGCAGCAGUAGUUUGAUAACAGUUAUUGGCUUGUUAUUAACUGAUCAUGGUUGCGAAAUGAGCAUGAUAACAGGCUGAAAGUAAAGAACCUAAAACAGGAUCUCUAAUGUAUGAGAUGCAUGUCUUAUACAGGAUAUCUAUUGCGCAAAUAAGUAAAUACAAUCCUAUAAACAUGUUUCUAUCCAUUACUUAAACUAGGCAUGCAUAGCCCCCACCCAAUUUCAGUAUAACCCCAAUCAUCCGUUUACAAAUCAUUACAAACCAAGGAUAGCCUAGGAUCUCUAAUGUAUGAUAUGCAUGUCCUUACAUGAUAUCUAUUGCGGAAAAAAGUAAAUAAAAUCCUAUAAACAUGUUUUCUACCCAUUACUUAAACUAAACAUGCAUAACCCCCACCCAAUUUCAUUAUAACCCUAAUCAUUCAUUUACAAAUUAUUAAAAACCAAAGAUAGCCGAAUUAUAAUAAUAAAGAAUAAAAAUAAGAAGUUAUUCUAUAGGGAGCCUUCAAUCAGGAUCAAUCUUCCAACCUCACUCCUUUUAAGUUUCACACCAUUUGCCAUGGUCUGGGUGCGGCAAAGCUCUCUAAGGCCCCACUGGGUAUCAAAUAUGUUGAACAAGUGCAUUGUGGAAUUACCAUCCUUGUGCAUCAAAGUUCAGUGAGUACUCGAAGGUACCCAAAGCAAUGCUUACAUGAAGGGGGUAGAACCUAAUCUCUAAGAGUAGUGUGAAGUGCAGGAAGGAAAGGAAAGUUGGUAGUUCAAAGAGUUUACGAAAGAGUAAGUUGGAGAGUUGCACACAAGGGUAAUGGGUAAAGGGGACAAAUAUAUCACAUGCAAACUCACAAAACCAAAAGAUUUAAGAGACCUUGACAUAAUCGGAUUUGAACACAAAGUAAGUAGCAACAAAAUUCAGUCAUAAUAGUAAUCAUGAGCAUGCAAGUUCCGACAGGCAAACCAGAAGUCAAUCAGAGCAUGGAAUUCAAUCAGGACAUACUAGCAACAACGAAAGCACAGCAGAAUGCAAGAGCCAGGUAUAAGUAUGAUAUUAGCCUUAGCCUUUUAGCUGGCUAAUGACAGUCAGGAGCAGGGAGCAGCAACAACACAAGAGAGAAAAAGAGAGAAAGCAUAAGAGAGAGCAAUGUGCUUACUCUUUGUAUGUUUGUGAUAUGCAAUGUGUUCGUGUCUUAAAAUAGAGGUGGGGGUACUUACAGUACUGAAUACAAGUAAACAAACAAGGCAGUAGCCCCUAAUCAAGGAACUGGCAUCAAUCGGUAGAUGGACCCCCUUUUAAUUAAGGAAUCAAAGUCAAUGGUAAUGAGCAGCUAUUUAAAAGGAAAGAUAUCACAAGCAUGGUAUAAUCACAUAAAGGAACAGAAUAUCAUAGAGUAUGCAAUAAAGACUAGGUGCUUGAUACUCUAAUUAGGGAGAUAGGUCAGGCAAAUCAAUCAGCAUAUUGGUGCACACAUAUAGGGCAAAAUACCAUUUUAAUUUUGGAAAAUAGUUUUCAGAAAAAUGGGCGAGAUUGAAAACCUAGGAAUUUAGUAUUAAUCGAGGAAAGUAUCCCACAAAUUAAGGAAGCAAUUUGAAAUCAUUACCAAACCAUAAGGAAAGUAUGCAGAAUCACAAUAUAAGGCAAGUCUCACAGUCUUAAGGAGGGCUUGCAAGAAUCAGUAUAAAAACCACCAUGUAUAUAAUCAGAGAACUCUAAGCGAAGAAUACAAAAUGGAAAGAGAACGAAACGCUAGCAACAAAAUUAAAGCAAAGAGCAUGGAACUCAGUGAAGAACUCAGAAGAACACACAAUCGAACAAAUAAUACAGACACAAACAUAAAGCUAAGGUUUCAUCAGGCUUGAGCAAAAAAAAA
RNAcentral lists this long non-coding RNA (97776 nucleotides) under Nicotiana benthamiana. Its description in RNAcentral is "long non-coding RNA (NBEN_LNC006211)". Lineage: Eukaryota; Viridiplantae; Streptophyta; Magnoliopsida; Solanales; Solanaceae. The record is from RNAcentral.